AUAAUAUGUAAAAGAAAAAUAUUUUAUUUUUUUACUGUUUUUAUCGCCUUUUAAAAAACUACUUAUUUUAAUUCUUAAUUAAAAAAAAUUAUACUAAUCAGAAAAAGAAAUUUUCAUUUUUUGAUCAAAGAAAAAAAAAAUUUAUUUUUUAAAAUCAAACUGAGAAAUUAUUUUAAAGCAUAAUUAAAAACUUCUCGUCCUCCUCCUCCGGCCCCAUCUCUACCGCCACUGCCGCUGGCAUCCCUCUCCUACUAUUCUUCUUGCCACCAUGGCCGUUAGUUAGAGUGGUUGUUGUCAUCAUCGUCGGUAGUAGCAGCAUCGGUUGGGUCUCGUUGUACGCUCUAGUCAUCCUUCUCCGAAAGCUUCUUUUGAUUAUUGAUUAUUAAUAUGUAUUGACUUGUCAUCAUCGGUAGCAUCAACGCGUUGGCAUCAUUGUUAUCAUCGUCAUCAGAGCGAGAGGGAGAGGGAAGGGAGGAGGGAAGGGGAUGGAAAGGGAGGAAGAGGAGAGGGUGGAAAGGGAGUACGGAUUAGAAGGAGAGGGAGUAGGGAAGGAGGAGAAAGGAAAGGGAGGACGGAGUACAAGGAGAGGGAGUAGGGAAGAGGAUAGGGAACGAGGAAAAAAAAAAACACGGAAGAGCGAGGGGCGGGAAAGCAAAGCGACCAAUAAUAUAUUUUCUAAAGUUUUUUUUUAAUCGUAAAAUUACUCUAAAAAAUCUAUAUUAUAGAGUAAUUUUUUUAUUUUAUUAAACUAAAAAACAAAAUUUUUUAGAAAACAGGAUAAUUUGGUAUGCUUUCCAAAGAGACCCUUAAGUAGGUGAUAUUACCGAAGGCAUGCACUAGUAGAGACCUCUUCGCUGGAAGCACCAGGUGAUUUUGAGCCAGAACAAAAAGACAGAUGAAACAUUCGACUGUUGACUCAAAGUUGAAGAAGCAUACAAGGGAACACGCCUUAAGUAGUUAGUUAUAUAUUCAUUUACAACCAUUUUCGUACCCAAAAGCUAUGCAUAAGCACAAAUUAUCAAGUCCUUAUAAUUAAAGAACACUUCAAUUCAACUACCUAUGGUUUAGCGCAUUUUCAAUUUGGUACUUUAUAAUUGAAAUAUUUUACUUUACUACCAUGUGAUUUUACUUUUAUCUCGAUGUUAAACCUACCGUUAAAUUUAUAAACCUCAAGACAAUAAAAUAAUAUAUUUUACAAAUCUUAGAGUGGCAAAUUAUAGUAUUUUACUACGCUAUAUUUUCUUUUAUAUAGCCGCCUUAUAAUUUGUAAAAUAUAUCAAUUUUAUAACCUACUUAACGACAGGUAUUAACGGCAAGGUAAAAAUAAGAGGGGUACUAAUAUACCCUUAAAGAAUUUUGGACUUUCUUAUUUAUCCCUCUAAAAAAGCUAAUAUUAAAAAUAAAAGAUUCCAAAAUCUUUCAAAUAUACUUUUAGAAUUAAAUUCUACUAGAAAUAGCCGUUAUCCACUUAUCCCUAUAAAAUUAUUAUUUUGUCCUUUUAAAUAUAUUCUUCUACCGUUACCAACUUUUCUUAUUUAUCUUUAAGUUAGGGACAAAAGAAGUAUUUCAACUUUUUACCUUUUCAAAAAUAUCCUUCUGCCGCUACCGACUUUUCUUAUUUGCCCUAAGUUAGUAGCCAAAUAGAUUUUUUCAUUAUGUUUAACUAUGAUAGAAAUUUAAUUCAAAUUUAACACGAACUAAUUUAACGGGCACUAACAGCAUAGGUAUUUUUGAAUAAUGGAAAAAAUAUAUGGAGGAUAUAUUUGAACUAAAAAAAAAAAAGCAAGAAUAAAUGAGAUAUUUAAAAAAUUUUGAAGGGUAUAUAUAGGCAAUUAUCUCAAAAUAAAACCACAAGAUAGUGACGUAAAAUACUUCAAACAACAGGAUACCAAACUAAAAAAGUGCUAAAUCACAUGGGACAUUUGAAGUUUAAGUAUUACACAAAUAUAAACUACGAAGAAUCUAUUGCACCGUUUCGCAAAUUGAUUUAAUACGAACAAAGCAUCUAAGCCGCCCGAGGAAUGUAGGGUUAAUUGCAUAUAGGUCCCCGCAAACAUAAUGAAUUGCAAAUAUAUCCCUAUAAAAUUCAACUUUUAUAAGUUAUCCUGCAAAAGCCCUAAUAUUUUCAGAUAUAUCCCUCUGGUUUGUUACCGUUAGAAAACCGUAGAAACUAUUUAUAUUUCCAAUUUUGCAUCACAAAUGUCCUUCAGAAGUUAUAACAGUAUAAUAAUAGAGUAAAAAUGUCAAAACUUAACCAGGACAAAGUAUUUAAUCUAUGGUUACAACUAAACUUUUCUAAUGGAUUCUAACGAUAGGAACAUUCUGAAAACAUUAGAACUUUUGUAGGAAUAACUUGAUGAAAAUUGAACUUACAGAGUAUAUUUACAAUUCACUAUAGUUGCAGGAACCUGUAUGCAAUUAACCCAGGAAUGUAUUUACCGAGAUACAUAGACAAGAUGCACCUACAUCUUUUUAUAAAUAUAUCAUAGAAUAAUCAGUUGUUACCUUCUGAUCUUCUUCUCUGAAGCAAUAGCUACUUGGCCCCACAUGCACAGACAUGCGUUUUGUCCUGUAAAUUUGAAAGGGAAAGAAGAAGAAAUAAAAAUAUAAAAAAAAGAGCAAAGGUUACUAGAGGGAUGCAAUACCUAAACCAUGCGAGAUACAAGAAAAGAGGCAAAAAGAUUGACGCAUGGUGAGAACUGUGUAUCAGAAUAUCAUUUUGUAGCCCAUUAUCUGAGAGAAAAACACACUAAUUUCAAUAUCAUUUAUCAUGACAUGAGAUUACAAUCAACUCAUAUCAGAAAGCCCAAAAACAACCAACAUAUCAACUUCGGAGGUACCUCCCAGGGCAACAAUUCGUUUAUGGGGCAAUUUAAUCUAUUCGUAAUUCAAAGUAGGAGAAGCACGUGGAAUCACGAACAUAUUAUAAAAGAAAAAAAUGCGAUAAUCUUAACUAGGACCUCAUUGGCUACUGAUACCUCAAUUCCUCAACUGACCUCUAUGCUACUUGGUGCAAAUUUCUAGGAUUUCAUCACGACAAAGGUUUUAAAUCCUACAGCUGGAACCAAACAGAAAUCGCAAGAAUCAUCCUUUAAAGCAAAUAAAAUAGAAUGCUCAAACGAUCAGCUAACCAUAGGAAUGUGUGUUUACAGAUGAAAUUCAAACUCCUACCUGAACUACAGUUAAAGGACAUUUAAGGCUCAAAAUAGAUAUUAAAUGUUAUGAACAAGCAACGCUCAUUAUAUAUAUAUUAUAGUAUUAUACUAUAUAUAUGAGAGUGAGCCUAUAUCUAUCGGAAGCACGGAGCCUUCCGUGCUUCCAGCUGUUUUCCAAAUAUUGGACUUUCGAAUCGUCGAUCGUCCGUUAAACUUGAAUCUAGAGUAUUGAAGUAUCCUUAAAAAAAUAAAUUUAUUAUUUUACGAUAAUCAUUGCCUAACUGAAACGAAGGGUUCAAAAUCAACGGCUGAAAAUAAAAAUCUUACAAAAUGUAAUAAUAUGACAUUAAAAUUUUAAAUCAAAGAUAUUAAUCUUGUUUUAUAUAGUAUAAAAAAUUUCUAUCAAAAUUUCACGUGAUUUGGAUAUUUCUACACCGUUAAACUUGUAAACGGCUCACUACGGCCAUUGAAAUUUGUUGAUUUUGAGCCCAUUCGAUCACUAGGCAAAUGAUAUCGAAAAAUAAUAAAAUUUAUUUUCUAGGUACUCCAAAUACUCUAGAUCAAGUUUAACGGAGCCGAUCGACGAUUCGAAAGUCGCAACGUCGAAAAUGAGCUGGAAGCACGGAAGGCUCCGUGCUUUCGAUAGCAUAGUAGCCUCACUCUAUAUAUAAAUAUAUAUAUAUACAUGUAUAUAUAUGUAUAUAUGUAUAUACAUAUAUAUACAUGUAUAUAUAUGUAUAUAUGUAUAUAUAUAUAUAGUAGGGCUAUUAUGAGUACGGCUAGAAUACUUGUAAAAGUAUCAUGGGGGUGAUACUUGUGUGUUUUUAGCCCUUGGAUGGAGAGAUGUAAGGUUGAGAUGAUGGUGGUAGAUUAUAUAUGUAUAUGUAUAUGUAUAUGUAUACAUAUACAUAUGUAUAUGUAUAUGUAUACAUAUACAUAUGUAUAUGUAUAUGUAUAUGUAUGUAUAUGUAUACAUAUAUGUAUAUGUAUAUGUAUACAUAUAUACAUAUACAUAUACAUAUACAUAUACAUACAUAUACAUAUACAUAUACAUAUGUGUAUGUAUACAUAUACAUAUAUAUAUGUAUAUAUGUAUAUAUAUAUAUAGUAGGGCUAUUAUGAGUACGGCUAGAAUACUUGUAAAAGUAUCAUGGGGGUGAUACUUGUGUGUUUUUAGCCCUUGGAUGGAGAGAUGUAAGGUUGAGAUGAUGGUGGUAGAUUAUAUAUGUAUAUGUAUAUGUAUAUGUAUACAUAUACAUAUGUAUAUGUAUAUGUAUACAUAUACAUAUGUAUAUGUAUAUGUAUAUGUAUGUAUAUGUAUACAUAUAUGUAUAUGUAUAUGUAUACAUAUAUACAUAUACAUAUACAUAUACAUAUACAUACAUAUACAUAUACAUAUACAUAUGUGUAUGUAUACAUAUACAUAUAUAUAUGUAUAUAUGUAUAUAUAUAUAUAGUAGGGCUAUUAUGAGUACGGCUAGAAUACUUGUAAAAGUAUCAUGGGGGUGAUACUUGUGUGUUUUUAGCCCUUGGAUGGAGAGAUGUAAGGUUGAGAUGAUGGUGGUAGGUGGUGGUAGGUGGAAUAGUGUUUAAUCCAAGGGCUAUUAAUAAUCAAAAAGUAGAUCCAAUGGCUUAAAACCUAAUAGCACCAUGAUGGUGAUACUUGUAAAAGUAUCAUAGCUCAACUCGGGCUAUUAUACUAUUAUGAGUAUAGAGCCCUUUCGUACUCGUAAAUUGUUUUCAAUGUUAGGGUUUUCGAAUCGACGAUCCACACCGUUAAACAUGAUCUAGAGUAUUUGAAACUUCUAGAAAAUAAAUUUCGUAAUUUUUCAAAAUCAUUAUAAAGUCCAUCAAGCGGGUAUAAAAUGAACGGUCAAAAUCAAACAAAAUCCUAAAAAUGGAUGAUCGGAUCCUUCAAUUUAAUAUUGGAGUUAUUGAUCUUUAUUUAGGUAGUGAAUAGAAUUUUUUAUCAAAAAUUUAAUCUAUUCCGAUUCUUUUACACCGUUAACUAGCAAAUAUUCCAUACCGACCGUUAAAAAUUGUCAAUUUUGUGAGCUUUUGAUCGUAGGGUGAAUGAUAUCGAAAAUUAUAAAAUUUAAUUUCUAAAAGUUUUAAAUGCUCUAGAUAAUGUUUAACGAUAUGGAUCGUCGAUUCCACAACUCUAUCAUCGAAAACAACUUAUAAGUACGAAGUCGAUCAUACUCAUAAGAGUAUAGUAUAUAUAUAUCACUCUACAUGAGUGAGGCUAGUAUGCUUCUUGGAGCACGGAGCCCUCCGUGCUUCCAAGUCGUUUCCGAUGUUGAAACUUUCAAAUUGACGAUCGGCUCCGUUAGAUUUAAUCUAGAGUAUUUGAAGUACCUAGAAAUAAUUUUUGUGAUUUUUCGAUAUCAUUUGCCUAGUGAUCAAAGGGGCUCAAAAUCAAUAAUUUUAAUGGUCGUGGUGAGCCGUUUGCAAGUUUAACGGUAUAGAAAUAUUCAAAUCACGUGAAAUUUUGAUAGAAAAUAUUUUUUUACUAUAUAAAACAAGAUCAAUAUCUUUAAUCUAAAAUUUUAAUAUCAUAUCAUCACAUUUUGCAAAAUUUUUAAUUUCAGCCGUUGAUUUUGAGUUCCUUCGAUCACUAGGUAAAUGAUAUCGAAAAAUCGCAAAAUUUAUUUUCUAGAUACUUUAAAUACUCUAGAUCAAGUCUAACGGAGCCGAUCGUCGAUUCAAAAGUCUCAACAUCGAAAACGACUUAGAAGCACGGAGUCCGUGAUUCCAGAAGCAUACCAGCCUCACUCUACAUAUAUAUAUAUAUAUAUAUAUAUACAUAUAUGUAUAUAUACAUAUAUAUAGAGUUGAGCUGGAAUGUUAUCGGUAGCAAACGAGCCCCAUUGCCACCCAUUUGUUCUCAAUGAUGGAACCUUCAAAUCAAUGAUCGGCACCGUUGAACAUAAUCUAUACUACUUGAUAUAUAUAUAUAUAUAUAUAUAUCAAGUAGUAUAGAUUAUGUUCAACGGUGCCGAUCAUUGAUUUGAAGGUUCCAUCAUUGAGAACAAAUGGGUGGCAAUGGGGCUCGUUUGCUACCGAUAACAUUCCAGCUCAACUCUAUAUAUAUAUAUAUAUAUCAAGUAGUAUAGAUUAUGUUCAACGGUGCCGAUCAUUGAUUUGAAGGUUCCAUCAUUGAGAACAAAUGGGUGGCAAUGGGGCUCGUUUGCUACCGAUAACAUUCCAGCUCAACUCUAUAUAUAUAUAUAUAUAUCAAGUAGUAUAGAUUAUGUUCAACGGUGCCGAUCAUUGAUUUGAAGGUUCCAUCAUUGAGAACAAAUGGGUGGCAAUGGGGCUCGUUUGCUACCGAUAACAUUCCAGCUCAACUCUAUAUAUAUAUAUAUAUAGAGUUGAGCUGGAAUGUUAUCGGUAGCAAAUGAGCUCCGUUGCCACCCAUUUGUUUUCGAUGAUGGAGCCUCUAAAUUGACGAUCGGCAUCGUUGAAUAUGAUCUAUACCACUUGAAGUAUCUAGAAACCAAAUUUUAAAUCUUUUUGACAUCAUUAACCUAAUGAUCAAAGGGUUUCAAAAUUUGUAAUUUUAAUGGUAGAUAUAAGACGUUUUCUCGUUUAACGGUGUAAAGCUACCUAAAUCAAUUGAACUUUGGUUAGAAAAUUCUUUAAACUAUUUAGAAUAAGAUCUAUACUCUCGAUCUUGAUUAUAAAAUUUCUAUCAUCACUUUUUAGAGAAUAUUCAUUUUCAGUCGUUCAUUUUUCCGCCCACCUGAUGGACAAGAGAAUAAUAUUGAAAAAGCAUGAAAUUUGAUUUCUAGAUAUUUUAAGCGGUAUAGAUCAUGUUCAACGGUGCCGAUCGUCGAUUUGGAGACUCCAUCAUCGAAAACAAAUGGGUGGCAAAAGAGCCGAUUUGCUAUCGAUAGUAUUCUAGCUCAACUCUCUCUCUCUCUCUCUCUCAUUGGGCUAGAAUAGCAUUAAUAGUAUUUGGGCUCGUUUGCUAUCGAGUUUUUAAUACUUCGAUAAAAAAUUGUAACGUUAAAAUGAUAGUGGUCCCCUAUAUAUGGGUUUAGCAAGGUUGUAAAUAGUAGAUAGCGGGUACAUAGUAUUUGCAGAGUCUCAUAGCAGAAAGCAGAUAGCGGGCGCUAUGAACCCACAGCUAGUUUCAUAAAUGCAAAUUUAACAUAUUUAUAUUCCUUAUAAAAAAUAUACAUAUAAUUUUGAAGAANNNNNNNNNNNNNNNNNNNNNNNNNNNNNNNNNNNNNNNNNNNNNNNNNNNNNNNNNNNNNNNNNNNNNNNNNNNNNNNNNNNNNNNNNNNNNNNNNNNNGCUGGGACCACGUUCGGGAACCGGUCCCGCCCUGUCAGGGACCGGUUGCAUCACGCAACCCCGCUACGACCAGCCAGGGGAACCGGUCUCUCACCUGCAGAGACCGGUCCCCGAGAGCAACUUCUGCCCAAUGAUGCCAUUUGCCUCAUUUGCUCUCGCGGACUCAACUCCAAGGCACUUUUUGUGUUUUGGACAUUCCCAACUCCCACAAAGGUAUACUCUCGACAAUUAGUCGAUCCUGGAUGGAGUGCAAUCCUCAUAUUUCGAGAAUUCACUUCCUUACAUAUCCCGACUGCAAGUCGAUCUUAGAAUACACGCUAGAUCCCUGAAGCUGAUCAAAUAGAUCAUCAAUCCUCGGCAACAGAUACUUGUUUUUAAUCGUGACUUUAUUAAAUUCAUGAUAGUCCACGCACAAGCGAAGUGAUCCGUCCUUUUUAUUAACAAAUAGAACCGGUGCUCCCUAAUGUGAAACACUUGGCCGAGCAAAACUCUUGUCCAACAAAUCUUGCAACUGUGCCCUCGGCUCUUUCAACUCUGCUGGUGCCAUCCUAUAGUGUGCCUUUGAGAUUGGAGUAGUCCCAGGGACGAGAUCUACCACAAACUCAAUCUCCCUAUCAGGUGGCAUACCUGAAAACUGUGCUGGAAGCACAUCUCCAAACUCCCGUACCACGAGAAUAUCCUCAAUCCUAGGGGCGUCGACGUCACCCCUCAACACUACACUAGCUAAGUAAGCUAUGCAACCUCUGCUGAUCAACUGCCUAGCUCGAGAGGAGCUAAUUAUCAUCGCAAACAGCAAACUCUGGCAUCCUCGGUAUACAACCUUCUCCUGCCCCGGCUCUCUAAAAGUCACCGUUCAAUUCUUGCAAUCGAUAGUGGCGAAGUACUUGGUUAACCAAUCCAUGCCCAAGACAACAUCAAACUCUCCGAGUUUAUGCAAAGCCAACAAACCCACGGGCAUGAUCCAAUCUCCUACCCGAACAGGGCAACUGGGGCAAAACUCCCUAAUGUCCAAGGAGUGGUCGGGGACAACAACACGUCCCGAAUGCAACAAAGAAACAAGUGGGAUGCCAUGCAACUCGGCAAAUAGCCGAUCUAUGAAUGAAUGCGAUACACCGGUAUCAAAUAAUGCACGAACUCGAAUGUCAUUUAAUAAAAUGAUACCUGCAACCACAUUCUCGGCUGCUGCAGCCUCCUCAGUCUGGGCCGCAUACAUGCGCCCGCUCGGGACCUGUUGUGACUCCUCCGUCUGUCUCAAAACAGGUGGCCGCACGGCCUGGUAGUGAGCAGAAGGCAUCCCCUGGCUGGGACCCGGUGAAGCUGGUGCCGAUGCUGACGACGGCGCUGGAACAGAUCCUCUCGGGCAGUCCGACUGGAAGUGGCACUCCUGGCCACACAAGUAGCACCUGCCCCUAUGCUGUGUGCACGGCCGCGGAGGGUGGGGACCACCGCAGAUCACACAACGAGGAGCCCGGGAACGGUCAGACCCUCCACGCUGCGCGGUCGAGCCGCGCCCACAUGACUGGCUCCUAGGGUACCUCGGCGGCCUCCCAGAGUGCGUCUGACUCGCACCCUCAGCCGCGGGCCUUUUCCUCUUACCCUUUUCCAAGCCCUCUCGGCGCUCGCCGUUCUCCACAAUGAGCGUGCGGUUCACCACAUCACGGUAGGUCUGGAGAUUGGAGGAAUGCACAAAUCGAAAGAUCAACAGCCGAUGUCCUCGUUCGAAGAUGCGGGCCUUGUCCUCGUCGUCCCACACAAUGAAAGGCACGCAAUGCAAAAGCCGUGAGAACUCCCUCUUAUACUCGGCCACAGUCCAGUCCCCUGGCGUAUACUGCGCAAACCCUGCUCCAUCUUCCUCUUGAAACUGUCGGGGAAGUAGUGCUCCAACAGAAGUUCCUUGAACCUCUUCCAGGUAAUCGCCGCAAGGUCAGUGUUGGGGUUGUCCUGGAUAUCCAACCACCAACUGUAGGCCUCGCCGUCUAGGUGAUGAGUGGCAAGCCAAACUCGAUCUCUCUCCUCCACGAAAGUGUCGCGGAACAACUUCUCCAUAUGCAUCAACCACUUCUCUACAAUCCAGUGGUCGGCUUUCUUUCCGUCAAAGGUCAUGGGAUUACAUCUUCUGAACUCGUUGAGGUGACCCAUGAGCCGAUCCUGCUCCGCUCCCUCAACUAUCACAGAAAAAACUGCCCCCUCCAAAGGCACCUAAGCUGAUGGUGCCGCAACGUCCUCCUCCCGAGGUGCCACCGCAAAGGCCGUCCGAGAAGUGUCCAGUGCAGGGGACGACACCCUGGUCGCAACUACCUCCCCCGGCGCGGGUGGUGUAGGGACCUGAGCCUCCCUGGCAGCCGCCUACUACAGUAAAAGGUCCUCCAGGCGCUUUAUCCUCGCCUCCUGCCAGCGCGCCACGUCUGCAUGCUGCUGAGCCGCCACUGCCUGCUGGGCAACCAAGUCGGUGAAGGCCGCAAGCUGGCUCCUCAACUCACGGACCUCGCCGGAUCCGGAGGUAGCGGAGGUCUCCACCUCCUCCAAGUUUGCCGCAUUAUCCGCUCCAACAGACUUAGAGCGUGUCGUCGGUAUUAUCACUACAACAUCAUAAAAGCGCAAGUUAGUAAAACCCACACUAUCGCAACCCCGCUGAGCACAUACAACCCAAGUCAUGCGAAAGUAAGGAAGUGUCCUUUGCUACUAACUUCUGAUGUUACGUUGUCGGCCGCCAACGUAACCCUCCGCGAAGUUAGAAGCUAUACACUUCAAUCAACUCCAACAUUUUAGAGUUAUCAUAACCCAAUCAUAAUACUUUCGCUUACAAAUCAAAUAGACAUCGUCUCUCACAAGCCUAUUUCCUAAGUCCAAUAGGCUGGUUGCCGACGGUUGACUAUUGAGCAUAUCAGCAUUGAUCGCCCGAUACUCAUACGCACUUUACGAACACCAGCAGUCUGAUCCACUGCAAGAGGGUGUUCUUUUCCGAAAAAGUGGUUGGAGGUGCCAACCCGUGAGCCCAUAGGCUACCUUGGGUUAUAUGCAGGUAGAGUGACAGCUUGAGGUCUGCGGUGCGGACCAACAAGGCAUAGCAUGAGGUCUGCGGUGCAGACCAACCGAGCACAGCUUGAGGUCUGCGAUGCUGACCAACAGAGCACAGGUUUCAGAUUGGGUAUUUUUGGACUUGUCAUCCGGUUGAUGUAUACAUACAGUAGCGGUAGUUGUUCAUAUAUAUAUAUCUCGUUCGUUUAUUAUCGUUGCUACUGUACUAUCUUUACCCAUGCCUUUGUUUAUUCUCCUUNNNNNNNNNNNNNNNNNNNNNNNNNNNNNNNNNNNNNNNNNNNNNNNNNNNNNNNNNNNNNNNNNNNNNNNNNNNNNNNNNNNNNNNNNNNNNNNNNNNNNNNNNNNNNNNNNNNNNNNNNNNNNNNNNNNNNNNNNNNNNNNNNNNNNNNNNNNNNNNNNNNNNNNNNNNNNNNNNNNNNNNNNNNNNNNNNNNNNNNNNNNNNNNNNNNNNNNNNNNNNNNNNNNNNNNNNNNNNNNNNNNNNNNNNNNNNNNNNNNNNNNNNNNNNNNNNNNNNNNNNNNNNNNNNNNNNNNNNNNNNNNNNNNNNNNNNNNNNNNNNNNNNNNNNNNNNNNNNNNNNNNNNNNNNNNNNNNNNNNNNNNNNNNNNNNNNNNNNNNNNNNNNNNNNNNNNNNNNNNNNNNNNNNNNNNNNNNNNNNNNNNNNNNNNNNNNNNNNNNNNNNNNNNNNNNNNNNNNNNNNNNNNNNNNNNNNNNNNNNNNNNNNNNNNNNNNNNNNNNNNNNNNNNNNNNNNNNNNNNNNNNNNNNNNNNNNNNNNNNNNNNNNNNNNNNNNNNNNNNNNNNNNNNNNNNNNNNNNNNNNNNNNNNNNNNNNNNNNNNNNNNNNNNNNNNNNNNNNNNNNNNNNNNNNNNNNNNNNNNNNNNNNNNNNNNNNNNNNNNNNNNNNNNNNNNNNNNNNNNNNNNNNNNNNNNNNNNNNNNNNNNNNNNNNNNNNNNNNNNNNNNNNNNNNNNNNNNNNNNNNNNNNNNNNNNNNNNNNNNNNNNNNNNNNNNNNNNNNNNNNNNNNNNNNNNNNNNNNNNNNNNNNNNNNNNNNNNNNNNNNNNNNNNNNNNNNNNNNNNNNNNNNNNNNNNNNNNNNNNNNNNNNNNNNNNNNNNNNNNNNNNNNNNNNNNNNNNNNNNNNNNNNNNNNNNNNNNNNNNNNNNNNNNNNNNNNNNNNNNNNNNNNNNNNNNNNNNNNNNNNNNNNNNNNNNNNNNNNNNNNNNNNNNNNNNNNNNNNNNNNNNNNNNNNNNNNNNNNNNNNNNNNNNNNNNNNNNNNNNNNNNNNNNNNNNNNNNNNNNNNNNNNNNNNNNNNNNNNNNNNNNNNNNNNNNNNNNNNNNNNNNNNNNNNNNNNNNNNNNNNNNNNNNNNNNNNNNNNNNNNNNNNNNNNNNNNNNNNNNNNNNNNNNNNNNNNNNNNNNNNNNNNNNNNNNNNNNNNNNNNNNNNNNNNNNNNNNNNNNNNNNNNNNNNNNNNNNNNNNNNNNNNNNNNNNNNNNNNNNNNNNNNNNNNNNNNNNNNNNNNNNNNNNNNNNNNNNNNNNNNNNNNNNNNNNNNNNNNNNNNNNNNNNNNNNNNNNNNNNNNNNNNNNNNNNNNNNNNNNNNNNNNNNNNNNNNNNNNNNNNNNNNNNNNNNNNNNNNNNNNNNNNNNNNNNNNNNNNNNNNNNNNNNNNNNNNNNNNNNNNNNNNNNNNNNNNNNNNNNNNNNNNNNNNNNNNNNNNNNNNNNNNNNNNNNNNNNNNNNNNNNNNNNNNNNNNNNNNNNNNNNNNNNNNNNNNNNNNNNNNNNNNNNNNNNNNNNNNNNNNNNNNNNNNNNNNNNNNNNNNNNNNNNNNNNNNNNNNNNNNNNNNNNNNNNNNNNNNNNNNNNNNNNNNNNNNNNNNNNNNNNNNNNNNNNNNNNNNNNNNNNNNNNNNNNNNNNNNNNNNNNNNNNNNNNNNNNNNNNNNNNNNNNNNNNNNNNNNNNNNNNNNNNNNNNNNNNNNNNNNNNNNNNNNNNNNNNNNNNNNNNNNNNNNNNNNNNNNNNNNNNNNNNNNNNNNNNNNNNNNNNNNNNNNNNNNNNNNNNNNNNNNNNNNNNNNNNNNNNNNNNNNNNNNNNNNNNNNNNNNNNNNNNNNNNNNNNNNNNNNNNNNNNNNNNNNNNNNNNNNNNNNNNNNNNNNNNNNNNNNNNNNNNNNNNNNNNNNNNNNNNNNNNNNNNNNNNNNNNNNNNNNNNNNNNNNNNNNNNNNNNNNNNNNNNNNNNNNNNNNNNNNNNNNNNNNNNNNNNNNNNNNNNNNNNNNNNNNNNNNNNNNNNNNNNNNNNNNNNNNNNNNNNNNNNNNNNNNNNNNNNNNNNNNNNNNNNNNNNNNNNNNNNNNNNNNNNNNNNNNNNNNNNNNNNNNNNNNNNNNNNNNNNNNNNNNNNNNNNNNNNNNNNNNNNNNNNNNNNNNNNNNNNNNNNNNNNNNNNNNNNNNNNNNNNNNNNNNNNNNNNNNNNNNNNNNNNNNNNNNNNNNNNNNNNNNNNNNNNNNNNNNNNNNNNNNNNNNNNNNNNNNNNNNNNNNNNNNNNNNNNNNNNNNNNNNNNNNNNNNNNNNNNNNNNNNNNNNNNNNNNNNNNNNNNNNNNNNNNNNNNNNNNNNNNNNNNNNNNNNNNNNNNNNNNNNNNNNNNNNNNNNNNNNNNNNNNNNNNNNNNNNNNNNNNNNNNNNNNNNNNNNNNNNNNNNNNNNNNNNNNNNNNNNNNNNNNNNNNNNNNNNNNNNNNNNNNNNNNNNNNNNNNNNNNNNNNNNNNNNNNNNNNNNNNNNNNNNNNNNNNNNNNNNNNNNNNNNNNNNNNNNNNNNNNNNNNNNNNNNNNNNNNNNNNNNNNNNNNNNNNNNNNNNNNNNNNNNNNNNNNNNNNNNNNNNNNNNNNNNNNNNNNNNNNNNNNNNNNNNNNNNNNNNNNNNNNNNNNNNNNNNNNNNNNNNNNNNNNNNNNNNNNNNNNNNNNNNNNNNNNNNNNNNNNNNNNNNNNNNNNNNNNNNNNNNNNNNNNNNNNNNNNNNNNNNNNNNNNNNNNNNNNNNNNNNNNNNNNNNNNNNNNNNNNNNNNNNNNNNNNNNNNNNNNNNNNNNNNNNNNNNNNNNNNNNNNNNNNNNNNNNNNNNNNNNNNNNNNNNNNNNNNNNNNNNNNNNNNNNNNNNNNNNNNNNNNNNNNNNNNNNNNNNNNNNNNNNNNNNNNNNNNNNNNNNNNNNNNNNNNNNNNNNNNNNNNNNNNNNNNNNNNNNNNNNNNNNNNNNNNNNNNNNNNNNNNNNNNNNNNNNNNNNNNNNNNNNNNNNNNNNNNNNNNNNNNNNNNNNNNNNNNNNNNNNNNNNNNNNNNNNNNNNNNNNNNNNNNNNNNNNNNNNNNNNNNNNNNNNNNNNNNNNNNNNNNNNNNNNNNNNNNNNNNNNNNNNNNNNNNNNNNNNNNNNNNNNNNNNNNNNNNNNNNNNNNNNNNNNNNNNNNNNNNNNNNNNNNNNNNNNNNNNNNNNNNNNNNNNNNNNNNNNNNNNNNNNNNNNNNNNNNNNNNNNNNNNNNNNNNNNNNNNNNNNNNNNNNNNNNNNNNNNNNNNNNNNNNNNNNNNNNNNNNNNNNNNNNNNNNNNNNNNNNNNNNNNNNNNNNNNNNNNNNNNNNNNNNNNNNNNNNNNNNNNNNNNNNNNNNNNNNNNNNNNNNNNNNNNNNNNNNNNNNNNNNNNNNNNNNNNNNNNNNNNNNNNNNNNNNNNNNNNNNNNNNNNNNNNNNNNNNNNNNNNNNNNNNNNNNNNNNNNNNNNNNNNNNNNNNNNNNNNNNNNNNNNNNNNNNNNNNNNNNNNNNNNNNNNNNNNNNNNNNNNNNNNNNNNNNNNNNNNNNNNNNNNNNNNNNNNNNNNNNNNNNNNNNNNNNNNNNNNNNNNNNNNNNNNNNNNNNNNNNNNNNNNNNNNNNNNNNNNNNNNNNNNNNNNNNNNNNNNNNNNNNNNNNNNNNNNNNNNNNNNNNNNNNNNNNNNNNNNNNNNNNNNNNNNNNNNNNNNNNNNNNNNNNNNNNNNNNNNNNNNNNNNNNNNNNNNNNNNNNNNNNNNNNNNNNNNNNNNNNNNNNNNNNNNNNNNNNNNNNNNNNNNNNNNNNNNNNNNNNNNNNNNNNNNNNNNNNNNNNNNNNNNNNNNNNNNNNNNNNNNNNNNNNNNNNNNNNNNNNNNNNNNNNNNNNNNNNNNNNNNNNNNNNNNNNNNNNNNNNNNNNNNNNNNNNNNNNNNNNNNNNNNNNNNNNNNNNNNNNNNNNNNNNNNNNNNNNNNNNNNNNNNNNNNNNNNNNNNNNNNNNNNNNNNNNNNNNNNNNNNNNNNNNNNNNNNNNNNNNNNNNNNNNNNNNNNNNNNNNNNNNNNNNNNNNNNNNNNNNNNNNNNNNNNNNNNNNNNNNNNNNNNNNNNNNNNNNNNNNNNNNNNNNNNNNNNNNNNNNNNNNNNNNNNNNNNNNNNNNNNNNNNNNNNNNNNNNNNNNNNNNNNNNNNNNNNNNNNNNNNNNNNNNNNNNNNNNNNNNNNNNNNNNNNNNNNNNNNNNNNNNNNNNNNNNNNNNNNNNNNNNNNNNNNNNNNNNNNNNNNNNNNNNNNNNNNNNNNNNNNNNNNNNNNNNNNNNNNNNNNNNNNNNNNNNNNNNNNNNNNNNNNNNNNNNNNNNNNNNNNNNNNNNNNNNNNNNNNNNNNNNNNNNNNNNNNNNNNNNNNNNNNNNNNNNNNNNNNNNNNNNNNNNNNNNNNNNNNNNNNNNNNNNNNNNNNNNNNNNNNNNNNNNNNNNNNNNNNNNNNNNNNNNNNNNNNNNNNNNNNNNNNNNNNNNNNNNNNNNNNNNNNNNNNNNNNNNNNNNNNNNNNNNNNNNNNNNNNNNNNNNNNNNNNNNNNNNNNNNNNNNNNNNNNNNNNNNNNNNNNNNNNNNNNNNNNNNNNNNNNNNNNNNNNNNNNNNNNNNNNNNNNNNNNNNNNNNNNNNNNNNNNNNNNNNNNNNNNNNNNNNNNNNNNNNNNNNNNNNNNNNNNNNNNNNNNNNNNNNNNNNNNNNNNNNNNNNNNNNNNNNNNNNNNNNNNNNNNNNNNNNNNNNNNNNNNNNNNNNNNNNNNNNNNNNNNNNNNNNNNNNNNNNNNNNNNNNNNNNNNNNNNNNNNNNNNNNNNNNNNNNNNNNNNNNNNNNNNNNNNNNNNNNNNNNNNNNNNNNNNNNNNNNNNNNNNNNNNNNNNNNNNNNNNNNNNNNNNNNNNNNNNNNNNNNNNNNNNNNNNNNNNNNNNNNNNNNNNNNNNNNNNNNNNNNNNNNNNNNNNNNNNNNNNNNNNNNNNNNNNNNNNNNNNNNNNNNNNNNNNNNNNNNNNNNNNNNNNNNNNNNNNNNNNNNNNNNNNNNNNNNNNNNNNNNNNNNNNNNNNNNNNNNNNNNNNNNNNNNNNNNNNNNNNNNNNNNNNNNNNNNNNNNNNNNNNNNNNNNNNNNNNNNNNNNNNNNNNNNNNNNNNNNNNNNNNNNNNNNNNNNNNNNNNNNNNNNNNNNNNNNNNNNNNNNNNNNNNNNNNNNNNNNNNNNNNNNNNNNNNNNNNNNNNNNNNNNNNNNNNNNNNNNNNNNNNNNNNNNNNNNNNNNNNNNNNNNNNNNNNNNNNNNNNNNNNNNNNNNNNNNNNNNNNNNNNNNNNNNNNNNNNNNNNNNNNNNNNNNNNNNNNNNNNNNNNNNNNNNNNNNNNNNNNNNNNNNNNNNNNNNNNNNNNNNNNNNNNNNNNNNNNNNNNNNNNNNNNNNNNNNNNNNNNNNNNNNNNNNNNNNNNNNNNNNNNNNNNNNNNNNNNNNNNNNNNNNNNNNNNNNNNNNNNNNNNNNNNNNNNNNNNNNNNNNNNNNNNNNNNNNNNNNNNNNNNNNNNNNNNNNNNNNNNNNNNNNNNNNNNNNNNNNNNNNNNNNNNNNNNNNNNNNNNNNNNNNNNNNNNNNNNNNNNNNNNNNNNNNNNNNNNNNNNNNNNNNNNNNNNNNNNNNNNNNNNNNNNNNNNNNNNNNNNNNNNNNNNNNNNNNNNNNNNNNNNNNNNNNNNNNNNNNNNNNNNNNNNNNNNNNNNNNNNNNNNNNNNNNNNNNNNNNNNNNNNNNNNNNNNNNNNNNNNNNNNNNNNNNNNNNNNNNNNNNNNNNNNNNNNNNNNNNNNNNNNNNNNNNNNNNNNNNNNNNNNNNNNNNNNNNNNNNNNNNNNNNNNNNNNNNNNNNNNNNNNNNNNNNNNNNNNNNNNNNNNNNNNNNNNNNNNNNNNNNNNNNNNNNNNNNNNNNNNNNNNNNNNNNNNNNNNNNNNNNNNNNNNNNNNNNNNNNNNNNNNNNNNNNNNNNNNNNNNNNNNNNNNNNNNNNNNNNNNNNNNNNNNNNNNNNNNNNNNNNNNNNNNNNNNNNNNNNNNNNNNNNNNNNNNNNNNNNNNNNNNNNNNNNNNNNNNNNNNNNNNNNNNNNNNNNNNNNNNNNNNNNNNNNNNNNNNNNNNNNNNNNNNNNNNNNNNNNNNNNNNNNNNNNNNNNNNNNNNNNNNNNNNNNNNNNNNNNNNNNNNNNNNNNNNNNNNNNNNNNNNNNNNNNNNNNNNNNNNNNNNNNNNNNNNNNNNNNNGUAGAUCUCAUCCCUGAGACUACUCCAAUCUCAAAGGCGCCCUAUAGGAUGGCACCGGCGGAGUUGAAAGAGCUGAGGGCACAACAGCAGGAUCUUUUGGACAAGGGUUUCAUUCGCCCGAGUGUUUCACCUUGGGGAGCACCGGUUUUAUUUGUUAAGAAGAAGGACGGAUCACUUCGCUUGUGUGUAUCCAUUGUCAAGGAUCAAUGAUUUAUUUGAUCAACUUCAAGGGUCGAGUGUGUAUUCCAAGAUAGACUUGCAGUCGGGAUACCACCAGUUAAAGAAUGCACCUGAGGAUGCAUCGAAGACGGCUUUUAGAACACGGUAUGGACAUUAUGAGUUUACUGUUAUGCCGUUUGGGCUUACUAAUACUCCGACAGCUUUUAUGGAUCUAAUGAACCGUGUUUUCAAGCCUUAUCUAGACAGGUUCGUCGUGGUGUUCAUCGAUGACAUCUUGAUUUAUUCCCGAAGUGACAAGGAUCAUGAAGAGCAUUUAAGGCUUGUACUUCAAAUGCUUCGUGAAAAUAAACUAUAUGCCAAGUUGAAGAAGUAUGAGUUUUGGCUUAGAGAGGUAGCAUUUUUGGGACACUUGAUUUCUGGAUCGGGCAUAGCCGUGGAUCCUAGGAAGAUUGAAGCAAUCAAGAAUUGGCCUAGACCGACAAGUGUCACGGAGAUCCGGAGUUUUCUUGGUUUGGCCGGCUACUACCGGAGAUUUGUUGAGGGGUUUGCCAAGUUAUUUACUCCCCUCACGCGGCUCACACACAAAGGCACUAAAUUCAUUUGGAAUGAUGCAUGUGAGAGAAGCUUCCUAGAGUUUAAGCAAAGAUUGACGACCGCCCCAAUCCUAACCUUGCAAGUUGCUGGAGCAGGGUAUGUGAUUUAUAGCAAUGCUUCCUUUAAUGGAUUGGGCUGUGUUUUGAUGCAGAAUGGAAAGGUGAUCGUUUAUUCUUCUCGCCAACUGAAGGAAUAUGAAAGGAACUACCCUACACAUGACUUGGAGUUGGCGGUCGUAGUCUUUGCAUUAAAGCUAUGGCGCCAUUAUCUUUAUGGCGAGCGGUGUGAAGUGUACACGGAUCACAAGAGCUUAAAGUAUCUAUUCACUCAGAAGGAGUUGAACUUGAGGCAGCGCAGAUGGUUGGUGCUACUCAAGGAUUAUGAUUUGACGAUUCUCUACCACCCGGGCAAGGUUAACGUGGUGGCAGAUGCGCUAAGUCAAAAAUCAACGGAUAACUUAGCGAUGCUUUUUAAUAUACCGAAAAUUCGGAAAAUAAAAAUGUCGAACUUUAGUCAAAUUGACCAAAGUGCGAGGACGGUACACUUCGGAAAGUCCGAAGGUGUUAAAAUGAUUAAAAGUGAGUUACGGGAGGUUUUCGAGAGCUAUAGAAUCAAAUCUGCAUUCUGCAGUUUUGAGCUCUCGGGGACCGGUCCCUGGUGGGAGAGACUGGUCCCCGAACGCGUAUGAAGUGAGACAGCCGAAAAAUCGCCUAAGUCCUGAGGAAUUAGCUCUCGGGAAUCGGUCCCUGCCUGAGAGACCGGUCCCCGAGAGACCAGUCCCACCAGAGAGAGAUCGGUCGCAUUGCGCGCAACAGCUCUAGCUGCGCUAGGAGAGCUCUCGGAGACCGGUCCCUAGUCGGGGAGACCGGUCCCCGAGCCCGAAAUCUGCCCAGUCCAGGCAGUUGAAUAAGAUGAAAGUUGAGGGGUUUAUUAGCAUUUUUGCAACCCAAUGGUUAUGUAUGAGGGACAUGAGGGCUUUUCUCUCAUUCCACUCCCUCUCACACUCUCUCCUCUCUUUCUCUCUCUAGAAGGCAAAGAAGGAGAAGAAGAGGACAAGGAAGGGAAGGAAAAAGAAGAGGAAGAAGGUGAAGAAGAAGACAAGGAGAAGAAGAAAACCUCUCCUCUCCUUCUCUAGCUUGGAAAAGGAGCAAGUUUAGAGGUAAGCUUUGCCCCUUCUCAUGCUAAAUUCCAAACUAGGGUUUGGAUUAACCUAGAAAUGGUUUUAAUGGAGUAUUUAGAGUCAUUGAAGCUUCUUUUUGCUUCUUUAGAGAUCAAAGCCAUGGUUAAGCUCAAAGGUGAGCUUCAACCCACCUCUCAUGGUGAAAUCCAAACUAGGGUUUGGAAUGAGCUAGGAAUGGUUUAGAUGAACUCUUUAGAGUAUAUUGAAGCUACUUUUACUUCUCUAAGAGAUCAAACCCUAGGUUUGAUGAUGCUAUGGAGCUAGGGCACCCAAAUUGGGGCUUUUGCUCAUGAGGAUUUCUAAGUGCAAUUGACCCUCUAGAAACCUAAUUAGGGGUAUUUCCGACGCGUUGGUGCGCUCGGAUUAACAUUACGAAAAGCCGAUGAAAAGAUAUGAGCAAAAUGACCUAUUAGAGUUUCGUUUUGCCGCAGGUAAAGAACGAAGGGUCUAAGAAUCCCAAGAAAAUCAUCGGAGCAUCUUUGAAAGCCUACGAGGUGGAUGGUGCUUCUCAAACUCGUUGAACUUCUCUUUAUGCCUAAUGUGUCAUUCAUUUGAGCAUAUAUGUAUAUAUUGUUGCAUGCAUUUUAGGGUAAAGUAAUGAUGAAAAUGUAAUGAUGCAUGAUUGUGAGUACAACUUGUAUAAUAUGAUGAAUGAUAACUAUGUAAACAUCGAAAACCCUAUGUGUAUGCAUGAGAGAAAAGUGAGCACCUAAAGUGAGCAAAAGAACGGAAUGACACAAUGACCUAGAUCGAGUGGCAUUUGAUAAAGUUAAAGUGAAACGACACUAGAGUUAGUGUGAGCCAAAGAACCAAAGUGAUGUAAAGAAUGAUGAAAAUGACAAUGUGUAAAGUUAAAGUAAAGUGGGGCAAUAAGAACGAGAAAUGUAAUGAACAAGAAUGCUAGAGCUAGCAGAAGUAAAGAAAUGUAAAGAAUGUGAUUGCAUGAGUUUGCAACAUAAAGUGAUGUAAAGAACACUAGAGCUAGUGUAAAGUCAAGAUUGAACUUAUAAAAUCCUUUGAGUUAAGGAUAUGAUCAUACUUGCUAUGAGUUCCGUGCUCGAGGGCGGUCGCUCCCCCUCGGGCGAUGCGCUCCGGAGUUAUGCAUCACGGGUUGGAGUAAACCCGAAGGACGGUCCUAGCGGUUGAGUUCCUGCGAUGAUGGACUUAAUGUGAAGCAAGUUAAUGUGGCGACACCCCCGGGUUAGCCUCGAGAUUAAAGAACAAAGUGCAAAGAACAAAGUGCAAAGAACAAGAACAAAGAGUAAAGUGAAAAGAAUAAAGAAUUUGCAUAAUCUGCAUAUGUUAAUGUUGAGCAUACUCCUUGCUUUAUUUUCAGGCAUAUUAGCAUCAUGUAUAGAUUGGUUACUAUAUACAGCUUAUUCUUUCUAUUAUGCCUGAGUUAGUCCUAGUGGGAAAGUCGGUGAUGUUGAGGCCGAACCCACUAGGAACUUCGUUGUAGUUCUCACCCCACUAUUUCCACAGAGCCGGGACCGAGCGAGCCGGCGAGCGACCGAGGUAAAGGUAUCGUGCCUUAGUCAGAGGCCACCAAAGUUGGGGUACAUUUUGUUAGUAGACACCCUUUUAUCAUCUUUUGUACUUGAUGAUUAGUGAUAUAAAGAAAGAAUGUAAAGCUUAUUUUGAGGUAAAUGUGAUGUAAGAAAGAAAUGAUGAAAUUAUGUAAUAAAAUGCAAAGAAUCCUAAAUGUAAAAGAUGGAUGCAAUGUAUAUGAUCUAAAAUGAAUCAUAUUACUUGUGUAGAUGUUUAGUUUUCCUUUCUUUCACUAAUAGCUAUUGCUUACCCUCAUGUAAGCCGUUUGUGUAUGUUUCCGCUAGUGCUUUUCUCUAUUGAUGAAAAUGUACAUGUGAUGAGCCUUGGGCGGAUAGGGGAAACUCUGUCCGCUCGGCGUCUGUUUGACGUGCUCGGGUCGGGCCAAAUUGGCGUCGAUCCCGGGGCGUGACAGAUUAGCGUGGUAUCAGAGCCAAUAGUGAAAGAAUAGGAAUGGACCUAGAGACCCUUAGGAUUGGAAGACCUUAAGGAUCUAGGAAACGUGAGUGACGUGGGAUCAAAGUUAGCGAAAGCAUGUGAUUGGGUUAAGUAGGGACGUCUCUAAUGUGAUUAGAGGCUAAUUUUAAUUUUCGUUUAUCCUCUACUUCUAGUGUGGUGUCGGGCGGCCGACGACAUAACGCUUGAGGCAAGGAUGAAUGUGUAUGUUGCUUUCGCCUGAUUGGGUGUGGUCAAGUAAUGUUGGUCAAGUGACUAAUGCGAGUUGCUUCUUUUCAGGAAGCAAUGGCACCUCGUGGACGACCGCAGACAAGGUCGAUGCCGGAGGAGCCGAACGUGGAGCCUGAGCGAUCCGGAGCGAGGGGCGACGGAGAGCUUAGGGAGCAAAUGGCCGCGCUUAUCGGAGUAGUGCGGCAACAAGCGGAGUCUGUUCAACGCCAAGGCGAGCAGAUUCAACGGCUCCAGGAGGCCUUGGAGCGACAACAAGCGACGGCGGCCCAGGCGGGUGUCGAGCAUGUCGCGCCCCCUGUGGUAGUGCCAAGCGUGGACGAGGGAGCGGCGGCAGCAGCGGCUGUUCCAGUUACGGUAGUACCGGCCGGAUCGGGAACCUCAAAUCCCGAUAGCGCGGCGGUAGAAGCGGAGCGAGAGCGCACGUUGGCGGCGCUUAUACAAUUCAAGAAGUUCGACCCACCUACCUUCGAGGGCGGUUUGGUGGAGCCGGCGGUCGUGGAGUCAUGGAUCGACUCAAUGGAGACGCUCUUCGAGGAUCUCAAUACCUCGGAGAAGGAUAAAGUGUACCUCGCCACCCAUUCUCUUGAGAAAGCGGCAAAGGUGUGGUGGAAGCGAGUGAAGCGGGAUCGUCCUACCGAUCUCCCGCUCAUGCUUUGGGAAGAGUUCAAGAUAGCGGUGUUCGCGAACUACUUCCCCCACACGGUGAAGCGGAGGCUACAAGAAAAGUUCCGCAAGUUGAGACAGGGUGAUCGAUCGGUGGGAGAGUAUGAGCAAGAAUUCUCCCACAUUAUUGACUGCGUUCCCAAUGUUGUUCGUGAUGAUCGGGACCGGGCGGAUUGGUUCUUGCGAGGACUCCAACCCCGGAUUUAUGAGAAAGUGCAGAUCUUGAAGUUGUCGACCUUUGCGGAGGUCUUUGAUCGAGCUUUGUGGGCGGAGCACGGUAGCGCCCAUGUACGUGAAGAGCGAGAAGCUAUGGCCGAGUCGAAGGACAAGGGCAAGAAGAGAACGGCGGGCGGUGCCGGGGGCCGGCCAAACGCUAAGAAACCCCCUCGGUAUCCUCGACAGCAGGCGAGGAAUUGGAGACCGCCUCGAUGUGUCAUUUGUGGCGGUGAGCACAAGGUGUCGACUUGCCCGCAGCGAGACGGCAAGUGUUUCAAGUGUGGCCAACCGGGACAUCUUAUCCGGGAGUGCCCGUCAUGGACGUCGUCUGCGCCAACGGCGGCUUCAACACCGUCUACCCCGAGACAGCUUGCAGGGUUACCACCGGCGAUAUCGGCUGGACGCGCGUGAGCACCGCGUCAGCCGGAGGGAUCGAGAGCGCCUAGCGGUCGAGUCUUUGCCGCUCAGGUGGAGGAGCAACAACCUGCAGCACCCGACGACGUCGUGGCAGGUAUAAUUGUGAUUAAAGGCACUAGAGCUAGAGCAGUGUUUGAUACAGGCGCAUCUCAUUCAUUCAUUAGCACUUCAUUUGCUAAAACACAUGGCAUAGAGAUGGUAUACAAUGAGAAUUACUGGUGGGUGAACGCCCCAGAACAUUCAUUCAGUGUCCACAACGAGUGUUUGGCGUGUCCGGUGAAAAUAGGCGAUUGGAUUAUGCCGAUUGAUCUGCUAGUGCUAGAUCAGAUGUGGGGAUUUGAUGUUAUCUUGGGGACCAACUUGUCACGCCCCGAGACCGCUACCAAUUUGGUUCGGCCCCGGGCGCGUCGAACAGACGCCGAACGGACAGAGUCUCCCCUGUCCGCCCAAGGCUAACCAAACGAUCAUGUACAAGAAUUUACCCCGGAAUCAAUUCAUAAGUACACAAUCACGAGAGCACAACAAGUGCUAACAAGACGAGAGCAAGAUACGAGUAUAGAAACAUAUACAAGUACAUCAAGAGAGAAGAGCUAUCUAUUACAUUCAUUUGACUUAAUACAUUCAAUUACAUCUUUUACAUUCUUCCAAAAUAUAAGUACAAUCACUCGAACCUCACCCUAUACAUCAUCUACUCUCAAAUAUAAAAGGGUGACAGCUAAUACAAAAGGGAGGUAGCUAAUGCGACUAAAGCGCCGGGCCCUUACCGCGAUCCUCGCGCUCACCGGGGACACCCGAACUGGAACCUGUAGUAAAAUGGGGGUGAGAACUAACUUCCUUAGUUCCCAGUGGGUUCGGCCGCCGACUCCGCCGAUCUCCCCACUAGGUCCAAGCGGGCACAAGUAGAUAUACCAAUAGAUGGAUAGAUAGAUAGAUAAGGAAGCUGUAAAUGACGGAAAUGAAGCUAUUCUACUAUGCCCAAUCAUAAAUAUAUGAAUGCAUGUCCAAUGAAUUGGUAAGCAACUAACCUGUCAUCAUGUCCAAAGGUGAAGCUAUUCACUCGUUCAUUAACAUCAUUUACUUGUUCAUUAAUCUCAUGGCUUACCCGAAGGCUCGCCUACAGCUCACUAGCCAUCUCGACACGUAGGGAGAAUCAACUCACACUACGGACCCGAGACCGUCUGGCGGGGCCAUAUAGGCAAUCCCUGGCGUGACCAACAUCCGGAGCGCACUACUUGUGUGGGGCUUCCAUCACAAGAUUUAACAGACCGUGAGCAUGAUCCAAUCCUCUAAGCUCGAGGAUACCCUGUCCUCUAGAGUCACAGUCAUCAUAUAGUCCAUAGGUGUCACAUACCCUAUUAACUAGAUUGUCCGUUUGUUCGCUAUCGACUAGAUGCCACUCGUUCAUGGUUUACUAUUGACUAGAUGCCACUCAUUCAUAGUUCAUCAUUUCCUUUACAUUAUAGGAUUCACAAUCUAGACCCAAUCCUUAUCAAUCCAAUAUAUCAAAUAUCCAAUGUACGCUACGAUAUCAUCAAGGAUGGCAUAAGGAAAGGCAAUGCAUGAUAAUCCUAUAAUGCAAUAAUACAAGAUGCAGAAUCGACGUGUACUAAGACAUAGAAGGGAGCCCGAUUGCUUCGGGAUGGACACCACCCACCUUUUGGCGAUGCCGCGAUGAUAGAAAACCCGACGUUGCGGUCGUUGCACGCCGCUUCAACUCCUCGGGGCGAAGCGAGCCCUCGAGUACCCGAUUCGGCGAUUUCUCCGCACCUGCUCGUCGGAUCGGCAAACCGUUUUCGCCGACGCGUUCCGAGACCUAGCAAUUAGGUUUACGACCUAUUAAAAUAGAUCAAAACCCUAAAUUUCCCAAAACCCCAAUCCGUGCCCUAAAAUGGCAACGGGAAGGAAAUCCACGGUGCGAGCUUCGAUUGUGAGCUCGAACCUUCCAUUUAUCCCUAAUAGGUUCCAUUUGAACCAAUUCUAAACCCUAAAACCUCCAAACCCUAAAAAUACCAUUAAAGGGGUUUGGACCUUACCUCUCGUCAAGACUCCUUCAAGCUUGAGGGAGAGGGAGAGAAGAAGAUGUCUUCUUCUUCUUCUUCUUAGUCUUCUCUUUCUCUUCUUCUUCUUCUCUUUCUUUCUUCUUCUCUUUCUUUCUUCUCCUUCCUUUCCUCCUUCUUCCCUUUCUUUUCUUUUCUUUCCUAGAGAGAGAAAGGGAAGGAGUGAGAGAGAGAGAAAGAGCAGCUGAGAGAGAGUGAGAGGGGUCCCCCACCUCUAAUAAAGGCUAUUUUGCAAAUAGCCCCCUCAACUUCUCACCUCUAUGAUCAGCCCUCUCUGGGCAUUUUCGCAGCGAGGGACCGGUCCCAGCUCGGGGAGACCGGUCCCCGAAAGCUGCCAUUUCGAGCAGAGGGGAUUUCGCGUUCGGAAACCGGUUCUUGCUUGAGAGACCGGUCCCCGGGAGACCGGUCCUUGUCCGAGAGACCGGUUCCCGAGAGCUGCAUUCUCGGGACUUAGCCAAAUUUGGCUAAGUCUCGCCAGGCCAACGUUCGGGAACCGGUCCCUGCCCACCAGGGACCGGUCUCAUCAGAGACCUCCGCAACCCAGCCUGAUGGAACCGGUCCCUCCCUGCCAGGGACCGGUCCCCGAGAGCAAUUCUGCUCCAGUGCAAGUUUUGCAAGCUGGGUCUUCCGGGCCUUCUUCAAUGCACUUUAUGCUUAUACGCCUUCGGGCUUUCCGAAGCUUACGCACUCGACCAGUUAGUUCGAUUCUGACCGAAGUCUAUUCCUCUGAGAUUUCGAUGAUUCACUUCCUACACCAACCUGGCUCUCCAAGUUACUAUGCGGUGAUAAUUGUGAAAGCAAUGGGCUGAUCACUUUUUCGUGAAGCCUAAUCAGAGAGUUGGUCUGACCAAGCGUUGCAAUAGUAGGCGGCUUCCGGCGACCAUAUCGUCUGUAAGCGAGCGGACGAAAAUGAUCAAAGGAGUGUCUGUAAGCCCUAUUUGGCAACAUGUGUGGAUGCUUCGAAAAGAAGAGUAGUACCCAGACAGUUGGGAGAUAUUGAGUAGUAUGCGAGUCCGGAUGUAUUUCCGGCGGAGUUACCGGGACUGCCACCGGACCGGGAAGUUGAGUUUGUCAUUGACUUGAUUCCCGGGGCGGAACCAGUUUCGAAGGCGCCGUAUAGAAUGGCACCGGUGGAGUUAAAGGAGCUAAAAGGUCAACUACAAGACUUGCUCGAUAAGGGCUUUGUGAGGCCAAGUGUGUCACCGUGGGGAGCUCCGGUGCUAUUUGUGAAGAAAAAGGACGGUACACUUCGACUCUGCGUAGAUUAUCGCGAGUUGAACAAAGUAACGAUAAAGAACAAGUACCCGUUGUCGAGAAUUGACGAUCUAUUCGAUCAGUUGCAAGGGUCCAAGGUGUAUUCGAAAAUUGAUCUCCAAUCGGGAUAUCAUCAGUUAAAGAUCAGGCCGAAGGAUGUGCACAAGACGGCGUACCGUACGCGGUAUCGCCAUUAUGAGUUCACGGUAAUGCCGUUUGGGCUUACUAACGCCCCGGCAGCAUUUAUGGACUUGAUGAAUCGAGUCUUUAGGCCAUUGUUGGAUCGAUGCGUCGUGGUAUUUAUAGACGACGUGUUGGUUUAUUCGAAAAGUGAAGAGGAGCAUGAAGAGCAUCUGAGAGCGGUGUUGCAGAUACUCAGACAAGAGAAGCUCUAUGCAAAGUUAAAGAAAUGUGACUUUUGGCUAAAGGAGGUCACAUUCUUGGGUCAUGUGGUAUCGGGCGACGGAGUUUCGGUAGACCCGAAGAAAGUGGAGGCGAUCAAGGCGCGGCGGGCGGACCGCCGAACGGAUAGCACCUCUCCUGUCCGCCCAAGGCUCAACAACAGGAAUGUGUACAAGAAUUUACCCAGGAAUUUUCAACGAGGGCACAAACAGUGCCAACAACAAGAAGAGCAAGUAAUCCACAAGUAGAAACAAGUGAAAUAAAAAAGAGUACUUUACUAACUAUUACAAUAGUUUGCAUUUACAUCCUUUCUCAAAAUGAAUACAUUCAAUCCUCAAAAUACAUAGCUUUCCAACCUCACCUACAUGAAUUUCUCUCAAUACAUAGGUGUGCUAAUGCAAAAAGGAAAGCUACUAUACUACCACGGUCUCACUGGUCGGGAGCGAUGCCCUUGACGCGGUCCUCGCUCGGUAGACCUGUACCUACCACUGGAAAUAGAGUGGGGUAAGAACUAUCUUCCAUAGUUCCCAGUGGGCUCGGCCGCGGACUCCGCCGAUCUCCCCACUAGGUCCAAGUGGGCACAAGUAACAACAAAUAGAUAUAUAGAUAGAUAUCUAAAAGCUGUAAAGGCAUAAAAGAAUACUAUGCUACUAUGCCCAUAAUCAUGUAUAAUGAAUGCAUGCAUCAUAUAGUAAAGAUUUACUAUCAUGCUAACAAAUUCGAUCCAUGUUCGAAUGAUAAUGUUCCAUGACAUUGUUAACUGUUCAUUUACCCAAUCUGUGGCAAAGCCCUUGGGUUCGCCCUCGACUCACUUUGUCAUCCCAUUGGGUGGGGAGCUCCAUGUGCCCCCAGACCCAGGACCGUCUGCGGACCUCCAAGUGGUCCGGACCUCCCAAGUGGUCCAAAUCGCUCGACACUCCGGAGUACUCGACGACAAUCCCCUCCAUGUGGGGAUAUGGAUGGCUAUACCACCCCAAAAGCAGACUGUGAGCAUGAUCCAUCCCCUCCAUGUGGGGACAUCCUACCUCUAGGGCCAACAUCUCAAUAGACACUCGUCUAUAUCCUCUCCAUGUGAGGAUACCCUAUGAACUAGGGUCAACAUCUCUCGCGGAAUCAUCUGUUCCCGACAUUCAUGCAAUGCUAUUUAGCUUUUCUAAAUUCAUUGUUCACAAGGCAUUUUCUAAGGGAUCCACCUAUCCCUAGGUCCAUCGACCUCUAGUGUCAAAUACACUACAUUAAUGCCACUCGAUAUGUUCUUUAUCAUUUGAUGCCACUCGUUUGUUCUUUAGCAUUUAAACGCUACUUUCUAUGUCACCAAACACCCAUCGUGUUUCAUCUCUUUUCUUUAGCACUAGGAUUCAUGUUCCGACCCAAUCCUCACCUAUCCAAGUCACCAAGCAUUCCAUGUACACUAGGUUAUCAAUUAGAAAGCAUAAGAAAAAGUACUACAAUGCAAUCCUACAAUGCAAUAUGCAAGAGAUGCAAAUUAUGUAUUUCUAAGACAUAGAAAGGAGUCUGGUUGCUUCGGGAUGACACCCCCCACCUUUUGUAGUCGAUAAUUGCUGUGGAGGUCCUAGAAGUGUUCCUCGGCACUUCAAACCACUUGUUCUCCGCCUAUUUGGGAGAAACGAAGCUAGGUCGGUCCUACUUUGUCGAUAUCUCUACACCCACUCGACGAAUCGAAAUUCCGACUCCGCCAACGCGUUUGGACACCUAGCAAUUAGGUUUACAAGACCUCAAAUGAGAUCAAUCUCAUCUAUUUCUAAAAAUCCCAUUUUGGGUGCCCUAGGGUUAGCAUCAUGCCAUUUGCACCAUGAAACCUUAGCCUCUAGCUCUAAUCCACCAACAAUGGUGCUAGAAGUCCAUUUGACCUCAUCUCAAAAGCUCAAAACCCAAAACCCUAGAUUCUACAUGUUAGGGUUCAAGAGCUUACAUCUAGGUUAGCUCCAAAGGAAGAGGAGAUGAAGAUGGAGAUGUCCAAAGCCUUCUCUUUGGUCUCCUUCUUCUUCUCCUUCCCUUUCUUCUUCUUCUUCUUCCUCUUCUUCUCCUCUUUUUCCUUCUCCUUCUUUUCCUUUCUAGAGAGAGAGAGAGAGCAAAAGAGAGUGAGAGGGAGAGAGAAUGAGAGGCUAAGGGAGAGAGAGAGGGUCUACAUACCCCUCUAUUGUAACAAAAUCCAAUUUAGCCCCUCAACUUUUCAUCCAUUGCACGGCCUUCACUGGGCAGAAUUCGAGCGGAGGGACCGGUCUCCCCGACUUGGGACUGGUCCCCGAGAGCAGCCCAUGCUGCCAGGGGCCUUUCUCGCGUUCGGGAACCGGUCUCUCCCCGGGAAACCGGUCCUCGAGAGACCGGUCUUCGCCUGAGAGACCGGUCCCCGAGAGCUCGAUUUUCAAGACUUAGCUGAUUUUGGCCUUCUCUCGCUGGCGUCGCACACGGGGACCGGUCCCCUCAGCCAGGGACCGGUUGCAUCAAAGAUCCCCAGCAACCCCCAGCCUCAGGGACCAGUCUCUCCCUGCCAGGGACCGGUCCCCGAGAACAAUUUUAGCCCAGUGCAAGUUUGCACUAUAUGCUCUCGCAGACACGUUUCCAAUGCACUUUUUGUGUUUUGGAUAACCUUAGCUUUCCCGAAGGAUACUCACUCGACAAGUAGUCAAUCCAGGACGAAGUACAACUCUCGAAUUUCGAGAAUACGCUUCCUUACACUAGCCAUUCGAGUCCUUGCGGUGCAUAUUGGCUGCAGUAGGUUCAAUGUAGGAAUAGGAUGUGCACUUAUAUAGAAUCUAUCUUCCUUGGUAGAUAGGGGUGUUAGUCCUAUGUGAUUUAUGAGACCGAGUUUAGAAGACCUUGGCCAGAGCAGAGUUAAUAGCGCAAAAAGAGUUUCCGAUAUUAGAAACUUGAGUCGAAUAAAUUUGACAUAUGACAGACAAUAGGGUUUGACGAGUUAUUCCAUGACCUCCGUCUAGUCGGGACUCAUGAUAGAAGGAUUGUAUCAUACAGUAACUGCACCAAGAGGUUCAGUAUUCCAUUCUACUUAAAUGUCACUAUAUGCUACUAGGCGUCACUGGUGGAUUGUGAGACUUAUGAGAAUUAUUUAAAUGAUCGAUAAUUCUUAUUAGGCUGAGUUUGAAUUAUUCCGAUCCACUAAAAGGAGUUUCAGUAAUAUUGUUGAUAGUGAUCAAAAUAUAUCUCACUACCAUAUAGAAUAGAACGUAUGGGGUCACACACAUAAGAGGUUGUGAUUGAUCAGAUAGCUAGAUCGCAAUUUUUGAAUCGUCGGAGGACCUAAUUGUCAAUAUGUUGAUAAUUGGACUAAUUCGUAAUUAUUACAAAUUAGUGCUAUUAAAGUGUAAACGUUAUAAGAGAGGCCUUACUAAUAGUUAGUAAAUUAUAAGAGGACUUGUGCAAAUAUUGCAUUAUUAUUUUNCGAUGUCAUGAUAGGUCUCUACCUAUUCAUUCUUGCCACUCUCAAGGCCAUAUCCGUGAUGAUGCCAUAAUUUGGUUAAACUAGAUUUAACGGUUUAUCUCUCAAUGCCAAUCUUGUUUCUAUGUCAAUGUCACCCUUGUUUUCUAUUGUCCAAGUCCAACCUCACAUUCACACAACUUGAGGGUCCAAUCACACAUAUCCUUUUGGUUCUAUCAUCCACUAUGUUCAACUACGUUAGAAACAUAUAAAUGAAGUCAAACCAAGUUCCACAUGUAUCUACCCUGCUAUGCAUGAAUGGGUAUAUCUAUACAUAUAUGCUCAAGAGUAGAGAAAACAGACAUAGAAGGGAAUCCAACGAUUCCAGCGUGCACCCCCCACCUCUAAUAUCCGUGUGGGUGUAGAAUAUGAACGCUCCCGCACUUUAUGAAAGCCGAUUCCGCGCCCUACAUUCAAAACGGUGCCUUAUUAGGCCCUUUGUACAUGAACUAUACUCUAACAUUUUCGUAAUGUUAAAAGGAGUUGCCCAACGUGUUUAGGGCACCCCCAAUUAGGUUUUUACGGGGUCAAUUCGUCCCUAAAAAAUCCCAGGGCAAAAGCCUUAUUUCCAAGCCCUAACAAUGUCAUUUAGGGUUUCUCCAUGAAUCGAUCCCAACCCUAAGCAAACAAUAGCCUAGGAUCAUCUAAGAACAAUCCUAGUAAGAUUUCUAGACCCUUGGAACCAACCCUAGGGCUUCUAUGGCAAACCCUACCCAACCAUCAUGAGAGCACUUGAGCUCUCAUGGGUUCCAUAGAGUUCAAGGCAUAUAGAAGGCUCCCAUGGCCAAAAACAACCCAAAGCUCCAAAACAUAGGGAUUAAAACCAUGCCCUAGACUCAUUUAUACCCAAAAACUCACCUUAGCCCAAGCUCCUCCAAGUGCUUCUUGUAGGACAGCUUGUAGAACCCACCAAAGUCUCCAAAUCCACCUUCCCUUGCUUCUUCUUCUUCUUCUCCAAGCCCUAGAGCAAGAGUUCUAGAGAGAGAAAGAGAGGAAAUAAGAGAGAAGGGUGAAAAUGGCUGUGGGAGAGAGAGGGGUGUCAACAUAUAGUGUUGUGACAAUUACAUUUAAGCCUCUCAACUUGUUUCCCCUUGAUCUGCCCAGACUGGGCGUUUUUCGCCUUCGGGGACCGGUCUCCCCGACCAGGGACCGGUUCCCGAACGUGGGUGUUCCAGGACUUAGCCAAAUUUUCGGGUUUUUCGGCUGUUACGCAGCGAGGGACCGGUCUGCCCCUUCAGGGACCGGUCUCACCACCAGGGACCGGUUGCCUCAGGACUUCCUGGCAGGCUACGCGUAUGGGGACCGGUCUCUCCUUGAGGGACCGGUCCCCGAGAGCACAAAAUCUGGGACUUAGCCAGAUUUCCAGAUUACUCUCUCGGGUCCCUUUUAGCCUCACUUAUGGACUCUAAUGUGCUUAAGGUCCACUCAAACUCGUUCAUCUCCGCGGUCCGCUCGUUUCGCGGGAACUUGGCACGAUUUAUGAGGGAUGUGGUAUGUUACAUUCUCCACCCCUUAAUUUAGUUUCGUCCGCGAAACUUCUAAGGUUGAAAUUUAAAUUUCAUACCUCACUUCGGAUCCUCGAAGAGGUGAGGAUAACGCUCCCUCAUUUCGCUUUCGAGCUCCCACGUUUCUUCCCGGUCAUCAUGUUCGCACCAAUGAAUCUUGACAUAUGGGAUUUCGCGGUUCCGAAGCUUUCGCACCUCCCGAUCGACAAUAUAUGCCAGGAACUCCUCAUAAGUCAUAUCCUCUUGAAGUUCUAUCGGUAUGUACGAGAGAAUAUGAUCCGGGUCGUACACAUACUUGCGGAGUUGAGAUACAUAGAAUACAUCAUGUACUCUCGCCAGCCUCGGUGGUAAUGCCAACUUGUAGGCCACCGCUCCAACUCGUUCCAAAAUCUCGAAGGGUCCGAUAUAGCGGGGGCUCAAUUUCCCGCGAACACCGAACCGCUUAACUCCUCGCAUCGGCGAUACUUUUAGAAAUACGCGGUCUCCUACCGCGAACUCAAUAUCCUUUCGCCGCUUGUCGGCAUAACUUUUGUGCCUUGAUUGCGCCGUUACUAACCUUUGUCGGGCAAGGCGGACCUUCUCUUCCGCCUCCCGCACCACAUCCGGGCCAAGAACCAUUUUCUCGCCCACAUCGCUCCGGUGUAUCGACGAGCCACACUUCCUUCCAUACAGGGCCUCGAAUGGCGCCAUCGCAAUACUUUCCUGAUAACUAUUGUUAUAUGCGAAUUCCGCCAUCGGUAAAUGAUCGUGCCAUCCGCCCUUAUAAUCAAGUACACACGCUCGAAGCAUGUCCUCAAGUAUUUGAAUCGUCCUCUCCGAUUGACUGUUACUUUGAGGAUGGAAUGCCGUACUAAAGUCGAGCCUCGUGCCUAGUGCCUCUUGUAAGCUUUUCUAGAAAUGAGAUGUGAACCUAGGGUCCUGAUCCGAUACAAUAGAUACGGAACCCCAUGAAGUCUCACCACCUCGUCGAUAUAGACUUGAGCUAACUUAUCGCCCGACCAAGUAGUGUGGAACGGCAAAAAGUGUGCCGAUUUUGUCAACCAGUCCACAACUACCCAUAUCGCGUCAUGUCCACCUUGUGACUUAGGCAGCCCCGUCACAAAGUCCAUUGCAAUGUUUUCCCAUUUCCACACGGGUAUAGGUAGACUCUGCAAUUUUUUCGCUGAAAAUCGACGCUCCGCCUUCACUUGUUGGCACGUGAGGCAUUGCGCCACGAACUCCCCUAUAUCCCUCUUCAUACCCGGCCACCAAUAAUGCAAUUUCAAAUCUUGAUACAUUUUGGUACCGCCCGGGUGGAUGCUAUAGGGAGAUUGAUGCACUUCUUGCAUAAUCGCCCUCCGAAGAUCGUCGUCCUUGGGCACGCACCAACGACCUCGAUAUCGUAGUGCGCCGUCAGUUCCAAUGCCACAAUCAUCGGCACUACCACUUUCAAAUUUGCCCCGCACCUUUUGGAGAAACUCAUCCGAUGCUUGUAAUUCUUUAAUUUUCUCCAACAAGGUUGGUUGCACAAUUAAGGUGGCAAGUGUUGCCGGCACUCCCGGCGCCACAACUUCUAGUCCCAACCGUUGCAUCUCCUUCUGCAAUGCCGGUUGAGGCAUAAUUUCCGCCGCCAAAUUUUCCGCCGAUUUUCUACUUAGAGCAUCGGCCACGACGUUCGCUUUUCCGGGGUGGUAGAGAAUCGUGACAUCAUAAUCUUUAAGCAACUCUAACCACCGCCGCUGUCGCAAGUUCAGCUCCUUCUGGGUGAACAAAUAUUUGAGACUCUUAUGAUCGGUGUAGAUCUCACAAUGUUCCCCAUACAGGUAAUGACUCCACAGUUUUAGCGCGAAAAUAAUUGCCGCUAGCUCAAGAUCGUGAGUCGGGUAGUUCUUUUCAUAACUCUUCAAUUGGCGCGAAGCAUAAGCUAUGACUCGGCCGUUUUGCAUUAAGACACACCCGAGACCGAUGUAUGAGGCAUCAUUGUAUACGACAUAGUUUUCUCCCGACGUCGGCAAGGCGAGCACCGGAGUAGACGUCAGUCUAGUCUUUAGCUCCUCAAAGCUCCACUCACACUCGGGGCUCCACACAAACUUCACCUCUUUGUGCGUAAGGCGCGUUAGUGGAGUUGUUAUCUUAGCAAUCCCUUUCAUGAACCGCCGGUAAUAGCCCGCAAGUCCAAGGAAGCUACGAAUUUUCGCUACACUUGUCGGGCGAGGCCAAUCCUUAAUCGCCUCAACUUUCUUUGGGUCCACCGAGAUGCCAUCUCCGGACACAACGUGGCCCAAAAAGGUGACCUCUGAAAGCCAAAACUCGCAUUUCUUUAGUUUUGCGUAAAGCUUUUCCUUCCGGAGUAUCUCCAACACGAGUCUUAGAUGCUCCUCGUGUUCUUCCUCGGUCCGAGAAUAUACCAAUACGUCGUCAAUGAAAACCACGACGCACCGGUCCAAUAGCGGACGGAAGAUCUGAUUCAUUAAGUCCAUAAAUGCCGUCGGUGCAUUAGUGAGCCCGAAUGGCAUGACCGUGAACUCAUAGUGGCGGUACCGCGUACGGUAUGCCGUCUUGUGCACAUCUUUGGGACGUAUCUUCAAUUGAUGAUACCCUGACUGCAGAUCAAUCUUUGAAUAUACCCUUGACCCCUGCAAUUGGUCGAACAGGUCAUCAAUUCUUGGCAACAGGUAUUUGUUCUUGAUCGUCACUCUAUUCAACUCGCGGUAAUCAACGCAGAGCCGGAGUGUUCCGUCCUUCUUCUUUACAAAUAGCACGGGAGCUCCCCACGGGGACACGCUCGGCCGCACGAAGCCCUUAUCGAGCAAAUCCUGUAACUGAGCUUUCAACUCUUUUAGCUCCAUCGGUGCCAUUCUGUACGGAGCCUUCGAAAUUGGCGCCGCCCCGGGAAUCAAGUCGAUAACAAACUCGACUUCUCGAUCCGGGGGUAGUCCCGGUAACUCCGCUGGGAAUACAUCCGGAUACUCCCACACAACUCGAAUACUCUCCAGUUCCGGGUAUUCUUUUCGAGGGUCUACGAUGGUCGCCAAGUAGGCCUUACAACCACCUUUAAUCAUCCUUUUUGCCCUCACCGUCGAUAUAGUUGCUGCGAAGCGUUUGCCCUUGCACGCCCGAUAGACAAACUCCUCUUGGUUGGGUUCACGGAACGUGAUCACCCUUCUUUCACAAUCUAUAACCGCGUAGUACUUGGAGAGCCAGUUGAUCCCCAAGAUUACUUCGAAUCCCCACAUUUCUUUCAACACGAGGAGGUCGAUCGACAUAACCCAAUCACCUAUUUGCACUGGGCAGUCCAAGCACUCAUCAUAGACGUCGAUCGAGUGCUCAGGAGUGUUCACCGACCAAUACUCCUUAUUAUGAGUGAUCUCUAUAUUAUGAGCUCGUGCAAAUGAUGCUAAUAUGAAUGAAUGAGAUGCACCCGUAUCAAAUAUGGCUCUAGCCCUAGUGCCUCUAAUCAGAAUAAUACCUGCCACGACGUCGUCGGGAACGAUGAUGGGUGGCUCCUCCACCUGAGUGGCAAAAACCCGCCUACUAGGUGCUCGAGAAGCCUCCGGCUGACGUGGCGCCGACGAUCGUCCAGCAGAUGUUGCGAGUGGCAGUCCCGCCAGCUAUCGCUGCGUGUACUGUACUGAGGCUGAUGACGGGGCUGGGAACGCGCCGCCCGAGCACUCUCGACUCAUGUGCCCUGGUUGGCCACAUCGAUAACACCGCCUCUCCCGCUGUGGGCAACUGGUGGCUCUAUGCUCCCCGCCGCAUAUCACACACGGGUAGUUAAUCUGGCCUCGUGUCUGACUCAUACCUCCCUGCCAUUGCGAUCGUUGUGGUCGCGGGGGUCACUUAGAACUCGACUGCCCCGCCGAUCCACCAGCCGACCGUUUUUUUGACUUAUCUCUUUCCCUUUCUCUCUCAAAGGUCUCGCGCUCAUCACGCGCGAUUGCAUUCCCGCGCUCCACCCAAAGCGCGCGAUCAAGCACUUCCUCGUAGGUAUUCAACCGGAAAGCAUGUAUGACCUUAAAAAUCUCGGGUCGCAACCCGCGCUCGAAUACUUCCGCUCGGUCCCUAUCUCCAUGGACCAAGUCCGGCACAUAGUUAAUAAUGUGCGUGAACUCCCUCUCGUACUUCCGCACUGAACGGCUUCCUUGCCUCAGCUUCCUGAAAUCCUCCUUGAUUUUUCUUUUGUCGCUUUCGGGGAAAUACUCCAUCAGCAGCAUCUCCCGGAACGCUUCCCAAGUAAGGAAAGGGUGCCCUAGCGAGCGAUUUUUUCUCGCUUGGUUCCACCACAACCGGACCGACCCAUCGAAGCAAUGAGCCGCUAGGUGAACUUUAUCCUUCUCAAGGGUAUAGAUAUCCUCGAAUAAGGCCUCCAUCGCGGCUAACCAAUUCUCCAUCGUCCACGGAUCCUUCACGUUACCGUUGAAGGUUGGAGGGUUAAACUACUUAAAUGACGUCAGCGCCGCCAACGUGCGCUCCUGCUCGGCCUCAAGUACAUCGAAAAUUGGAGCCGAUGAACCCGAUGCCGUCGGAGGAAUAGCCGUCACUGGCGCUGCCGCCACCGCAGGAGGUGGUGCUACAGGAGCAGCUGGUGCAGGCGGAUACCUCGGCACAGAUGCCGCCACUGCCUGUUGCGCCAUCAUUUCAUGGAGCUGCCCAAUCCGCUCUCCUUGAAGCCGCAUAGCCCCGGCCAACGCUGCUACCUGGGCUCGCAGCUCACGCACGUCAUCCGACCCCGACUGCCCGGGCUCCUCCCGAGGCUCCGCCGGUGUGGACCUCGUAACUCUCCUUGGUAGUGCCAUCGCGUCCUGAAACGCAAUGUAUACACACACAUUAGUACUCGAAGCACGUGAUUCUUACACGUUACAAACAACUACCCAAUUAAGCGAAAGCACAAGCCUAAUUAUUUCCACUCCCGGUGUUAUGUGGUCGGCCGCCCCACAGAGUCCCUUAAGUAGACAACAAUUAAGCCUUCUAAUCCAUCUCUACUUCCUUCUAGAGAAGUGUUAUAGUUAACCCAAUCAUUCGCUUUCGCAUAAACCAAGUCCACGUCAAGCGUUUUCUUAAGUCCUUAGAGUCUCCAAACCUAUGGUUUCUAGGUCACUCCUAGACUUUUGCUUUCCACUUCGCUCUGAUACCAUUAUAUCUGUCACGGCCCAAUCCCCGCCAAUUUGGUCAGGUUUGGGGCACGUCGACAGACGCCGAGCGGACAGAGCCUCCCCUGUCCGCCCAAGGCUCUAAGAACAAGUAUAAAUAGGCAAUCAACAAGCGAUUUGCAUAUGUAAUACAAGGCUUGCACGAGGGUAAGCAACAACGGAAACGAGAGCUCUAAACUAAUAUACUACAUACAUGAUACUUGAUUUCAUUUGAACCAAAUAUAAGUAAAUAAAACUAUUACAUUUCCAUUCAACCAUCAAAUCUUUUACAUUUAGUCAUCCACCCAACACAUGCUUGUUUACAUCUUUACAUCUCACUAAUUCAACAAAAUAAAGUUGAUACGUAUACACCAAAAGGGGAAUGACUACAAAAUGCAUAAUGUCCCGGUGGCCGCUAUCUAUGGCGCUAUACCCUUGCCUCGGUCCUCCGCCGCCCCGCUCGUGCUAGGGCCUGUAGGGUUAGUGGUGUGAGAACUACAACAAAGUUUCCAGUGGGCUUGGCAUCCGACCUCGCCGACUUACCCACUAGGUCUAUCCAGGCAUAAGUAUUUCAAAGGAGGAAAAGUAACCACCACUAAUUCAACUAGUAUUAUGCCUGCAAGAAAGAAGUCAGUAGAUAUAUAAUUUCAAUGCGAUAAUGGAAAUGCAUGCAUGCUCCAAUCAUAAUCAAGCUUUGGCUCUUACCCAAUCUUACCGGUUAACUCUGUUAACCCCAAUAACUCACAACCCAAAAUUCCUUAAUAACAGGGGACUCGAACCUCCCUAGGGACCGUCAACUGGUGGGACUUUACCUCGCCCAGUGGUGACCAACUCCGGAGCGCACCGCUCGAGGAGGAGCGACCUCCCUCAAGCCAAGACGUAAUGUGAGCAUCGAUCUAAUCCCCAACUUGAGGAUUCAUAACCACUGGUCACAAUGCCGAUGUCAUGAUAGGUCUCUACCUAUUCAUUCUUGCCACUCUCAAGGCCAUAUCCGUGAUGAUGCCAUAAUUUGGUUAAACUAGAUUUAACGGUUUAUCUCUCAAUACCAAUCUUGUUUUUAUGUCAAUAUCACCCUUGUUUUCUAUUGUCCAAGUCCAACCUCACAUUCACACAACUUGAGGGUCCAAUCACACAUGUCUUUUUGGUUCUAUCGUCCACUAUGUUCAACUACGUUAGAAAUAUAUAAAUGAAGUCAAAUCAAGUUCCACAUGUAUCUACCCUACUAUGCAUGAAUGGGUAUAUCUAUACAUAUAUGCUCAAGAGUAGAGAAAACAGACAUAGAAGAGAAUCCAACGAUUCCGGCGUGCACUCCCCACCUCUAAUAUCCGUGUGGGUGUAGAAUAUGAAGGCUCCCGCACUUUACGAAAGCCGAUUCCGCGCCCUACAUUCAAAACGGUGCCUUAUUAGGCCCUUUGUACAUGAACUAUACUCUAACAUUUUCGUAAUGUUAAACGGAGUUGCCCAACGUGUUUAGGGCACCCCCAAUUAGGUUUUUACGGGGUCAAUUCGUCCCCAAAAAAUCCCAGGGCAAAAGCCUCAAUUUCCAAGCCCUAACAAUGUCAUUUAGGGUUUCUCCAUGAAUCGAUCCCAACCCUAAGCAAACAAAUAGCCUAGGAUCAUCUAAGAAGCAUCAUAGUAAGGUUUCUAGACCCUUGGAACCAACCCUAGGGCUUCUAUAGCAAACCCUGCCCAACCACCAUGAGAGCACUUGAGCUCUCAUGGGUUCCACAGAGUUCAAGGCAUAUAGAAGGCUCCCAUGGCCAAAAACAACCCAAAGCUCCAAAACAUAGGGAUUAAAACCAUGCCCUAGACUCAUUUAUACCCAAAAACUCACCUUAGCCCAAGCUCCUCCAAGUGCUUCUUGUAGGAGAGCUUGUAGAACCCACCAAAGCCUCCAAAUCCACCUUCCCUUGCUUCUUCUUCUUCUUCUCCAAGCCCUAGAGCAAGAGUUCUAGAGAGAGAAAGAGAGGAAAUAGGAGAGAAGGGUGAAAAUGACUGUGGGAGAGAGAGGGGUGUCCACAUAUAGUGUUGUGACAAUUGCAUUUAAGCCCCUCAACUUGUUUCCCCUUGAUCUGCCCAGACUGGGCGUUUUUCGCCUUCGGGGACCGGUCUCCCCGACCAGGGACCGGUUCCCGAACGUGGGUGUUCCAGGACUUAGCCAAGUUUUCGGGUUUUUCUGCUGUUACGCAGCGAGGGACCGGUCUGCCCCUUCAGGGACCGGUCUCCCGAGGACCGGUCUCACCACCAAGGACCGGUUGCCUCAGGACUUCCUGGCAGGCUACACGUACGGGGACCGGUCUCUCCUUGAGGGACCGGUCCCCGAGAGCACAAAAUCUGGGACUUAGCCAGAUUUCCAGAUUACUCUCUCGGGUCCCUUUUAGCCUCACUUAUGGACUCUAAUGUGCUUAGGGUCCACUCAAACUCGUUCAUCUCCACGGUCCGCUCAUUUCGAGGGAACUCGGCAUGAUUUACGAGGGAUGUGGUAUGUUACACUAUAUGCUCUCGCGGACUCAACUCCAAUGCACUUUUUGUGUUUUGGAUAAAUUUAGCUUUCCCAAAGGAUACUCACUCGACAAUUAGUCGAUCCUGGAUGAAGUACAACUCUCGGAUUUCGAGAAUUCACUUCCUUACAUCCUUCCCUCCUUAAAAAGAGUUUCGUCCUCGAAACUAACUCGAUUCUUUACUUUAACUUAAAUUUUUACCUCACUCCUCGAACAAAUGAGGGUGGUGCUUCCUCAUUAAAUCCUCGAGUUCCGAGGUGGCCUAGCGAUCAUCAUGAUUGCUCCACUGAACCUUCACGUAGGGAAUUUCUCGAUUCCUCAACUUACGCACCUCUCGUGCGAUAAUCAUCACCGGAAACUCUUCAUAGCUCAAGUCCUCUUGAAGCUCCGAUAGCUCAUAUAGCAUUGCAUGCUCGGGGUCGUGAAUAUACUUGCGGAGAUUGGAGACAUGGAACACAUUGUAUACAUCCGCGAGCUUCGGCGGCAAGACGAGUCGAUAAGCCACCGUGCCAACUUGCUCCAAUAUUUCAUAGGGUCCAAUGUAUCGGGGACUCAAUUUUCUCCGCACUCCAAACCGCUUCACACCCCGCAUCGGUGAAACCUUCAAGAAUACGGGGUCGCCCACCACGAACUCUAUAUCUCGUCGGCGCCUAUCUGCAUAGCUUUGCUGUCUCGACUGCGCCGUGAGCAAUCUCUUGCGAGCAAGGUGGACUUUCUUCUCCGCUUCUCGCAGAAUAUCGGGGCCGAACUCUGCACACUAACCCACAUCGCUCCAGUGUAUAGGAGAUCGACACGUCCGCCCAUAGAGAGCCUCGAACGGUGCCAUCUCCACACUAGCAUGAUAACUGUUGUUGUAGGCGAACUCAGCCAUAGGUAGGUGAUCACACCAACUUCCCUUAUAGUCGAUGACACACGCUCGCAACAUGUCCUCCAGAGUUUGAAUGGUUCUCUCUGUUUGCCCAUCAGUCUGAGGAUGAAAUGCGGUGCUAAAGUCGAGUCGUGUGCAAAGGGCAUCCUGCAGGCUUUUUCAGAAGUGUGAAGUGAACCGGGGGUCACGAUCUGACACGAUCGAUUUCGACACCCCAUGCAGUCUCACUAUCUCGUCGAGGUAUGCCUGCGCUAACUUGUCACCCGACCACGUGGUGUGGAUCGGCAAGGAGUGAGCCGACUUCGUCAAUCGGUCCACAAUUACCCAAAUUGCAUCAUGGCCGCCCGUUGAGCGAGGCAAGCCGACCACGAAGUCCAUCGAUAUAUCCUCCCAUUUCCAAACGGGGAUUGGUAGGCUUUGAAGCUUUCCCACUGGGAAUUGACGCUCUGCUUUCACUUGUUGGCAUGUUAAGCACUUCGCCACAAAGCGUCCAAUAUCACUCUUCAUUCCCGGCCACCAGUAGUGCAUUUUUAGUCCUUGAUACAUCUUGGUGCUGCCCGGGUGAUCAGCAUAUGGAGACCGAUGCGCUUCUUGUAGAAUUAGCUCGCGAAGCUCUCCAUCUUUUGGCACACACCAUCGGUUUUGAAACCGGAGUAAACCACUGGUGUCUAAAUUGAAAUCGCCGCCUCGACCUUCCUCGAUGUUUUGCCGCACCUUUUGGAGUUCUGGGUCUGUGGGUUGUAGAUCUUUGAUCCUCUGCAACAAGGUCGGUUGAAUAACGAGCGCCAUUAACUGGGCCGGAACCUUGGGAGCGACCACCUCAAGGUUCAUCCGCUCCAUGUCUAACCACAAGGGUGAUUAAUUUGUAACCCACAUCGAGAGGUUCUCCGCCGACUUUCUGCUCAAUGCAUCAGCGACCACAUUGGCUUUCCCGGGGUGGUAGAAGAUAUCGACGUCAUAGUCCUUUAACAAUUCUAACCACCGCCGCUGUCGCAUAUUGAGCUCCUUCUGUGUGAACAUAUAUUUUAAACUCUUGUGGUCCGUGUAAAUCUCACAAUGGGCACCAUACAAGUAGUGCCACCACAGCUUCAAGGCAAAGAUUACCGCUGCUAGCUCCAAAUCGUGGAUGGGGUAGUUCUUCUCAUAGCUCUUCAGCUGAUGGGAUGCAUAAGCAAUCACCUUCCCGUUUUGCGUCAAAACAUACCCCAGUCCUAGAUAGGAGGCAUCGCUGUAGACUACGAAGUCUUCGCCUUGUACCGGUAGAGCGAGCACCGGAGUCGAAGUUAAUUUUUGCUUCAACUCUUUAAAACUCCGGUCGCACUCUUCGCUCCACACGAACCUAGUGCCCUUCUGAGUUAGGCGGGUAAGUGGAAUCACUAUCUUGGAAAAGCCUUCCACAAACCGCCUAUAAUAGCCCGCCAAGCCCACGAAGCUUCGAACCUCCAUGACAUUCGUCGGGCGCGGCCAAUCCUUGAUUGCCUCAACUUUCCUCGGGUCUACAAAAACUCCACCUGCGGAAAUCACAUGCCUUAUAAAUGGGACUUCACGGAGCCAGAAAUCACACUUCUUUAACUUAGCAUACAGCUUCUCCUCCCGAAGGGUUUGAAGCACUAUCCUCAAAUGCUCGGCAUAUUCCUCGUCACUACGAGAAUAGACCAACCACGACAAAUUGAUCUAAAAACUUCCUGAAGACAUGGUUCAUCAAGUCCAUAAAUGCCGCUGGAGCGUUCGUGAGUCCAAAUGGCAUGACCGUGAAUUCAUAGUGCCCAUACCGCGUACGAAACGCAGUUUUCUGCAUAUCCUCCGGCUUGAUCUUCAACUGGUGAUAGCCGGACUGCAAAUCUAUCUUCGAGUACACACACGACCCCUGCAACUGAUCGAACAGGUCAUCGAUUUGGGGUAGUGGGUACUUGUUCUUGAUCGUGACUCUGUUAAAUUCUCGAUAGUCCACACAGAGUCGAAACGAUCCGUCCUUCUUCCGUACAAACAACACUGGGGCUCUCCACGGUGAUACACUUGACCGGAUAAACUGUUUGUCGAGAAGGUCUUGCAAUUGACUCCUCAACUCCUUCAGUUCCGCCAGCGCCAUUCGGUACGGAGCCUUCGAGAUCGGUGCGAUACCGGGAACCAAGUCUAUGACGAACUCGAUCUCCCGAUCCGGUGAUAUCCCCGGUAAUUCCGCAGGAAAUACAUCCGGGAACUCUCGCACCGCCGAUAACUCCUGUAAUGUUGGAGCUACUCGUUCCACUUCCACAACAGUCGCUAAGAAUGCCGUGCAACCACUGUUAACCAACUUCCUUGCUCUCGUCGCCGACACCGUCGCGACGAAGCACGAGCUCUGACAAGCCCGAUAUGUGAACUCCUUUUGUCCUGGCUCACGAAAUGUAAUUACUCUGCUCUUGCAGUCGAUCGUUGCAUGAUAUUUCGAGAGUUAGUCCAUGCCCAAAAUGAUGUCAUAAGCCUCGAGCUUCUUGAGUUCUGGCGUUCGAAUAGGCAUUAUCCAGUCACCCACUUGUACUGGACGCGACGCACACUCCGAGUAAGUGUUAAACGUCGACCCAGGGCCCUCAACUCGCCACUUGUCAGUCGCCUCUAUGAGUAUGCCAUGCAUGCGUGUGAAUGAUCUACUUAUGAAUGAAUGCGUGGCUCAUGUAUCAAAUAAAGCCCUGGAGCGAACUCCGUUAAUUAAAACCAUACCUGCCACAAGGCGAUGCUCCUCCGCCUCCGCAGGCUCCUCGGCUUGAACCUGAGCGGCGAAUACCCGACCGCUCGGAGUUGAUCGCGUCACCUCGGGUUGACGCGGCAUCACCGCGCGUCCCGUCGACGCGGCCGCCGGUGGAGCUCCUCCAUAGUGAGCCGGAAUCGCCGACGCCAAUGCAAUCGAUGGGGCAGGUGAGGCUCCUCCUCCCGGGCAGUCCUGAAUGAAGUGCCCCGGUUGCCCACACUUGUAGCACUUGCCUCGGCCCUGCUCACGUCACGAGACUGGGUGGUCUCCGCCGCAUAUGAUACACCGUCGCGCUCCACCGCCCUUUGGCUGAGUCCGUGGAUACUUCGGGGGCUUCUUGGAACGUGUUUGUCCCCCCGAACCGCCGCCGCCUUGGCGUUUCUUGCCCUUGUCCUUGGACUCGGCCAACAUCUCACGCUUCUCUCGGACAUGGGCGUCUCCGUGCUCCACCGAAAGUGCUCAGUCGAAGACCUCCGCAAAGGUCGUGAGCUUGAGUAUCUGCACAGCCUUAUAAAUCCCCGGCCGAAGUCCUCGCAAGAACCAAUCGGCCCGGUCCCGGUCAUCCUUCACUACGUCCGGAACACAAUCAAUGAUGUGGGAGAACUCUUGUUCAUAUUCCGCCACAGAGCGGUCCCCUUGCUCCAACUUGCGAAACUUCUCCUUGAGCUUCAGCUUCAGCGUAUCGGGGAAGUAGUUGGCGAACAUCUCCCGCUUGAAUUCCUCCCACAGCAUUGGCAGGAGAUCGGAAGACCGAUCUCGCUUCACGCGCUUCUACCAUACCUUUGCCGCUUUCUCCAAACAGUGGGUGGCAAGGUACACCUUAUCCCUCUCCAAGGUGCGCAAGUCCUCAAAGAAAGUCUCCAUCGAAUCGAUCCAAGACUCGACCAUCGCCGGCUCCAUCUUCUCGCCCUAAAAGGUAGGCGGAUGGAACUUGUUGAACAUAAUAAGAGCCGCCAAUGCGCGCUCUCCUUCCACAUCUUCGGCCGUCACAUCGGGUGUAGCCGAUCCCGACGCCGCCUAUGGUACGAUCGCUGGCGGUGGGCGUGCCGUCACCGGAACAGCCGCUAUGCCCUCACCCUCUGCCGCUCCGGGUACAUGAGUCGAGGGUGCGGGUGGACCACCGCCCUCGUUCACCGUCGCAGCCGCCACCGCAACCUGCCGCUCCAAAAGAUCCUAGAGCCGCUCGAAUCAGGUCUCCUAGCGCUGCACCACAUUGGUCAACGCGGUCACUUGCGCCCGCAACUGUUCCAUCUCGCUCGGUUCAGCCUGCUCGGGCACCUCGGGAAGCGGUGCCGGAGUAGACCUUGUGCUCGGGCAUCCACUUGGAGCCAUUGGCUCCUGAAACGCAAGUACUUGGUUAAUUAUCUUAACCCGUUCGCCUCGUCGCAAUUACGACACACAACGACUCAACAACGAAAUCGGGCGGAAGCACACAAGUGUACUCGUUCUAGACUCUUGGUAUCAUGUUAUCGGCCGCCGACACAACCACCUCAAGACAAAAACUCAUGCCACUUAAAUCCGUCUCUAAUCACAACUAGAGACAUAUUACCAACUUCGACCCAAUCGAAUCAACUUCCGACAUCGCUAUAGGUUCACGUUCCGCUCACGCACUUAUAACCUUAGGGCUUACCAACCUAGGGUCUCCUAGGUCAUCCUAGACUUUCUCUCUUUACUUGCUCUUAUUACUGUGAUACCAUAUGACUGUCACGCCCCGCCCCGAAACUACUACCAAUUUGGUACGAUUCGGGCGCGCCGGGCAGACCGCAGAAUGGACAGCGCCUCCCCUGUCCGCCCAAGGCUCAACAACAGGUAUGUGUACAAGAAUUUAUCCAGAAAAUUUAAAUUCUAAACAUACACAUUCAACGGGGCACAAGUAGUGCCAAUAACUAAGAGCAAGUAAUCCACAAGUGAAAACAAGUGAAAUAAAGAGAAUACUUUACUAACUAUUGCAAUAGUUUUGCAUCUUUUUACAUGUACAUCUUUUCCUCAAAAUGAAUUCAUAUGUUCAUUCAAAAUACAUAGCUCUCCAAAUCCUCACCUACAUGAAUCUCUCUCAAUACAUAGGUGUGCUAAUGCAAAAAGGAAAGCUACUAUACUACCACGGUCUCACUGAUUGGGCGCGAUGCCCUUGUCACGGUCCUCUCUCGGUAAAUCUGUACCUACCACUGGAAAUAGAGUGGGGUGAGAACUAUCUUCCAUAGUUUCUAGUGGGCUCGGCCGCCGACUCCGCCGGUCUCCCCACUAGGUCCAAGUGGGCACAAGUAACAACAGAUAGAUAGAUAGAUAGAUAUCUGAAAACUGUAAAGGCAUAAAGAAAAACUAUGCUACUAUGCCUAUAAUCAUAUAUAAUGAAUGUAUGCAUCAUAUAGUAAAGGUUUACUAUCAUGCUAACAAAUUUGAUCCAUGUUCGAAUAUUAAUGUUCAAUGACAUUGUUAACUGUUCAUUUACCGAAUCUGUGGCGAAGCCCUUGGGUUCGCCUUUGACUCACCUUGCCAUCCCAUUAGGUGGGGAGCUCCAUGUUCUCCCAGACCCGGGACCGUCUGCGGACCUCCAAGUGGUCCGGACCUCCAAGUGUUCCAAAUCACCCGACACUUCGGAGUGCUCGACGACAAUCCUCUCCAUGUGAGGAUAUGGAUGGCUAUACCACCCCAAAGCAGACCGUGAGCAUGAUCUAUCCCCUCCAUGUAGGGACACCCAAUCUCUAGGGCCAAUAUCUCAAUAGACACUCGUCUAUAUCCUCUCCAUGUGAGGAUACCCUAUGAACUAGGGUCAACAUCUCUCGUGGAAUCAUCUGUUCCCGACAUUCAUGUAAUGUUGUUUAGCUUUUCUAAAUCAUUGUUCACAAGGCAUUUUCUAAGGGAUCCACCUAUCCCUAGGUCCAUCGACCUCUAGUGUCAAAUAACACUACAUUAAUGCCACUCGAUAUGUUCUUUAACAUUUGAUGUCAUUCGUUUGUUCUUUAGCAUUUAAAUGCUACUUUCUAUGUCACCAAACACCCAUCGUGUUUCAUCUCUUUUUUUCAGCAUUAUAGGAUUCAUGUUUCGACCCAAUCCUCACCUAUCCAAGUCACCAAGCGUUCCAAGUACACUAGGUUGUUAAUUAGAAAGCAUAAGGAAUGGUACUACUAUGCAAUCCUACAAUGCUACAUGCAAGAGAUGCAAUCAUAUGCUAUUCUAAGACAUAGAAAAGAGCCCAGUUGCUUCGGGAUGACACCCCCCACCUUGUGUAGACGAUGUUCGUUGUGGAGGUUCCAGAAGUAUUCCUCGGCGCUUUAAACCAUGUGUUCCCCGCCUCUUUGGGAGAAACAAAGCUAGGUCGACCCUACUUUGCCGAUAGCUCUACACCCGCUCAACGAAUCGUAAUUCCGACUUCGCCAACGCGUUUGGACACCUAGCAAUUAGGUUUACAAGGCCUCAAAUGAGAUCAAUCUCAUCUAUUUCCAAAAAUUCUAUUUUGGGUGCCCUAGGGUUAGCAUCAUGCCAUUUGCACCAUGAAACCCUAGCCUCUAGCUCUAAUCCACCAACAAUGGUGCUAGAAGUCCAUUUGGCCUCAUCUCAAAGCUCAAAACCCAAGAACCAUAAGUUCUACAAGCUAGGGUUUGUAGCUUACCUCUUGAGCUACACCAAUGGAGAGGAGAGAAAGAGAGGAAUGCUCCAAGCCUUCUCUAGCUUGAUCUCCUCCUUCUUCUUCUUCUUCUUCUCCUCCUUCUUCUUCUUCUUCUCUUCCUUCUUCUCCUUCUCUUUUGUUCUUUCUUUCCUAGAGAGAUAGAGGGAGCAAGAGAGAGUGUAAGAGAAAGAGAGAAUGAGAGGCUGAGGGAGAGAGAAAGGGCCUACAUACCCCUCUAUUGUAACAAAAUCCAUUUUAGCCCCUCAACAUUUCACCCUGUACACAGCCCUCACUGGGCAUUCUGCGCCCAGAGGGACCGGCCCCUCGUCGGGGAGACCGGUCCCCGAGAGCAGUCCUGGCGGCCAGAAGGCCUCUUCACGUUCGAGAAUCGGUCUCUCCCUGGGAGACCGGUCCUCGGGAGGCCGGUCCUCGCCUGAGAGACCGGUCCCCGAAAGCUCGAUUUUCAGGACUUAGCCGAUUUUGGCCUUCUCUCGCUGGCGUCGCACACGGGGACUGGUCCCCUCAACCAGGGACCGGUUGCAUCAAAGAUCCCCAGCAACUACCAGCCUCAGGGACCGGUCUCUCCUUGCCAGGGACCGGUCCCCGAGAGCAACUUCAGCCCAGUGCAGGUUUUGCACUAUAUGCUCUCGCGGACUCAACUCCAAUGCAUUUUUUGUGUUUUGGAUAACUUUAGUUUUUUCGAAGAAUACUCACUCGACAAUUAGUCGAUCCUGGAUGAAGUAUAACUCUCGGAUUUCGAGAAUUCACUUCCUUACAUAGCCAUUCCAUGCCCAAAACUACAUUGAAAUCCCCCAGUUUGCGCAAAGCUAGCAAAUCCACAGGCAUAAUCCAGUCUCCUACCCGAACAGGGCAAUUGGGGCAAAACUCUCGAAUAUCCAAAGUGUGGUCGGGUACUACAACCUGUCCCGGAUGCAAUAAAGAAACCAACGGAAUGCCAUGCAACUUGGCAAACAGCCAAUCUAUAAAUGAAUGCGAUGCACCGGUAUGAAAUAAUGCACGAACUCUAAUGCCAUCAAGUAAAAUGAUACCUGCAACCACAUCCUCGGCUGCUGCCGCCUCCUCGGUCUGAGCGGCAUACAUGCGCCCACUCGGGGCCUGUCGAGAUCCCUUGCUUGGUCGCUGGACGGAUGACCGCCCAGGCUGGUACUGUGUCGAUCGAGUCCCCUGGCUGGCGGCUGGUAGGGCCGGUGCCGAUGCAGAUGAUGGUGCCGGUGACGAACCUCUCGGGCACUUAGUCCGGAUGUGGCCCUCCUGGCCACAUUGGUAGCACCUGCCCGCCUACUAUGGACACUGCGGUGGGUAGUAAGGACCACCGCAGAUCACACACUGGGAAGGCCGGCGAUGAUCAGAACCUCCACGAUGUGUCACUGAGCCACGUCCACGCUGCUGGCUCCUAGGGUGCUUCGGCGGCCUUUUAGAGUGCGUCUGGCUCGCACCCUCAGCCGUGGGCCUCUUGCCCUUCCCCUUGUCCAAAGCCUCUCGCCGCUCCUGAACAUCUGCCGUGCCGCUAUCCACUAUGAACGCACGAUCCACCACCUCCCGGUAGGUUUGGAGGUUAGAGGAUUGCACAAACCGAAAAAUCGACGGCAACCCUCGCUCGAAGAUGCGGGCCUUGUCCUCGUCGUCCCGCACGACGAAAGGCACGCAAUGCAGAAGCCGAGAAAACUCCAUCUCGUACUCGGCUACAGUCUGGUCUCCCUGACGUAAGUGGCGCAAGUCCUGCUCCAUCUUCCUCUUGACGCUGGUCGAGAAGCAGUGCGCCAAAAGAAGCUCCUUGAACUUCUUCCAAGUAAUAGCCGCCAAGUCGGUGCUGGGGUUCUCCUGAAGAUCCAACCACCAGCGAUAGGCCUCGCCGUCCAGGUGGUGAGUGGCGAGCCAAACUCGAUCUCUCUCCUCUACGAAGGUAUCGCGGAAGAGUUUCUCCAUAUGCAUCAACCACUUCUCCAUGAUCCAGUGGUAGACCUUCUCUCCGUCGAAGAUCCGGGGACUGCACCUCCUGAACUCGCUGAUGCGCUCCAUCAAUCUAUCCCUCUCCUUUGCAGAAACCAUCAUGGGGAAAACUGCCCCCGCCGGAGGCACCCUGAGCUGGUGAUGCCGCAAUCGCCUCCCCGUGUGGUGCUGCAGCAGGCGCCGUCCGAGAUGUGUCGAGUGCAGGGGACGACCCUCAGGGUGCAACCACCUCCACCGAUGCGGGUGGCGUAGGAGCCUGUGUCUCUUUAGCAGUAGCCUGCUGAAGUAGGAGGUCCUCGAAGCGCUUCAUCCGCGCCUCCUGUCGGCGGGCUGCCUCCGUUUGCUGAGCCACCAUAUUAGUGAGGGCCGCAAGCUGGCAUCUCAACUCACGGACCUCGCCGGAUCCGGAGGUAGCGGAGGUCUCGACCUUUUCCAAGUUUGCCACAUUAUCCGCUUUGGCAGAUCGGGAGUGUGUAAUCGGCAUCGUCACUACAGUAUCAUAAAAGCGCAAGUUAGUAAACUCACACUAUCGAAUCCCGGCUCAAGUAGGUAAAAUCCAAAUCAUGCGAAAGUAAGGAAAUGUUCUUCACUACUAACUCUCGAUGUUACGUUGUCGGCCGCCAACACAACCCUCCGCGAAGUUAGAAGCCAUACGCUUCAAUUCAACUCCACUUUCUAGAGUUAUCAAAGAUACCCAAUCAAGAUACUUUCGCUUACAAGUCAAAUAGAUCUCGUCUCUCUCAUGAGCCUAUUUCCUAUAGUCCAACCAGCCUAAGGUUUGCUAGGUCCCCUAAGACUCAACCCUAGGGUCUGAUACCAAAUUAAUAUGUCACGCUCCGGGGCUCAGCGGAAGCCCGCCCGGCGCGUACCCAGACCCGCCAUAUGUCUAAAACAUAUAAGGCGUCUAGAACAAAGCGAUAAAUAAAGCAGUAAUACGAAGAGAGCUAGCGAUAUCAGAGCAAAAUACAUCUAGAUUUCUACAACAUGAUAAGGUAAAAGAAAACCAAAUCCACUAAAUAAAAGUCAUAAGUAAUACAAUAGAUAUCCCAAAACAAGAGCUAAAAGAGUACAUAGGUGAUCUCUAUACAUGGUACAAAAAUCUCUCUCUCACCAAAAACAUAAAAAGAGAGUAACUACCUAAGAGCAAGUAGCUCCCCGCUAUCCAGCUAGGCGACACCCUUGCCGCGAUCCCGUGCCUCCGCCGGUGCCGAAGGCUCUGAAAUAAAAUCAUAAAACGGGGGGCGUGAGAACUAUUAAAUAAUAGUUUUCAGUGGGCAAUUACUGACUUCAGUGAAAUGCGCCACUAGACCCAAAAGCUACAAAAAGGGGGUAAGUACGAGUAUAAGCAAAAGUGAUAUAUACGACAAGUAAAAGAACAUGAGUACUUGCUACUACAUGAUGUCUCUACUUAGCAUGAAAUUGCAUAAGUAAGAAAGUUAUUCUAUCAUGAAAUGCACGAGUAAACAACCAUCAUAAUGUCCCCAAUGUAAUAGUAAAAUGUCAUUGUUUACUAUUCUAGUCAAUGUUCACUUGACAUGUUAACUACUUAAAGUUAAAUCUUAGAAGAUCCGCCCGAAGGCUGUCUGGCCUGUAGACCCACCCGUAGGCUGUCUGGUCAAUGCCGAGCCUAAUGGCCCCGUGGUAGUCAACAUCCCCACUCUAGGAAUGAGCCUUACCCACGGCAAUCCACUUCGGCGCCCAAUCCCGCACGGCGAAUAUGUAUCGUGAUGUCCAUCUCCGGAGUGCUGGCUUGUAGGGAGCGACCCUCACAAGCGUGUGCGAAUGAGCACAAUGGCAGCAAGCAUAAGAUCCGUCUCAAGUCUAAAGUCAUCAUGUCUAAAACAUGAAAUAUGACAUAUGUCUCAAGGGCCUAUCUCUAUAUCAUCAUGUCUAAAAUAUGGAAUAUAAUCAAGUCACAAUGGCCAAACUCUGUCUCUAUGUUACAGUUUCAUAGUUUACUAGUUCAGGUGCCCCUUUAUGGCAUUUUGUUCACUAAGUCCAAGCAUGAUGAUUAUGUUCACGAGUACGUAAUUCUAGUCCUUUUCUUCAUAAGAGACAUAUUCCCAACUCAUAUAGGGAACCACUUUCCACAUGCAUGCAACAUACACAUAUAGCUCUACUAUAUAGAGUGAAAUUUUCGUUAUACAUAACACAUGCAUUUUAAGUGUUCUAAAAUUCACAUAAAUUCCAUUUAACAUGAAUAUGCAAUCAAAUUGACGUUACGACAAGUAUAGUACACAUAGGGGCCGUUUUGCCCCGAUUUCAUAAAGCCAAACCCACCGGACUUCUCCAAACCCUUCGUUUGCUCUGAUAAAGGUGCCCAGAAGCCUCCUAGUACCCUAGGAGCAUCAAAAAGGAAGUUAAACGAAUCUAAUGAACAACCAAGAGGUUGAUCAAAAACCAACUCAAGGAUAGGGCUAAAAACUCACCGAAUGCGAAGGAAACUCUCUCGAUCUCCAAAUGGGAGUUAGAGUCCUUCCAAUCUAACUUAAACAAAGGUUCUAAACCCAUCAAUUAGAUUCCAAAGCCCUCCAAACAAAAAUUUCCAAUUCUAACCCUAAAAUUCGAAUCUAGGGUUUCAUCUAGCAAAAUCUAGAAAAACAUGCAUCAAAUGAGGAAUACAUGCUACCAACCUCAAAAGAAGCUCCAAAACAAGCUCAAAGUGCUCUAGUGUUGAAGGUUGAUCCUCAAUCAAGCUCCUAGUCCAAGCUCCAAGCCACCAAUGGUGAGAAGAGAGGGUGUGGGGGAAGUCCAAAGUCCACCAAGCAAGCUCUCCUUCCUCUUCUCCUCCUUCUUCCCUUUCUUCCUUCUCCUUCUUCUUCUCUUUCUUCCUUCUCCUUCUUCUUCUCUUUCUUCCUUCUCCUUCUUCUUCUCUAGAGAGUGUGAGAGAGUGAGAAGUGAGGGAAAGAGAGAGAGAAAAAGCCCUAAAAGCCCUCUAAUGCAACAAAAUCCAUUAAGGCCCCUCAACAAACAAAACAGUGCACUGCCAGGUCUGGGCAGUUUUCAGGCUGAGGGACCGGUCUCCCCGCACCUGGGACCGGUCUCUCGGACCCUCCCGCAAAACACACCUUCGGGAAUUGGUCUCCCUGGCCAGGGCACCGGUUGCCUCGGCAAACAGCCGCAACCACGCGACGGGGGACCGGUCUCUCCCACCAAGGACCGGUCCCUGAGAGUAAAACUCUCAAGACUUUAGCCAAAACUCCAGAAUUCGAACCGCGGGUCAGAACACCAUCUACGACCCUCCACAAAGUGUGGGAAAGCUCGGAACCCAAAUCAAACACUCGAACCUCGCAAUUUGCACAGGUCCAGUGUGUUACAAGCUAAGUAACCAUGCAUGAAUGUCGGAAUACAUGAGUUCUGAGAGAAUGUUGGCCCUAGUUCGUAGGGUAUCCUCACGUGGAGAGGAUAGAUCAAACUCACGGUCUGUUAUUUGGGGUGGUAAAGCCAUCCAUAUCCUCACAUGGAGAGGAUUUGUCGUCGAGUACUCCGGAGUGUUGGGCGAUUAGGACAGAGUUGAUGUCCGCAGACAGUCCCGGAUUUGGGGCACAUGGAGCUCCCUACCCUAUGGGAUGGAUAUGUGAGAUGUAGGCAGACCCAAGGGUCUUGCCACAGAUUGGGUAAAUAGAAGGUAAAUGGUGUCAUUGGACACUGUUUUUCGAACAUGGAUCGAACUUGUUAGCAUGAUAGUAAACCUUUACUAAAUGAUGCAUGCAUUCAUUACACAUGGUUAUGGGCAUAGUAGCAUAGUUUUCCUAUUUUGUCAUUUACAAUUUUAGAUAUCUAUUUAUCUAUCUAUCUGUUGUUACUUGUGUCCACUUAGACCUAGUGGGGAGAUCGGCGGAGUCGGCGGCCGAGCCCACUGGGAACUAUGGAAGAUAGUUCUCACCCCACUCUAUUUCCAGUGCUAGGUGCAAGUUUGCCGAGCAAGGAUUGCGGCAAGGGCAUCGCGCCCGACCAGUGAGAACCUGGUAGAGUAGUAGCUUUUCUUUUUGCAUUAGCAUACCUAUGUAUUUGAGAGAGAUUCAUGUAGGUGAGGUUUGGAGAGCUAUGUAUUUUAAAUGAUCAAGUAUUUAUUUUGGAAAGAGAUGUAAAGGUAAAAGAAUGCAAACUAAUGUAAUAGUUAGUAAAGUUCUCUUUUUUUUUCACUUGUAUUUCUAGUGGAUCACUUGCACUUGUUGUUGGCACUGUUUGUGCCCUUGCGAUUGUGUACAUUUAGAAUUUAAAUUCUUGGGUAAAUUCUUGUACUCGAUCUAUUGUUGAGCCUUGGGUGGGCAGAGGAGGUGCUGUCCGUUCAACGUUCGUUCGCCGCGCCCGAGCCGCGCCAAAUUGGUAGGGGUUUCGGGGCGGGGGGCGUGACAAAACUAUUCUACAUCUUUUGAAGGAUUAUCGAGAAGUUUCGGCAAGUUAUUGGAGGGAACAAGUGGCCGGAAGAGCAAAAGUGCAUUGCAAAAUGCAAAAUCUGUAUUUUGGCACUGUUAACCGGUGAUAGAAUUUCGGGGUAUCGGUACCAGUACUGUAGCUGCGUGGCAGCAAGGCUAUUUGAGUCUUUUUACACUCAAUCUUAUCUCCAAUGGACCUAGCACGACUCCUGCAGCUGCUUGAGGGUUACUGGAGCUUAGGGAAAGGGGUUUGCAUCUCUCUCACUUUCUCUCUCUAGGGUUUCUCUCUCUAUGUGUAAGAAUCAAGGGUUUGAGCUUAUUCUUCUCUUCUUCUUUGUAGUUAGCAGCCUUGGAGGGUUUUGGGGGUUGUUGUGUGUGGUUGGAGAGGGAGUUUUGGAGGUAUUUGACAGGCUAAACUCAGCAAAUAACUGAGUAGCACCUUAAUAAGGUGAGUAAUACUAUUUCUUUCUCUAGUUGGUACUAGUAGUGAGUUUAGACUUGAUUUCUUGUUCCUUAUUACCAGCUGAGGUGAGGGAUGUUAUAACAGCUAUGAAGUAGGGUUUUGAGGUGGUUUUUCAACCCUAAUCCAGGGGAAGAAUGAAAUUGAAACUUGGAAAAGGUAAUUAGCUAGUUAAUUGCCUUAUGUUGAUGCUAUAACAAAUUUAUUGGUGAAGCAAUGAAGCUGUUUUUGGAAUCUAUUUUCAGCAGCUGUGUAAGGUAUCGGACUUCUAAAAUCAUGAAGUUACGGUGUAGAUUUGGUUGGAAGACCAUUUGAAAGGUUCCGGUGAAGUUCGGUGAGGUUCGGAAGCAUUCGGGCGUUUCGGUGCGCGUAGGCGCUAAAACGGAGCCGAAAGGCCAUGUUGGGCCAUGAGCUAAAUCCGGCAUUAGCGUGGAUGAAAAGAUGAUGAGAACAUGCUCGAAAACAUGUUUGAAGAGUCUCGGUUCGAUUUGAAACGAAUCGGAAGUCAAACGAGCGAAAACGGGCGAAAACGGAGAAGAAACGGUGAAAAAGGCUGAAAUUUGGCUAAGUCCUUGAGGCUGAGUACUGGACCUUCGGGGACCGGUCUCUCACCGCAAGGACCGGUCUCUCAGGGACCGGUCUCUCACCGCAAGGACCGGUCCCCGAGCGCGAAAAUGGCCCAGUUCGGGCUGUUGCAAGAGGGGCUUUGUUGAGGGGUUUUUAUGCAAUUUUGCACUAAUGAGAGUGUAUAGAGAGGGUUCUUUCUCUCUUUCUCUCAUUUCCCUCACUCCAACACCACCUCUCUCUCUCUAAACGUGAAGAAGAAGAAGAAGAAAGAGGAGAAGAGAAGGAAGGAAAAGGAGGAGAAAGGAGAGGAGAAGAAGAGGAUCCUUACCACCAUCAUCAUCUUCUUCUUCCUCUCACCAUUAGAGCAAGCUUAGCAAGGUAAGCUUCAAACCCAACAAUGGUAGAUUUCUAGAGUUUGAUCCUAAUGCUUUAGAAAUGGGUUUAGUAGCCUUUCUAGAUGCUAAUUAGUUGGAUUAUGCUUAGAUCCAAGGGUUUAAUGGUGGAUUUUUGCAUAGUAGCAAAUCUAGGGCUCGAAAUGCUAUUUUUGCAAAUAGAUGGAUUUGAUCUAAAUUGGUUGUAUAUAAACCUAAUUGAUAGGUCACUGAACGCGUCGGAAGCGACGGAUUGGCAAUCCGUCGAGCCGCUACAAAGAUAUUGAGGAUCGAAGCCGUUAAGGUACAGAUUGCCGCAGCUCGCGGCGAAAGCUUCCUAAAAUCAUGGAAAUGGAAUCGUAGCAUCGUGGUGUCGGGGAAUAAGCUCCAGAACAGACGGAUCGUGGAUAGGAGGUCAUUUGGCAGUCGCGCUUGAGUUGGGUCGAGCCGUGCGGCGUGCGCCGCAGGAGGCCGAUUGCGAGUGACGACGAGCAAUCGGAACGCUAUUAAAGGUGGGUGGUGUCCAUCCCGAAGCAAUCGGGCUCCCUUUUAUGUCUAAGUUUUUAUAUUGAUCAAAUUGCAUAUUGACAUGUUGACAUCUUGCAUUAUAGGGUGAUAAAUGAUGGUUUGGUUCUAUACCUUGCAUGUUCUUUGGUAGAAUAAUGUAUUUGGCUUAAUACUUAUAUCUAGCAUGCUUGAGGUUUAUAUAUGUGAUGUGGAACCCUAUAAUGAGAUGAUAAGUGUGGAUGGGAAUUUAGUAAUGUAUUGGCUAUUGCAUUGGAAACUUGUAAAGAACGAGUGGCAUCUAGUUGAUAGUAAACAAAAGAACGAGUGACAUAUGUGAGUCAUAGUGUAUAUGAAACCUAUGGACUAUAUGAUGAUUGUAACCCUAGAGGAUAGGGUAUCCUCGAGCUUAGAGGAUUGGAUCAUGCUCACGGUCUGUUUAAAUCUUGUGAUGGAAGUCCCACAAAAGUAGUGCGCUCCGGAUGUUGGUCACGCCAGGGAUUGCCUAUUUGGCCCCGCCAGACGGUCUCGGGUCCGUAGUGUGAGUUAAUUCUCCCUACGCGUCGAGAUGGCUAGUGAGCUGUAGGCGAGCCUUCGGGUAAGCCAUGAGAUUAAUGAACAAGUAAAUGAGGUUAAUGAACGAGUGAAUAGCUUCACCUUUGGACAUGAUAACAGGUUAGUUGCUUACCUAUUUCAUUGUACAUGCAUUCAUAUAUUAUGAUUGGGCAUAGUAGAGUAGCUUUACUCCUGUCACUUACCGCUUUCCUUAUCUAUCUAUCUAUCUAUCGAUUAUCUACUUGUGCCCAACUUGGACCUAGUGGGGAGAUCGGCGGAGUCGGCGGCCGAACCCACUGGGAACUAAGGAAGUUAGUUCUCACCCCCAUUUUACUACAGGGCCGAGCGCGAGUUCACACGGCGAGGAUCGCGGUAAGGGCUUAGCGCCCUAGUUGCAUUAGUUUACUUUCCUAUUCUGCAUUAGAGUCACCUUUAUAUGCUUUGAGAGUAGAUGAUGUAUAGGAUGUGAGAUAUUCUGGGAUGAAUGUAAGCUAAUGUUUAUAUUUUGGAAGAUGUAAGCUUUUUAUUAUGUUUUGGAGGUUCAAUGUGUAAUCAAUUGUAUUAUAAAGGUUGAAUGAAUGUAAUAGAUAGAUGCUCUCUCUUUAUCAUUACUUGUAUGAUCUAUACUUGUAUCUUGCUCUUGGUCGUUUUGCACUGAUUGUGCUCUCGUUGUAGUUAUUGAUUGUGUAUGUAUUCAAGUGUUUUCCUGGGAACUUGUUGUACACAAUCUCGUUGUUAGCCUUGGGCGGACAGGGGAGGUGCUGUCCGUCCGGCGUCUGUUCGACGCGCCCGGGCCGAGCCAAAUUGGUAGCGGUCGCGGGGCGUGACAAGUACUUUUUCUCAUUCAAUCAAAAAAAGAGCAAAACCUAAUUAAAUUGUUCUAUUAUGACCUGAGGGGGUAAAUUAGAUGUCCACGUUCACAAGNUUGGUCGUUUUGCACUGAUUGUGCUCUCGUUGUAGUUAUUGAUUGUGUAUGUAUUCAAGUGUUUUCCUGGGAACUUGUUGUACACAAUCUCGUUGUUAGCCUUGGGCGGACAGGGGAGGUGCUGUUCGUCCGGCGUCUGUUCGACGCGCCCGGGCCGAGCCAAAUUGGUAGCGGUCGCGGGGCGUGACAAGCUGUGAUUAACACUUUGAGCUGAAUAUAGUGGCAAUUGAGAGCUGUUUUGGGGUGCUUCAACCUAAGUGGAAGUGGAGGUUUAGUUCUAAUCUGAACCUAGGUGAGAAUCUUGCCAAAAUUGAAUGUUCUAGCUGUAGCUUUAAUGCAGUUUUGUACUUACUCGCAGCAGGUUCGCUGCAGGAAGUUUGAUUACUUUGAGUUGAAGUUUGUAAUCUUCAAGAGGUUAGAAUUGGUGUAUUCUAACCUGAUUUCAGUGGAGUUCGAGAUUGGAGUUCAUAUUAGGUAUAAUUCGACCUAAAUGAGAUGUUUAUUUGAGUAAUGUUGUGGAGUAUUGGAUUGAGUUCUUUGCUGACUUUUAUAUGCUUAUUAGGGCGCUUGGUGAUGAGCGAAACCUUCGCUAACGUGAUCGUUAAGACUCGUCGACUGAUUGGUGGUUUUGACCUUCCCGAAAUAGGUGAAUUCUCUCUAUGUCUCCUUUGACAUUAUGAGUUAAAGUUAUUACAUAUUCAUGUGAACAUAUGUAUAUUUGAAGGAAUUGAGACAUGCAUCAAUGUACAUAUUAUAUCGGAUAUAAUAGCACCUCUAUGCAGUAGAGAAAGAAUUAUAAAAUUGCUUAUUUCACAUAGAUCACUUGUUCAAUUACCAUGCGUUCACGACAUUGUAACUUGCGUAAACAAGUUAAGCAUGACAUCAUUUAAGAGGGAGUAACUCUAAAACCAUGAAUGUAACAUUUAGCUCAGUUGGACAACAAAGUGAAUGAUGUAGUAUGAUGAUAUAUCUGGGGUUAAAUCAUGCAAUUCCAUGUUUUAGACAGGGGGCUAGAACUCUUGAUCUAUCUUGUAUAGUGACGCUAUACAUUUAUGUUGAAAUCAUGUAAAGAGUAUCAUAGACAACGUUUCACAUACUUGUGUUAACAAGUUGGUUAUUAUUUUCAACUGAUAAAACUGGCUUGAACUUCGUGUUUUGGACAUAAUCUAGUUAAGUGACCAGAACUUGGCAUUAUGAUAUAACAUGAAUGUACACUGUUGAAUAUAACCUAGUUGAAAAACUAGAAAUGAACAUGAUGUCAUACUUGUAUAGUCAAGUAAAAGUACUUGCAUGUUACUUAUUUACUUCAAGUAGUGGAAGUUUAUAUGGAACUAUAGAAUAUGUGCCAUGAGUUGUAUGAACCUAGAAUGAGUCAUUGAGUAUGACCUUAGUAAACCACUUUCCUUAUGUAUAGUGAGUAGUAAGAGGACUCUAUGUGAGUGUGCGGAUAUAGCCCAUUAGAAACAUCUCUAUGAUGUACAGUAUAUACUUGUUUAAGUCAUACUAUCUAUUGGUAGAAUUAUGUAAACAAGUAGUUGAUAGUGGCUUAUGACUUAGUGUUACCGUGUCGACCUUGCGUCGAGUUAAGAUUCCAUGUUAGAGACAUGAUGAACUUGCGAUACCUAUGCUUUAUUAUGUGUAAAUCUCUUGUUAAUUAGAUUAAUGUAAGUGACUUUAACCUUAGAUGGAUAUAGUGGUAAGGAUAUUUUAUGUCAUCAGUUGAAUAUACCUAGUAAUGGACAUAUUAGGAGGUUGACAUUCCUGUUGGUCAGUAAGAUAGUGACAGUACUUGAAUGUUUACACUCUUACUAGUGUAGGUAAUAGCUAAAUGAUGUCAUUAACUAGUUAAAUUAUAAUGAUACUAUUUUGUAUACAGCCUGACAUAUAGCUAAUUAAACUGUUAAUUAGCAUGAUUUAUGAAGCUUAUUAUGAUGAACUAGUAUAUAAGACAUGUUAGAAAACAUAUCUUGUGAGGCAUGUUCUAGUUGACUUAUUUCAUUUAUUUGUUAUGUGUACUUUAUUUACAUAUUGUUGUUUAAUCAUGUCACAGUGGACCUAGUGGUGUACUUCGCCACUCUCAGCGGCUUACCCACUGAGAACUAUUGUUUAAUAGUUUUCACGCUCUUUUAUUGGUUGUUUUCAUGCAGUGCCUUCCAUAGCGGGAAAGGAUAGGGUUCCUUGCAAGGGGUCAAUGGCUAGUUAGAGCCUUCUCGAUAUUAAAUAGACGAACCCCUACAAGUUUAUGCAGUUUAGUUUAGUGUUGUAUACUGAGAUUAUGUAGAUUGUACUUUGUUCUUAUCUGUUGUAAUAAGGUUUUAUAUUUGUAUAAGUUUAUAAACUUUUAGUUGCGCUCUAAUUACUUAGUUAAGAUAUUAUCUUUUUACUAUAUUGUUGUAGACGCCUGGUGUACACUUGAGAUAGGAAUGUACACGGCGGAUCUGUGCACGUGACUGGUGAGCUUCCGCUGAAGUUCAGGGCGUGACAACCGUAACAUUUUGGACCAACCCGACUUUUUGCGGGUUCGGGGUUCGAACCUUGCACUCAGGGUCCGGAUCCCGAGAGCCAAUGCACACCCAAAAAAAUGUGAAGUUUUUCAGGUUUGCUAUUCAAGGUCCUAAACACUAUCCAAACCGUUCUGAAACAAUCGGAACAUCUCACGGCCUCACCAUCUCGGCCAUCACGACAUUUCGGUCAAUUUGACUGAAGUUCGAUACGUCUUACUGAAAAUUCGGUAUGUUAUAGGAUCCCUCUUCGUUUGAUCCUGUCUCUCCGACCUUUCUACUAGCUCUAAUUUCCUCUCUCCUUCCUCUAUCAUGGCUUGUCCAUGACGUACAUCUCACCACUGAUCGUUGGACGGUAAAGAUUUGCCGUUGGCAAACGGAACGGUGGAUCCGACAUCCGCACACUCCGUAUGCUGCGGAAUCCUACACGACUUCGUGCGCAACCUGCUCGACGUUUAUGAUUCGAUGAGAUACUCAGACCAAAAAUUCUCCCCCUAAACUCCCCAAUAGAAAUAUCGCGAUACCAACGGUCAGACCCCGUCGCGCCGCCGCCUCGUCCUUCAUAAACUUCGUCACAGCCGUCGGAUGCGGUUAGUGGAGGUCGGCGUCGUAGCGACAUUUACUUUCGCCGCAAGAAAGAGAGAAGUGCAGAACAGGGGUCGACCGCCGCUUGCUAUUGUACUCGCAUCUCUCUCUCUCUCUCUCUCUCUCUCUCUCCCCUGUUGCUCGUCUCUCUCGUCACCUCGCUCUCCUCUCGUGACAGAGAGAAACCCCCGAGAUCGGCGAUGGUAGAGGGAGAGAUAGUCCUUCUCAACGAGGUGAUUUAUCCGAUCCUCAGUAACCCUAGGUUCGUACUUCGUAGCCCCCCCCUCUCUCUCUAGAUCUUGGUCAAAUACGCUUUGAUCCCUUCUUGGUUUCCGAUCGGUUCUUGUUUUGAUUGGACUCUUAAAAGUUUGCCACGUUCUUCAGCUUGAUCUGUUGAUCUCGACCUUUAUUUUUUUUUUGUUUUCUCUUCGUGGGAUCGUAAUUAGGGGUUCGUAUUGAUCGUGUUAUUUUUCUCUGAAGGUAAUUUGAAUUUGGGACGAUUUGGGUUGAAUUGGGGGUUUGUUUGGUGUUAGAUGAUGUUGUUUGAACGAUCGAUGCAGGUAAAUUGGUUUCAGGGAGGAGAAUCCAUUUUUAGUUUUGGUCGAAUUUUGUCCACACCGCCUCUGAUUCUUUGUUUCUGGCAUGUAGAAAUUACUCGUUUAUCUUUAACUGAUCGGGGGACUUGUGGUGCUGAUUGCUGUUUUUAGUGCUAAAUUCCAGGUUAUUGUUACUCUUUGAUUUUGUUUACGAUGCUUCAAGGUUUAUUUUUGGAUACAUCCGCUGUCAUAUAAUGUUAAUAGCUGUUUUUGUUAAUUGAAAUAAUAGAGAACAAACAGGCGAUUGUCGCAAACUUGCAUGUAUAACAUUAGUUGCUAAUGCUGUGUAAGCGAUUCUUCUACUGAAGGGGGGUUCCAAAGUUGCAGCUUUUACAGUCGUCCGAGUAUUUGACGUUUUUCUUCAAAUUAGAUGGUUAAUUGUUCAAUUUCAUAGAUUACAAAAGUUUUUAAAUGUUUUGCAAAUCAUUGUCUAUUGUUUUAUGUUGUGUGUGUUCGCAUGCCUGUGUGCAGUAGGAUGGGGAUGUGGUGGAUGUGCGUGUUUGGGUGUGUGCCCGUGUGUGCAUAUGAGUGCACCUGUGACCCGCUUGCACACACUCAUUUCAUCCCCUUCUUCAAGGGUUUAUUUUAUGUAUUAUAGACACCUAUAUUAUUACCCUCUUUUUUCCUUAUUUAAUGAGGUAAUUUGUAGGUGGAAAUGCUUAUAUUUAAAUUUGUGCUUAUUUUUGUAGUGUCGCCCUGUCACUUGUCUUUUCUAACUCGAGUCUUUUGCUGACGCGGCAUGUUUUGGGAUUCCCUUCGCAGAGAAAAGUUUGAUAAGCAGAAUUAAUCAAUCGUUAGUGUUGACUUUCGUUAAUAAAUAUGGUGGUGACGAAUGAAAUGGCACUGAAUAAAUGUGGGAGAAACACAGGAUAUCUUAAGAGGAAGUGGGACUCUGCCGAACCGAACUCAACCCAACCCAAACUGAACUCUUUUUUUUUUUUUUUCUUUUUUCUUUUUUUCGCAAAAUCGGUUCGGUUCUGAUUUCAAAAUACCAGAAAAUUUUCCAUUCGGUUCAGGUUUUUGGUUUCUCAGAUGAACUGGAUGGAGUUGGUUAAGGUGGUGCCCAAGUCGUCGGAGAUUCUCUUUCGCAAUUUGGACUUUUCCUCUUUUCGAUCGACACCUUUUCUUUCCCCAUCCCUCUCGUAGCAAAUAUCUAUAAAUAGCUAUUACAGUAACCGCUUAUCUCCUCUCUUCCCCCACGUAGGGUUUUGAAAGGUACCUUCCCCACUUCUUCUCUUUUAUCACCCUUUCCCCCCCCUUAUUUUAUCCCUUAUAAUCCUUUCUUUAGGGUUCUCGUGGGGAUCAAAUUUCUUUUUUUGUCUUUUUUAAUAAAAAGUUUACAUUCUUUAUCUGGCCGUUGUGAUUAUGAGAAAUAGAAUAAUUAAUUAGUUUUUGGAUUUUACUUUAGCUGUCUCUUACUUUCAAAUCAUGAAAAGGAAAAUAGGUUGGAUAGGAUAUAUUAUAUAUUUUCGCUUUUGUUACCAUGUAGAUUUAUUCUAAUUCUCGUUGGAUUAGGCGCCUAACUAUGAGAAUUACUAUCAGGCUCGGUGCUGUAAUGCUUUUUAUUUAGGGUUCUCAUGUUUUUAGCCGGUGCCAUCUUAAAAACUUCGCUUAAUUUUCUGUCGAACUGAUUUUUAAGUGAAGUGGGCAACGGUGUUUCGCUGUAUAUGGUCAAAGAUUACGUGAUCUAAAUUUUAGUUGAAGAUAAUUAGCUUGUUUCUGAUUUAACUUUAUUGACUCGCGUACGUGGUCAAAGAUUUCGUGAUCUAAAUUUUAGUUGUUCUAUUUAUCUUGCAAAUAGAAACUGAUCAAGAGUAGAAAAUAUCCUGCUGUUUUGUUGAGAGAUAGGUAGCAUGCUACCUGUUUCAUUUAUUUCAUUUAGAAAUAAACGUAGCUAGAAAUGUGAACCAACUAGGAUUCGAACUUGGGACCUCGGGUGUCAACUACCAAGCCCUUUGCCACUUGCGCUAGGGUCGGUCGCUGUUGUUAUUACUCUCAGUUUUGAAGUGUUUAUAAUCACUGUAUUUGAACAGUCGCUUUAGUCAUUUUUCUUUUCCUAAUUUCUCUGCAGGAAUUGAUAUCAAGCAACACCUGUUACGGUGAAAAUGGUUGCGGAGUUGAUAAAUGCUAACCCUGUGGUAUAUGAGAGGAAAGAGAGACGGGUUCAUAAACUGCCAGCAGUUAUAGAUGAAUAUGCACAAGAGCCCAUUGAUCAGCAAGAAAUAUUUGAUAUCCUUUUAUUGCAAAAUUUUUAUCUAUGAUCUAUCAUAUUUUGUUGAACAAGGUUUCAUGAGGGUCUUCUGAGAUUUUCGGUAAAUUGGGAGUUUUUCUGACAUAUUGUGCUUCCAUUUUUUUUGCUUUUUUGUUGUGUAUAUUGUCUGCUUAAUUUCAGCUCCUUAUGCUGUGAUAUGAAACCACUAAACACGUUUUAAGUGCGAGUCCAAGUUCAUAUAGCUCUAACAGUCCCUUUUUUCUUCUUUCCAUUGAAACAGUUAGGAAAUUUAGUAAAUCCUUUUCCCUUUGUGAACUUACAAGUCUAUUGAAGUCCAUUCUGUGUAGUGUAUGGUAUAUACAAAAAAUUGGUUUCCUUAUCUGAGAGAUUUCUAAGGAUUAUAUACUUGGUUUGGAAAUUGGUCCUUAGGUUAAUAAGCUUGAACAGAUUUCAUAAAAAUGUUCAUGGGUAUAUUGUCUUCAAAAAAAGUGACACAAAUUUUGCAACGUGACUUGGUGAUAUGGAGUCCUGUGUGUUUGAAUUUCUCUCUCCUUUUCUUUUCUCCCUGUUUGUUGAAUAGCAUUAUUCUCCUUUUAAGCGAUUCUUGCCAUACCUGGAUCAUUUAUGAAGGUGACCUAUUGCUUAUCUGUAACUGCACAUGUUUAAUUCCUUAACAUUUCACAAAUCAUAUUAGAGAUAUAAAGGAUCCAGAACACCCAUACUCUUUGGAGCAGUUGAAUGUGGUCACUGAUGAUGCCAUUGAAGUGAACGACGAGAAGAGUCAUGUUAGGUACACAUACUUAUUGUAAAACUUGGUCGACACUUUUCUUUUGUCUUGAAUUUUCGGACUUCCGUAGUUUACUCAAGAGCUACUUGCUUUGAUACAGGGUCACUUUUACUCCGACAGUGGAGCAUUGCAGUAUGGCAACUAUUAUUGGGCUUUGCCUACGUGUAAAACUCAUACGCAGUCUUCCAUCUCGUUACAAGGUAUGCUGUCCAGCGGUAAAUGCUAUUCUCCUUAAAGCACCUCUUUUAGCAGGUCUGUUUUGUUCCCCCUCAGUUGCAUUGUGUGGAUUUUCUCAAAAAUAAAUUUCUGUCGACAACCAAAGAUCUUUCGUUGUGCCUGGCAUUUGCUGAGUUUUUUUCUUCUCCCCAGAUAUCUACUGCCUAACAUUGUUUGAAAAGGCACGCGCCUCAGGCGCGCGUCUCAGCGCCUAGGCGUGAGGCGUGGGUCUCAGCGUCUCAGGGAGUAAAACGCGCGCCUUAGACGCGCCUCGUGAUAUUUAUGUUUAAUGUCUUUAGGGUUUGGGUUUUUGAGGUUUUGGGAUUUUUCAAUAUAUUUUAAAAUGUUGAGGAAUUGAAAAAUAAAUCCUAAUUUGAAUGCUUGUCUUCCCUUUUUUUCCUUGGUCAUUCUCUCUUCCUCCCUCUAAUGGCAAUAAGUAGUAGCGGAAAGAAGCAAGAAACAAGAAGUAAGAACUAGCAACAAACAUUUUUAAGUUGAAAGUUGAAACAUAAUUUUUUUUCUUUUUAGUUUGAGAACAUUUAUACAUAUGAUUUCAUUACUUUUUUAUNCCAGUGUCUCGCGUCGUCACAUCCGUUGCGGUUCCGUUCACGAUAUUGACACCCGUUCUUCCCGUGAACUCGGCGCUGACAGGUCGCUCCCGGGGCGAAUAAGGCAGUCAACGUAGCUGAGGCCGUUGAGGUCGUGUAAUACCUCCUCGGGGUGGACGACGCAGUAGCCGACCCGCACGCUACCACGGUGCAGUUGGACUCCGCUGAUUCAGCCGAGGCUCGCCUGCCCACAAGCGGCGAGUCUGAGUUCGGUACCUUGGACGGCUCUGCCUCCUAGCUGUACACGAGCGUCCAUACCAAAAUUAACUGCCUCAAGCGAGGUCCCGAUACAAACUAUGCCUACCGCGGCCGCCUUAACUUCCUCAACGCCCGAGUCAACUAUCUAGAGGAGCUAUUCCCUAAAUAUGCCGGUUCAUAUAGUGGCACCCCUCGGGGCCAGGAUAAGCACGCUUUCUUCCUGCCUAGCAAAGCUGAGACGCAUCUAAUAGCGCUCAACUUGUUCCAGUGCUAGUUCUUGUUCAUGGGCAACGGCUCCUAACUGCUAAACAAACUAGUCAACGUUCCUAGAGCCCAAAUGAGUUUCUAACUGGAUGUCAGGCCAAUAGUAGUCGAGUUCUAGUUCGGCCUCCUACACGUUUUCUGGCGCAAAGCGUGCGCCAUACCUGUAAUACUUAAGUGCCAGUACGGCAAACCCGAAUGAUUGCGGGGCCGUCGCAAGUACCUGAACUACUUGGCACAGAAGUUCCUCAUGAACCUGGCUAAACAGCACCAAAAGUAUCUGCUGUAAAAUCAGAUAAGCGCAUCGCUGCUCCUUGUACGGCUCGUAAACUCCUAUCACGAAGUUUAGGAAGCCCUCCUCUUCAACAUACGAUUCAAAUUCUUUACGCUGAAAACCGAGGCUCUCCAACGUAAAGAACCCGUACAGUAAAGGCUCCCUCCUCAUAGACAACUGGGCUCCUUUCACCUCCGCUAGUUCCUGACCGGAGCGGGCUGAUUGCAGUGCCUUCAAGCUUCGAAGCACCCCCCACCACCGCAGAUAGCGCAUUGCUGCGUCCCUCGACUCCACGACUGUGUGCGCGGAUGCUUCGGUGGCUUCUUGGAACUCGAUUGUCCCCCCGAACCACCGCCUUGACGUUUCUUUCCUUUGUCUUUAGAUCCAGCCAUCAGCUCACGUUCUUCUCGCACGUGGGCAUCCCCAUGCUCUGCCCACAAUGCUCUAUCAAAGACCUCAGCAAAGGUUGUGAGCUUGAACAACUGUACGGCCCUGUAGAUUCCAGGCCGGAGUCCUCGUAAGAACCAAUCCGCCCGGUCCCGGUCAUCUCUGACAACCUCCGGGACACAGUCAAUAAUACGAGAGAACUCUUGCUCGUAUUCUGCUACCGAGCGAUCCCCCUGCCUCAGUGUGCGGAAUUUCUCCUGCAACUUCCGCUUCACCGUAUCCGGAAAAUAGUUGGCAAACAUCGCCUUCUUGAACUCAUCCCACAUCAUAGGUGGAAGAUCAGAAGGCCGAUCUCGUUUCACUCGUUUCCACCACACCUUCGCUGUCUUCUCGAGGCAAUGGGUGGCGAGACUCACCUUGUCCUUUUCCGAGGUAUAGAGAUCUUCGAAAAGGGUUUCCAUUGAGUCAAUCCAUGACUCGACCAUCGACGGCUCCACCUUCUCUCCUUCGAAGAUUGGCGGGUUGAACUUCUUGAAUCUUAUAAGAGCCGUCAACGCGCGCUCCCGCUCUACUUCCUCAGCCGCUGCAUCGGGUGUUGCCGAACCCGAAGCCGCCGGGAGCACACUUGCCGGUGGGGGACAUGCCGCCACCGGGACUGCUGCCACGCCCUCACCCUCUGCCACCUCAGGCACGUGCGCCGAGGGUGCAGGCUGAUUACGACCUUCCGUCGCCGUCGCAGCCGUCGCAGCAAUCUGCCGCUCCAUUAGCUCCUGGAGACGAUCAAACCGACCCGCUAACGCGGUCAUAUGAGCCCGUAGCUCAUGCACCUCACUAGGAUUAGACGACUCUGGCACCAGAGGAGGUCCAGCUUGCUCUGGCACCUCGGGCGGCGGUGCCAGAACCGUCCUGCGUGCGUAGCGUCUUGGAGACAUUUGUUCCUGAAACGCAAUAACCAGGUCAAUAAACUCAACCCAUAAACUCGCUCGCAACCACGACUGACGCGACUCAACACUAAAAUCAGGCGGAAGCACACAAGUGUACUCAUUCUAGACUCUCGGUGUCAUGUUGUCGGCCGCCAACACUCUCACUUCAAGCCAAGAACUAAUACCACUUGAAUCCGUCUCUAUUCACAACUAGAGACAUAGUGACAACUUCAACCCAAUCGAAUUAUCUUCCGCCACUCGGCUUAGGUUCACGUUUCACUCACGCACCUAUAGCCUUAAGGUUUACCGUCCUAGGGUCUCCUAGGUCGUCCUAGACUCUCUCUUUUUACUUGCUCUUAACUUGCUCUGAUACCACAUUUAUCUGUCACGCCCCGAGACCGCUACCAAUUUGGUCCGGUUCGAGCGCGUCGAACAGACGCCGGACGGACAGCACCUCCCCUGUCCGCCCAAGGCUCAAAAGUAAGAUCAUGUACAUAGAAUUGCCCAGGAAUAAUUCAAUACAUACACGAUCCAACAAGGAGAGAAGCACAAAGAGUGCAAUACAACAAGAGCAAGUAACACAAGUAUACAUACAAGUGCAUAAAGAGAGAUACAUCUAGCUAUUACUUCACAUUCCAUUUUUACAUCUUUGAUAUAUUACAUUUUCAUCUUCCAAAAUGUAAGUACAUGUUUCUUCAAAAUAUAAGUAGCCCUCUCAUAACUAUCCAAAACAUUCUCUAGUACACGAGGGUACUCUAAUGCAUAAAGGAAAAGCUACUAACUAGGCUCACUUAGGGCGCUAUGCCCUUGCCGCGGUCCUCGCUUGGCUCGCCUCUGUGUGUACCUGUACCCCAAAACCACACGGGGUGAGAACUAUUAAAUAUAGUUCCCAGUGGGUUCGGCCGCCGACUCCGCCGAUCUUCCCACUAGGUCUAAGCAGGCAUAAGCAGAUAGAUAGAUAUCUGUAACUGUAAUUGAUGCAUAUAGAAAGAAUUGCAAGGUUCUACUAUGCCUGGAGAACAAGAGUAAAUCACAUAGCCAUGUAAUCUCUAACAUGCUAUAAUAACUCUAUUAAGUAUACAUGCAAUUCUACUAUGCCCAACAUGCUCAACAUGCUCAAUAUGCUUACUAUGCUCAAUAUGCAUAAUUCUCUUGAGUUCAUUACCCAAUCAUCUGGCUGGCCCAAAGGCGCGCCCUCGACUCACAACUCAAAUCCGUCUAUGAAGGGGGACUCGAACCACCCGAGGGAUUGUCUGCGGGACCCCACAUAGGCUAUCCCUUGGGACCCCACAUAGGCUAUCCCAAUCGUUUCACGUGCCAAGACUCCGGAGCUCGCACUACUUGUGCGGGGCGACCGCCACAAGCGCUGAACAGACUGUGUGAGUAUGAUCAAAUCCGUUUCCAACGAAGGUACCCGGUCACUAUGACCAACAUGCACAAGUAUUCUUUUAACACUACGUUCUAAUGCCACUCGUCAAGUUGUUUACUUGGUAUACAUAUGCCACUCGUCAAGUAUGUACUUGGUUCACAUGUCACUUGCCAUAAUGCAAUUGUCCCAACUAUACUAGUCAUAUGUCAUCCAUGCAAGAUCAAGUUAUUGUUUAACUUAUCUCUAUAGGGUUCUAUGUCACAAACUCAUUCUCAUGCACCCUAAGUUCACAUGCCAAGCCUACUAUGCCGCAAUACAAGGGAGCAUGCAAGAAUAGUAAAAGUAACAUCUAAAUACCCUAACAUGCAUGAUACUAUAUAUGUAGUAUGUUCAACAUAGAAAUACUUAGACAUAGGGAGAAGCCCAGUUGCUUCGGGAUGACACCCCCCACCUUUUAUCGCUAUCACGAGGCUAGGAUUCCGAUUUCGUGAUUUUUGGAAGCUUUCGCCGCAAGUUGCGGCAAUCUGUACCCUAACAGCUUCGUUCUUUAAUAUCUUCGUGUACGCUCGUCGUAUCGCCGAACCGACUUCGCCAACGCGUCAGAAAACCUAGCAAUUAGGUUUAUACAUGAUCAAUUUAGAUCAAACCCUCACGUAUUGCAAAAUCCCAUUUUUGAGCCCUAACAUGCAAUUAGCCCCAAAUAAUCCAAAUUAAAUGGAGCAACAUGCUAAGAAUGCUCAUUAGAGGCUACUAGAAUACUUAAGGUUAAAGAUUAAGCCAAAUCCCAAAAGUUUACCCCAAUGUGAACGCCGCAAUGAAAACACGUCGCUCCAACGGGCGCACGAAAGCUCAAUCCGUCGCCUCCAACGCGUUCGCAAGCUCGAUCUCCACCAACGCCGCGAAUUUGGGCGAAAGAUCUAGAGAGAUGAGAGAGAUAUUUAGAGAGAGAAAGAGAGGGUUUCUCUCUCCUUCACCAUGUGCGUGUGAUGCUUGUGCUGGCUGCAGCUGAGGAGGAAGAAGAAGCCUAGUAGCUUCUACUUAUAGUCAACACCUCAAUAGUAGCAUACACUAUUCACAUCAGGCAGCUCAAAAUCUGAUAUCUUUCGCCGGAGCUCCCUGAAUAUCCGUUUGAGCUCAAAUUUGACAGUCAUGUUCGGUUUUGCUUAACUUAACGAAAGAAAUUUUAAUCUUUCAGUUUCGACCCCAUUUGGUCACCGAAAACUGUGCCGAACUGCAAUCUUUAUCAGAUGGCUUUCGGAUUUUAUUUCUCACUCUACGGGUGUCAGAAAAAUACGAAACUUUAAAUCUAGCCUCAUAAGAAUAAUUCUGGCUUAUCCUCCAGUUUUCAGAAUUUUCUGACACUAUGCGUUUUCUGCUAAUCUAUCUGCCCCGUUUCACACAGAAAAUUCUAAAUCAUCUGUUUUCGCUCCGAUUUCAACACGAGCCAUUCCAGACUUAUAUUUUAUGUCUAUAAGUCCAAUAAAAUAGUAUUUCACACUAUUUUCAUUUAUAUUUAUUUUUAUAUUAAAAUUUCAGCAUACUACACCCCACCGCAACUUCAUAAUUUAAGAAGUUCGGUACCUUACAGCUGCCUAAGUAGAAGAUCUUAUGUGAGGGAAGAAAAGAGUAGAACACAGAGAGAAUGGGUAAGAAAUAGUUGAUAUGAUAGGACCUGAAAUCGUAGGGUCCAUGUGCGCCAAGUAGUUAGAACUAAAGGCUUUUUCGGUUUUUGUUGUUUGAUUUUGAAUUCUCAUGCACUUUUGCCAUGAUUGGGCAAAACAUGUAAUAAAGUACGCAUUUAAUUGACCACGUGCAAUUUCCAGCUUAUGUUAUCCAAAUGUUAGUCUCUAUAUGAUGUUAGGCGGCCUCCAGCUUUUCGUCGUGUUUGUCCAGUUAUUUGUUGUACAUAAUUUAUUAGGAUUCUAUCAUCCUUGCAUUAAAUCUUCUCUGCAUACUGUGUAGGUGGAUAUAAGAAUUGCGCCUGGAACCCAUGCAACUGAAGCAACUGGUCCGCUCUCAUUUCUUAUUAAUUUCUUCAGUACCAACCCUGCCUGUUUCUAUUUUUGGUAAAACACUAAUAUUGCUGAAGUGUUGAUACUUUCUCUGCCUAAUGCAGUGAAUAAGCAAUUGAAUGACAAAGAACGGGUCGCAGCAGCAUUGGAAAACCCUACCCUGUUGGAAGUAAUCGAGGAUUGCUUGUCACCCACAUUUGCCUGAUGCCUGGACUGCAGCGGGUCUGUUAUCGACUACUGCGCUCAUUGUCAUGCUUUGCAGUCAGUCUGUACUGAUAACGGAAUCUGAGUGAUAUAGGGUGGCCUACACUUUCCCAGAGUGCAGUGCAAAGUUGUUUAUGGGUAAUUUUGGUGUGCUCGCUAGAAAAAAGGAGUUUCGGCAACAAGUAUUUUGCUGGAUUAGGUUGACAAUUCGUUAAUUGUUGGGUCAACGUUAUUUCCUAGCUUUCUGGAUUAUGAAUAGAUUGUGAAUAACAGGGAAAUGGAAAGCAACGGUGGAGAAAAAUUUUUGGUGCUUCAUUCAUGCGAUCUGGGUUUUUGUAUUGGUCGGCAGAGGUAACUGCUUAUCGGGGCAUAUCGUUUACAAAAAUACUUAUGUAGCUUUUUAUCCAAACUACUAGUUAAGGGGACCCGCGCGUUGCGGCGGAGAGCUAGGAGCUAAUACAACAGUAUUGUAUUACAGUUUUUAAAUAAUUUUUUUCCAACUAUAGAAUUUUGUAAAGUAAGAUGGCUUAAUUUUAGGUCAAGGUAUUUUUUAUUACUUACAACUAAUUCGAAAUAUAGCAAAUUUGUGAAUGCAAAAUUAUGAAUUUCAAUGCUUUAACGAAUUCAAAACUCCAGCCGCAAUUUGCAAAUGUUACCGGAGCAAGCACAACAAAGGUAUUUCGAGAACCCUUAAGCAGCGUAAACAAAUAAACCCUAGUAGCAAAUAUUUCAAUGUUCUAAUGAAUUCAAAACUCGCGCCGCGAAUUACAGAUGUUACCAAAGUAAAUACAACAAAAGUAUUUCGCGAACCCUUAAGCAGUGUAAACAAAUAAACCUAUGUAGCAAACACUGGAACGAUUACUGAAAGACAAAAGAGACAAUCUUGUUAAAUCAACCAUUUGUAAACAUGUCUAAAACAAAGAUGAAAGAUAUUAGAGCAUUUUUAAAUUUUCUACAUUUAGCAAUGACGCAAGAGAUUACUGCUGAUAAGGUUAAAACAAUAUAUUCGAUUAUCAUUCAGAGUUGUUUAUUAAACCUGCGAAGACAACUUAGCGCAUGAAAAUGAACAUAACAACGUGAAAGCCUCCAAUUAUGCGAAAGAUCUGGAAGGACAAAAUAUUACACCAGAAUAUAGAAAGAAAAGUAUCAAAUAGCAAUUGAGAAAAAAAGUUGUUUAAAAAACACCGAUGANAAAAAAAUCAUGGAAGCUAUAAAAUUGAAACCUUAGAAACUAAAAUGAAAUUGAAACCAAAAUUAAGAUUGCUAUGAAAUUUGAAAGACAAAACAACUUAUUUCUACUUGAAAAAAAAACCAUAAAAUGUAGUACCCUAUAAAAGGAAAUCUGGUAAGAAUAUCUUACCAUUCUAGCAUGAUCUAAAUAUAUUAUUUUUCUGAUCAUGCCAAAUUUAUUCUUUUAUGCAACAAAUUAGAAAGCUAUUCCAAAUAGGCCAAAAAAAUACUUGUGAAAGAAAUUAGAGAAAUAGAUGAAUAAUUCUAAAAACUGAAGCCACGAAUUCUGCAAUAAACUGGCGUAGUAUUGAUUUAGCUCACUUUGCAACUAUUAAGACAAACUACCUCUUCAGUGCUUAGCAAACAACGCAAAAAUAUUAAUAGAAUUAUGUAAAAUGCAAAGUCUUAUAUGUUUGAGCAAACAAUUAAAAUAAAAUGAACAUCUAUGGUACCAAAACUACAAACCUAAACUAACUGAAACUGAGUCCAUAAGAAAAUAAUCUUAUAAAUAUCCAAAAUUUUUGUACAUAGGAAUUGCUUAAGGCUCACCUGCUUUUUCCUCUUCAUUUGUGAUAGAAAAGGCCAAAGAUCUUUUCUUGCUAAAAAAAAAAAAGAUUCCGCAACUGGUCAUUGUUUGGUUUUAUUUGAUAAUCACCAUUUGAUCCACCGUCAUAAUGAACAUUUGCACUCGAAUAUUCUUCAUUUGCAGGUUUUAUGGCUUCAGAAUAAAACAUUUCAGCUAACUUUGGAAGACGGGCUUGUGACCUAUUCAUUUUCCCAAAUGUGUAAUAACGGUCAUUUUUUUUAUGAAAAUUAAACCCUUUGUUGAUAAUGUUUCUAUGUGUAAUGUAAUUAUAAAAGCACACGUCAAAUUUCAGGCGAAACCGAGCUAAAGUAGAGAAGUUAUGAGACCUGGAAGUUCGACUUAAGUGAAUAGUAACUCCGGUUUCCGGAGAAGCCACGAAGCAAACUUGGCCUCUGGCACGUACAGACCUCCGAACAUAGGACUCCAAUAGCUCGUUUCGAACCUCUCGACUAUACUGGAACCAUUGGCACUGACAGAAUUGGGUUCUGAUGCACGGUUGUCGAGAAAAAGGGGUUUAAUGGCUUUUACAUAUGAUUAUACCUAUAUGUGGUUUUGGUGGAACCAAUGAGGGUGGGUUUUGUCGCAAAUCGGAGACCUUUUCAGACGAAACGAAAUGCUAGAUUCGAUGCCCCAGUCGUGCUGAUCGCGCUGGCGCAAUCCGUUUGGAAAUCCGACGGACGGAUCUUCGGGAAUCGCGAAAAGUCCGCGAAGGGGCUGAUUUGACAAAACAGAUAAAUCGCGAAGAAGCCCAUUAUUUUAUGCGCCGUUUUGCGAGUUUUCGAACUCGGAGGGACUGUCGUGCAAGGUGCACCAACUGGUAGGGAGCUGGGUCGAAAUUGAUCAACUUCGGGGGUUUUUCCGCAAAGUUUACUCUACCUACAUAUAGGAAGAUCUAGGGUUUCGAGGUGAAACCCUAACCCUAAUCCGCCCCCAGUUGACCUAGACCACCCUAGCCGCCCCAGCUGAGCCCUGCCCUAUCUGUGCGCGCGCCCCGGUCGCCGGCGUGCUGCUCCGGCCACCGGAAACCCUCCUGCAACCUACCCGGUCCACCAUCUCGGCCACCCUUUCCUCUUCCUUGGCCGAGAGCAGGUGGGGCAACUCCACCACCUCUGGAAGGGAAGCCCCGGCCGUGAUCCACCUCCAGCACGUUGUUCCCCCGGCUCCGGCCAUCCCCGGACGCCGCCGGAGCCGCCUGAGGGAGUUGCGGCCAGCCCGGGUUAGCCCAGACCGAGCCGGGCCAACCUUGGAGCUGCGCCGCCCCCAAGCCCUGCCGCCGCUUCCCGACGGCCGCGGAGGUCUCCGCCGACCGUCCGGCGACCACCGCACCCGACCCCGGCCACCCUUGACCGCUGCCGGCCGCCGCAGGUGCCCCCUGCCGCCGCCUUUGUGCUGUACGGGCCGAGCGCGGGCCGCCUUAACUCCCGGGCAUCGCUCCCGACCGGCCCCGACCAGCCCCGGCCGCCGCGUCGCCGCCGGCAACUGUUGGAAAGCACCAAACCGCAAGGGAGUUGGCGGCUUCGUACGCCGCCGCCGCACCUCCGGCCGCCCUGCGCCGCCUGACGUGGAGUGCCCCGGAGCCCCGCCAUCUGGUGCACCCAUCCCCGGCCGGACCGCCCGCCGGAAUAUCGCCGGCGGCCAACCCUAGCUUCCCCCCUCACUGUGAGUGUUCAUUUAUGUUCUAGCACUGUUUUUCGAGUUUCCGGUCACCUUUCCGGUGAUCCGAUAAGCCUCCUGAACUUCGGGAAGUGAGCAUGAUGAUCUAGGGUUCGUGCUGAACAUCGUGCUCACCUCCGACAGCGGCAAAGAUGCCCUGGUUAGUGAAUUAGUCGCGAUCUUCGCGCUGUGCGUGCAGUUUAACAGACCUUCGCGUCGCUCGUGCGCGCACCGCAGUCGCAGAAUGUGCUCCGAAUGGUGAGCACGGUCUCCGGCACGCUGAAACCUGUCAGCGAGUAUGACGGUCGGAUUAAUCGACCUCUGGUUUGCGUGCACGGUCCAGAAAAGCCUAGAAAUCACAUGAAAAGAUGCGAUUUCACGUAUCGGUAUGGGCUUUUGGGUUUUUUGCUUCGUUGUAGAUGCUGUUGGCAGCAUGUUUGGGCUGAGGAUAACCUUUGGACUGAUCGUCCAAGGCCCCAAGCCCUUGCGGAAAUCGAAAAGUGAUUCCGGAGCGUUUUCGGCGAAAUCCGCCGAUAGAACGCGGUUUCGGUUCGGAUUUCAUCCGACGGUGCCUCGUGGCUGAGUGUAGCGUCGCUGAGCCUUGUUGGCUGGUCACCCGCGUCGUUUUGAGGGUUCCGAAAUGACGGGUGAGCGACGAUGAAGUUUCGGUGCGGUUUUCGGGACUUCCGGCUUAUUCGGUAAUCGGUUUUGGAAAACCGGUCGUGGUUCUGGUGAGCGGGGGUUGUGAGUUAGCAUUACAUGUCAGUGGGUUAGACCUUAACCCGUUGGACCUUUCGUAGGUUCGGUCGCACCGUCUUCACAGUCGAGAGACCUUCAUCAGAUACGUACAGGUGGGUACUUCGACCCGACGUCGGUACAGUGGUGCACGCUCGGUGACCCUUCUUCACCCCUACUGUUUACUCUAUCUUACUGUUAUAUUGAACCUUACACCUGCAUUUAUAUCUGCAUUCCUCUACUCAGUUAUUUCCAUGUUGACAUCAUGCUUAGGAGUAGAGUUGACUUAUCUGUUCACUAUAUCUGUGGUUUGGUUGGGCGGCUCCCCUAUUUUGAUAUCUAUGACCUAUUCGGUCGAGUUGCUACAGCUCUAUCUUGAUAUACGUAGCCGACUAGUUACUGAUGAUCUAUACGGUCGGUGUGCCCUGAGGGGCUGGAUUGUCGGCUAGUUGCCGAUGGAAGAUCUUUGAGCAUACUACAUUGAUCGCCACUCCAGGUACGCAUUUCACGAACACCAGCGGUCUGAUCCACCGCAAGAGGGUGUUCUUUUCCGGAAAAGUGGUUGGAUUGCCAACCCGUGAGCCCAGGGGCUUUAUUGCGAGGGUAUAUGCUUCUGACCCAGGGGCUUUAUUGCGAGGGUCAGGUACAGGUUGAGCGGUGUGGCAUGGGCCUGACGUCUUCGGACCAAUAGGGCAGCGAGAUUGGGUACUUUUGAGGUUAUUGUCAGUUGACGCAUGCAUACAGUAGCUAUAGUGUUUACUUCCAGUACAUCCUUAUCUGUUUAUUGUAGCUACUGUUUUAUUCACCUGCAUCUAUACUUGUCAGCUUCUUACUUAUCAGCAUCUUUACUUACCAGCUUUUAUAUCUAUCUAGUUCUCCGUGACUGGUGAGUACCCCUCGCCUUCUUCGGCUUGCGGUACCCACUGGGAAGGGAGACAUGUUUACAUGUUCUCACCCCCCGCCCCCAUUACAGGUGACGUAGCCGGUCCGAGUGGGACAGCUGGUGAGGAACGGGUCUAGCAUACGAUAGAGCUUUUCGUCCCGUGGUUUGGUUUAUCUACCCUUACUCUUCAUGAUUAAAUAAAUAACUAACUUAGACAUAUUAUGGUUCAGUUUUAUUUUACUAUUUGGAUAUCUGAGUUUUCAGUUGGUUUUGGAAUGUAAUAAAGGAAUUUGCGUUUUCUUGAAAUGGAAAUGGCUUUCUACCCCUCGUGGUAGCGUUUUGAAAAGUUAAAAGUUCCUGUGUAGGGAACAGUUUUAAAAAGGUUUUCUGUGAAUUUUAUAUCUUAGUAUUUCAAAACCUGUUUCUGUGGUUGGAAACAUUUUAACUGAUAGAUGUGGAUUUAUAUUUAAAUAGCGAAUGUAUAUUUGUGAAUCUGUGGUGAAUGGUGUAUGAAUGUAUAUCUGUGGUUGUUUGUAUAUUCAUCUGGAUGUGGUUGUUGUAUGAUUGAACUCUUGUACUUGUGCGACGCCGUGCAAAUAUAGGGGAGACGCUGUCCGUGUGAACAGUGGAACUCCUGUAUUUGUGGCGGAUCUGGCACACUCUGGGGUCAGAUUUAAAAAAAAAAAAAAAAUUCAGACGCUUUUCCGCUACCUUUUAAACUAAAAGGGACCCCGGGGCGUGACAAAAUGUCAAUCACCACAGCAGUAGAAACCAAAUAUAAAUCAACCAGGUGCAAAAGUAAAUGAAAAUUUCAAGGGAAUAAAAAAAAAAUAAAAGAAGUAAUGAUAAGACAAUAGCAUUUCUUAAACAAAAAAACUGAAACCUACCUUUUUAGCUUCUGUUGUGCUUUAUGCCUUUGACUUUAAUAAUUAAACUUCUUCAAUUUCAAAGCAAUCCUACAAAGUAAAUAAUUAAAAGGAAUGCAAAGUAAUAUUAUUAUCUUUUUAUCUUGAAGCACUAUAUAAUGUUUUGUCAUAUUUUCUAAAUUGAAUAUAAAUAUUAAAAAUUAAAACUUUUUAUAUUCUUACUUGCUCUUUACUCAGUUGCUACUCAAGAUCGCCUAUUAUAAUAGAGAGCUUGUGUGCUUCUUCAACUUUUUGCUCCUGAAAGACUUGUUAAAGAACACACGCAAAAAAAAAGCCUAAAUACAUACGACACGUAAAAAUUUAACUCAUAUAGUAGUUCAGAUAUUCAUAAAUAAAAAAAAGCAGUCUGAUCAAAUAUUCAAUUUUAUAUGUUUCAGCUGAACUCUAGUUGGGAUAUUCAUCCUUAAUCAGCUCAACAUCUUAUUUUAUGUGCUUUAGCUGCAUAAAAGAGGGAGGAAGUUCACAAAUAAACAAAGAAAAACAACAUGCUGAUGAUAAAACACAGGAAUUUUUUUUGCUGCCCUAUUCCAACCGAAAUUAUUUUUGAGUUAAAUUUACAUCACCAUACUUUUAUUAAAAUUAACAAAUAAAAAGACAAAAAACAUAUUGUUAAUAAUGAUUAGGAACCUAUAAAUAUAAAGAUUUUUAAAGUCGGCAGUGACAAUAUAUCAAACAGUUUACAAAUAAAUAAAAAAAAAUAUUGUUAACAAUGAUUAGGACCUAUAAAUACUUUUAAAAUUGCAAGCGACAAUACAUCGAACAGUUUGCGUGCAUGGUAAACAACCCCAACAUCACGAUUAAAAUGAAUCACAGAUAAGAAGGAUCCAAUCAAAAAGAAUAGAUCAAAGGGAGAGUGAUGUAGGGAGGGAUCUUAUGAUGCUGAUGAUGAAGGACUCAAAUUGGACGUCGGAUGAGGCAGUGAAAGAGGAUGGCAUUUGAGAGGAGAUGCGGAAGCGGGCGUUGCCCCUGUACACAGCACAAAAAGACAACGGUCAUUCUUUUGCCAUUCUAUCCAUUUGAAUAUACUCUAAGAAAGGUAAAAAAUGCCUCCCUUCGAUUGCUAAUAUAUAAGUAAUUUGCUAGUAAUGACCUUUAAAUUCCGAUGGAAAAGUACUUAAAUCACAUAUAUUCUAAAGUUUAAUAAUAACGUCAGAAUAUUGAAGUUAGGUUACCCAAUUCAAAACAGCAAUACAUCAGGCGAGGUCUGUAUAGUAUUACUGAACAACAAUAAGGCAUACUAUUACCUCUGCCAUGGCUUUGAUUUUGAGAGUCGUGCUGCUAGAAAGAAUGAUAAGUUGUCCAUCUUUCCUAAUUUCCUUGAACAGGAGAGCACAAUCUAGAAUGUGAUCCUUAGCUGUUGGAGAAACAAUAUGCAUGAAAUUUCCAUAUCUUGAGAAAGACAUGGAGCUAAAGAUCUUAGCCCCGAGUUCAUUAUUUCCAUCAAUGAAUUGCAAAGUUGGUGUUAUAGGAGGAGUUGGUGCCACUGGUUUAGUCUCUAGAGAGCUUUGGACAUAGAGCCACCAACUUGUAUUUUUCAUACAUUCUUCAAUCCAUUGUAGUGCUGAAGAAGCCUUUGAAGAUGGCCUUCUAAAGAAGUUUUUCAUACAUUCUUCAAUCCACCAACUUGUAUUUUUCAUACAUUCUUCAAUCCAUUGUAGUGCUGAAGAAGCCUUUGAAGAUGGCCUUCUAAAGAAGUUUCCAUGUCGCUUCAUGCAGUCAAGCUCCCUUAUGACUGAAGCAGAAAGAAAUAAAACCUAACAAUUUGCUGAAGAAAUCUACAUAAGCGACAUUUAAAAGUAAAAUAAAGCUUGUAAUUGUAAAGAAAGCUAAUAGUCAAAAUUAAAAUUAUAAUACAAAUAAUCUUAAAUGGCAUUAUAUAUAUACAGCAAAAAACUUCACCAGUUAACAUUCAAACUACCAUCUCCCUCUGCCGAUCCACUAAGAUACGCCCGCUCCCGUGGACCGCGUGCAGGAACAAUGCGGAGAGCGCAGCGGCGCCGAUUGCGGAGAGCUCUGCCGUACCCGCUUAGGGAUCAUCGAUCUUCAUCCAGUGCUCGCCUUCCGGAUAACAGUUCUAAUAGCACUACACCGAAGCUGUAUAUGUCGCUCUUCACGGAUAAGUGGCCUCGCGGAAAAAUGUAAACAUUGUUAGAAAUAAGUUAUCACUAACCGACCCUGUUCAUCGGAAUCGGGCCGUGUUCAUUUAUGAUGUAAUAUGUUACCACCUCAACUUGUAUACUUUCUAUACUUUCUAACCGACCCUGUUCAUCGAAAUCAGGCUUUGUUCAUUUCUGAUGUAAUCUGUUACCAUCUCAACAUGUAUACUUUCUAACCGACCCUGUUCAUCGAAAUCGGGUCCUGUUUAUUUCUGAUGUAAUAUGUUACCACCUCAACUUGUAUACUUUCUAAAUAUAUAACAGCGAGCGUAAACAUUCAUAUUUAUCUGCUUUUGCAUAAUUUGAGGAUGAGUCGAAAUAUAACCUGUAGCAAUAUAUUCUGGAGCCGCAUAACCACGGGUUCUGACAAUAUAUUCUGGAGCCGCAGUAAAGAAAUUGAUGUUAGAAGCACAAUAACAAUUUUUUUUUGUUCCCUUCCAUAGAAAAGAAAUGAGAAAAAAAAACCAAGGAAAGAAGAACUCCAUGGUUUUCUUUGAGGCAUAGCCAUUCCGAUGCUGUCCAUGUUGAGGAGCCGAGCGGCAUUUUGGAGCGCCCCGUCGGUGAUAGCGACGAUGCCAUUCUUGUCGAGCACGUAGAAAGGCAUAGCUGAGGGGGCAGUCAACGACAACGACGCUUCAUUAGUCUACCUGCACAAAGGUGCUACCAAAGGAGGUCGGUGGCGGAGGUGGUGCCAUGUGGCAAAUAAGGCGAGAAGAGGGGUAGCGAGGAAGACGCCGAGGACGGAGAGGAGGGGAUUACGGGGGAAGUUGGCUCAGGUGAAUGGCAAAGAGGACGGAGAAAAUGACUAAAGAGGGGAAAAGGGUGAGAGCGAGCACAGGAAAAGGAUUGGGGGGGAUGGGGAGGAUGUACGACAGUAUGGCCGGAUCCAAACCCGUUGGUGUGGGGUCAGCAUGGGAGCAGAAGCAUGGGCUAAGGUAUGGGCACAUUGACUUCUGUUUCCUCUUUGUUUUUUCUUCUUUUUUUUUCCAAAGAUGGGCCGCAUCCGCGCCGGCUCGCGGCGGCGCGCCGCCCUGGCUCGCGCCCGCAUGCCCGGGCCCACUCCCGCUCGCCCGCGCCCGCGGACGCUCGCCUGCUCGCCUGCCCGCGCCCGCGCCCUUUCGCCCCCUGCGUCGCUCGCCCGCCCCUCCCCCUCGCGCUGAUCGCGGAGGCCCUGCCGUACCAGCUAGAAUCCUGAUUCAAAUAUUCAAAAAGGUGAAAAAAGGAAAAAUAGAGAGAGAGAUGAUGGCAUCUCACAGGAAAAAAGAGGAAAUAAAAGGAAAAAACCCAACUCGGCGCCUGCUCGUUCCGCGCCGUUCGCGCGUGUGCUCGUGCCCGCCGCCCACGCGCCCGUCGCCCCCCCGCGCCGGCUUCGCACGCGGCUGGCCCGCCCGCUCGCAGCCAUCGCGGAGAGGCGCUCCUGAGAGAGAGAGGAGAGAGUGAGUGUAUGGAGAGAGAGAAAGUUGUGUGGGAGAUUUUUUCCUUUAAAAAAAAGGUACAUCGUCAGAGAAAGAAGAGGUAUAUAAUGAGAGAGAAAGAGAGGUAUAUAAUACUGUGAGAAAAAGUGAGAGAAGAGAGAGAGGUAUAUAAUGUGUGUAAGAGAAGAGAGAGGUAUAUAAUAUCUAUGAGAGAGAUGUGAGAGAGAGUGAGCUACCUAUAUAUAAUGAGAAGAGAGAGAGAAGGUAAUGUACUAAUUUUUUUGGCAUUAUAUAUAUAUAUAUUUGUGAGAGAGAGUUGUAUAUAUAUAUAUAUAUUAUAAUAUAUAUAUUAUAGUAUUAUAUAUAUAUAAUGCCUAAAAAAAUUACUACAUACCUCUCUCUCUUCUCAUGUAUAUUAUAUAUAUAUAUAUAUAUAUACUAAUAUAUAUAUAUUAUAUAUUAUACUAUAUGCGAGAGAGAGGUGAGGGAAAAACAAAAAAAAAAAACACCAAAAACCCCACAUGAGUGAAGAGAGAAAACAAAAAAAAGAAAAAAAAAAGUACCCCGAAAGAGAGAGAGUAUGUAGUAAUUUCUUUAGCAUUAUACAUAUAUAUGUGUAAGAGAGAGUAGAUAAUAUAUAUAUAUAUAUAUAAUAUAUAAUUUAAUAUAUAUAUAUAAUAUAUAUAUAUAUAUAUAGAAAAUAUUAGAACUACAAAACAUCUAACCCAAUUGUUAAAAAAAUUUACAUCAUAGACCAUAUAUUUAGUUUGAUUCUAUAUAAAUGUACACUCUCUCUCUAUACUAUAUAAUAUAUAUAAUAUAUAUAUAUAUAAUAUAUAUAUAUAUCCCAUACAUAAUAUAGAAUUAUAAUAUAUAUAUAUUGGAGACACUCACAAUAAUAAAUCAUCUGCCAAUUGCUUAUAAAAUGCACGAAGUCAACUAAUAUUACAACCAUACACACUAUCAUCUAUCCAUUUGUAAAAAACUUUACAUCAAACCAUAUUAAAUUAUGUUAUAUAUAAAUACACACUCUCUCUCUAUAUUAGUAUAUAUAUAUAUAUAUAUUAUAUAUAUAUAUAUAUAUAUAUAAUAUUGUGAGAGUGGGUGGGAAAAAAGUGGGCCGCACAGUGCCCCAACAGUACCCCCCAAAUCCAGAGAGAGAGAGAGAGAGUGUGUGUGAGGGUUUUUUUUUUUUUAAGGUGGGCCCCACAAAAGGACCCUUGGAACCCGGAGAGGGCUCCAAGGGGUUCCCCUUUCAUGUUUGUAUAGAAGAUAGAUAGAUGAAUAAAAUAAUCUGUAUAUAUAUUUUUUUCUAAAAAAUUGAAAUAAAAUGUGAUUUUUUUUUGGAGUUUAAGGUUAUUAUUCAUGAAUAAUUCGCGACCGCUCAAUUACCUAUAAAUUAAUAUCAUGAAUUGGGAGUUUGUCACGCCCCGGAUUACUCGUUUCCCCGGGCUCGCUAACAGACCCGCCGUAUACAUAGAAAUUUUUCUCGUAUACGAAGCGAAAUAGUAGAAGUACCUAUAAUCAUACAAUACUACAAACAGUAGUAUAGAGCAGCUAGGAAAGUAAACCAUAUAUAUAAACUGUGGUUCACUGCAUACAUGUUAUCCAGGGUAUACAAAAACUCGCUCUGGCGAGAUACAACAACUGUAUGUAAAGACCCAAAAACUACAACUGCUUGUAGUUGGUGCUCCUCUAGCUCUGCGACUCGUCUGGAAGGGCUGUAACUCACAACGCCCUUGCCACGAUCAGUCUCGGUAGAAGCAGCAGCCGGAACAGAAGGCUUUGCAAAAACAGGGUAACAAUUGGGUGUGAGAACUACUACAAAAAGAAGUAGUACUCAGUGGGUGCCGCCCUCGAACUCAUCGGUCCACCCACUAAGUCUACAGGGAUAAGCAAGACUAGUAAAGAAAGCUGGAACAAAUCUACAACUAAAUAUCGCUAUACUAUCAUGCUCUAACUCUAACCCUCUGUAGAACAAUGUCAACUCAGACCCAAUCUCAAAUAAGAACUGUAAUCAUACCCGUCUCUGGGACUGUGAACACACCUGUCCCGCCCGGUUGCGACUAUAUAGCUACCUCUACACUAACCAGUCCGUGGAGAGCAAGUCCAACCUGCACGAACGACACCAACGCAAAAGAACAGCGCCCGUCUUCGGAGUGGCACCCGUGGGACUACCCAACCGAGUAUGCAGCAUAUCUCUGUCGAGCUCAAUCAAGCUCUAACAAGCCAAAGUCAAGUAGAUAGGGUCAAAAUAGGUCUAGAAACCAAACCCAGUGCCCUCGGCACAAUCUGAGACUAAAAACAGAAAUCUAGAUCCACCGUCAACCCCGACGGCACCCGACAUCCCGGAACAGCUUAGACUCCACUGUAAAAUCAAGCUCAGCGUCUCAGUAUGAGCGUAAAUACAUUUUAAACUACUCCGAGUACCGACCGCGCUGAAACAACGGCGAUAUAAUCAAAACACGGCUCCUAGAGCUAAAUCAGGUAGUAGAAUCAUAUGACGGGUCAAAAUGCUAGUUUUCUCCUAAAUCAAAAUUUCAAGUCCAACAUGUAUAAUUUAUUAACUCAUUCAGCAUGCUUUACAAUUCAGAUUACAACCCAAAGCUAAUGGAUGAAUUCAAUCAAACUGAAUAGUAGACAAAAAUGGAAAUCAUACACGUCGACUAUAUAUGCACUUAGGAGUAACCCGAUGAAAACCCACCUCAAAUGCUCUUUCCUGGCAGCAAGGAGGUCUUGAAACUACUGUGAGACUCAGCCGAAAUCACACCAAAUCAGCAACUGGAAUACUUGAAGGAUCUAGCGUUGAAAUCUACAAAAAUCCAAUAAUUCAGCACUUAAGCUUAAAUUAACCCAACUCCAAUGUCCAAACUCACCUAAUCACAUCCAAAUCUGGUGAGAAGGGUCUCAAAUCCAGUGAAGUAUACUGAGAUAUCUAACUCAGGUCCAAACUUUCCCUACUUCCAAAGAUAGCAUCAAGAAAACAAAAAAAAAAAAGAUUUUCAGCUCAAAGUCACCAGCAGUCCAGAAAAAUAUGGAAUCGACCAAGCUCACCUCAACCAAAAUCUACAAUUCUAGGCUUUGUGCAUUCCUCUGAAAGUCUAGAAUCCAUCAAACCAAGUUUCACUACAAUCCGACCUUCUUACGUCACACACGAGGCAAAACACCGAAGGUCGUCGCUGGAAAACUGCAGAAUCAGCACUCCUCAAGCUAAAUUUGUGGACCUUUGAUGCAAUUUGAGUGAAUGGGAGGGUUAGGAUGCUAAAGUGGACUUCUCUAUGAAGAACAGAUGAAAAGAGCUCACUGUGGUCGAACACCACCUAUUUAUAGCGUGUUAGAACAGUCCAAUAAGCCUCAGGAACAACAGCUGCAAACCUGCAAUUCUGCAGAAACGGGUACUUUUGGGUGCCCAAAACCCUUCUCUGGGCGUCCGAAACCUCCAGACUAUACACGUGCUCACCUUCGGGUCCUCCGCCUGCGAUGUGCUGCGCCCAUAACCGGCUCCGGCGGACCUCACCUACCACCAACCACGUGUCAGCGCAAACGAUAUUUCCAAAGUGGAUUUUCGGACCCACAUCCGGGCGCCUGAAACACAGAUCCGAAUUGGCUUCCAGUUCUGUUCAGUUAUGCAUUGAACUUCUGGGCGGCCCAAACCCUGUUCUGGGCACCCUGUGACACCCCAAUAAUCCCACAUUGGAUGGGAAUGGGUUGUCAUUGGGUUUAUAAGAGACUUAGACACUAAUAAUAAUAACUGGGCUUAAGCAUUUUGGGCCGGUGAUUGGGCCCAACGAGUUAUUGUUGCUAGUGGGCUGGAUCGUUACAUUUGGUAUCAGAGCCGGUUCACCAGCUAGACAUGUGUGGCGAGUCUCGGCUGAGCAAGGGUCUGGAUGACGGGCUAGCGAGAUGAGUCUCACAUCGUCUGGUGAUCUUGGGCUAUGUGUGUGAUUGGACUGACGAGGACGUCAGGGCCUUAACGGGGGGAGUCUGUGACAUCCCAAUAAUCCCACAUUGGAUGGGAAUGGGGUUGUCAUUGGGUUUAUAAGAGACUUAGACACUAAUAAUAAUAACUGGGCUUAAGCAUUUUGGGCCGGUGAUUGGGCCCAACGAGUUAUUGUUGCUAGUGGGCUGGGUCGUUACACACCCGAAUCUGGCAAAACUUCAGUUUUGCUUAUUUGAGUGCGCCGAGUCUAUUUCUGCAUCCAUUUCGUGCAGAAUUGAUUCCGACUCAGUCCGACACUCUCCAUAUGUGCCGACUAGUCACUAACACUGAAGUCAAUCCUAUCCAAAGCUCUAGAACACUACAGAGUUGGAAGCUAUGUGGCGGGCAGAGCGGGAGCAGGAGGGGGAACGAACUGGUGGGGUUGGGGAUGUGUGGGGCCAACUAGAAGUAGGUCAUUUUUUAAAAAUUUCAUUUUAAUUUUUUCUUUCAUUUAGACUAUAAGGGUGUGUUUGGUUCAAAGUCGGAAUCGGUAUCAAAAUUGGAAUGCGAAUAAGCUGGAAGUGAAAUUGGAAUGAUUCAAUCUCAUUCUAUUUGGUUUGCCAUUUGAAUCGGAAUCGGAAUGAACCACUUUCAUUGUCGGUGUUUGAUUUAGAUAGAUAUUAGAAACGUAAUUAAAUUAAUAUACCAAUUUUAUCGUUAUAAUAUAUUAGUUUAAAUUCAAACUAAAAUUAAAUAUUAAAAAUUUACGUCAAAAUUUUAAAAUAAUAUCAAAAUUUUAAAUAUAUAUUUUUAAAAAACUAAAAUUUAAAAUUGAAUGGAUAAUUCAAAACAUAAAACUAAAUUUUGAUUUGUUCAAAUUCAAACAUAAAAAUAAGAUUACAUUUCAAUUUGAAAUUGAAUAGAUUUAAUUAUAAUUUUACACUAAUAAUUUGAAUUAAAACUUUAGACUUUAUUAAUUUAUAAUAGAUUCAAAAUGCUUGAUUGAAUUAUUAAUUUUUACUUUUAAGUUCAAAAAAGAUUUAAAAAUUUUAUAAUAUAAUUUAAACUAAAACUUUGUUUAACAAAUAACACUAAAAAAAAUAAAAUUAUCCAACGAAAUCCAUUCCGUGAUGUCAAAUAUUUUCAAUAUUCGGUCUAGGCCGAAUACGAAAAAAAGAGUAAUGGGAUCCCCUUCACGUCGAAAUCGAAAUCGGAAUUAAAAAUCCACAAUAGCAAAUACGAACAAACGGAUUCAUCUAUUCAGAUUCCGAUUCCAUGGUGAAAAAUGGACAAAUACGCCCUAAAGUUAGAUUUUUUUUUUUUAAUCCAAUUAAAUUUUUUCCUCUUUUAUUAUAAAAAUUAAAAUAUAUAAAUAUUUAUACAUACUUUUAAAUAGUUUAGAUUAUAUUACUAAAUAUAAAUUUUAGUUUUAUAAUAUUAAUCAAUUACAUAUAGAUUGUAUACUGAAAAAUAAAAGAAAAAUUGAUGAAGUUUAAGCUAAUUAUUUAUUUUAAUAAAUUUAGUUACAAAGAAUACGUAAUAAAGCAUAGUAACUAAAUUUGUAAAGUUAAAAGAAACAUUCAAAUUUUGAAGUAAAAGUAUCAUUGAUUGAUUUAAAUCUAAUAUUAAAAUUUAUUAGAUAGCUUAACGUAUUCUUUUUAUGAAUAAAAUUACUGAUUGAACAAAACCGAUUAUUGCUCAACUCUGUGUAGUGUUUCGGGAGUUUGGUAUCGGAUUGGCUACAGUAUUAGUGACUAGUCGACACAUCUGGAGAGUGUCGGACUGAGUCGGAAUUGUUUUUGCACGAAAUGGAUGCAGAAAUAGACUUGGUGUACUUAAAUAAGCAAAACUGGAGUUUUGUUAGUUUCGGGCACCCAGAACCUGAUUUGGGUAGCCCAAAUCUUGAGUGAAGAAUUGAACUGAAACUGGAAGUCAAUUCGGAUCCUGUGUUUUGGGCGCCCAGAAGUGAGCCUGAAUAUUCACCAUGUGUUUGAUGUGGGUGUUGACACGUGUAGGGUGGUAUGUGAGAAUCACCGGACCAGGUUACGGGCGCAACUUAUCGCAGGCGGAGGAACCAAGAUGGAGUUUUGUAUUGGCUAGGAGUUUCGGACGCCCAGAAGUGGGUUUCGCGCGCCCGAAAGUGCAGAUUUCUGCAGGAACAGCAGGUUAGUGUUCUUUGUUCCUGAGGCUUAUCAGACCCUUCCCCCUCCUUAUAAAAGCAUGGGGAUGACCCCUGAGCUGGUUUUUCACCCUCUUUCACAGUGAAGCCUCUAUUUUGCAUUUUAGUCCCUCUAAACCCUCCAAAUUCCACAAUUUCACCUAGAGGACUGCAGUUUCAGCAGAUUUCCAGCAGCGAUUUUCGGCGUUUUGGUUCGUGUGCGACGUAGGAAGCUCCGAUUGCUGCGAAACUUGGUUUAGUGGUUAGUAGACUUCUUGGAGGUUUCAUGGAGCCUAUUUUUACAGCAUUUGAUUGAGAUUUAUAUGGUCAAUUUAAUGUUUUUCUGAGCUGUUGUCAUGAUUGAGCUGAAAUUGGAAUUUUUGUGAUUUUCUUGGAUCAAUUCUUGGAGGAAGCUGGAAUUUCGACCUGAGGAUAUUGUUCCAUCAUGCUCCAUUGGUUUUGGGACCUUUCUUCACCUAAAUUAAGCUUUGGAAGGUGAGUUUGACAUUGAGAUUUUGGUGAAAUUAAGCUUAAGUGCUGAAAUUUAGAGUUUUGAUGGAAACCUUUCGAGUUUUGUGCUUUGAUCCUUAGAGAGGUCUUGCUGGGUUGUUGCUGAUCUUAGCAUGGUGAUUCCAGUGGUUACUUGCUGUUGUCGAGCUCGUGUUAGAGGUGGGUUAAUGAUAUGCUUACCGGAAUUUUCGGAUUUUGCCUCCUAAGCCUAUUUGUAACGGCAUGUAUUUUCCGCUUUGUAUAGUAUGUUUAGUAGCUCGAUUCAUUGAUUUACUUUGUUAUUAAAUCUGAAUUGAAGCUUAGAAUAUUCGCUAAAUUAUACAUGUUGGAUUUGGAAUUGACUUAGGAGAAAACUAUCGAUUCUACACCGUCAUUUUCUGAAACUACUAGAUUUAUCUAUAGGAGCAGUAAUUUGUUUGUAUCGCCGCAGUUUGUGGGCAGUGGAUACCCAGGAUAGUGUAGAAUAAAUUUACGCUCGUGUUAGGAUGCCGAGUUUAUUUUUAUAGUAGUGUAUAGACUGUUCCGAACUGUCGUGUGCCGUUAUGGUUGAUGGUGGACCCAGUUUGCAGUUUUUGCAUCGAAUUGUGCUGAGGGCAUGUAGAUUAUGGUUGUAGACCAGUUAGACCGUUCUAUUUUGAUUACAGCCUGUGAGCGCCUAAAUGAUCUUCACAGAGACAAUUGUAAACUCGGUUGGAUCGCGCCCACGAAUGCUAUUCCGGAAUGAGGUUUCAGUGCGAUGAGGUCACAGUUUCUGUUGGGACAGUUCUUGUGCUGGCCACCUUAGUGGGUGGUGUACAGCGUAGCUGGAUACGGGCAGGGUGGGUCCGUUUGGGCAGCCCGUGUGAGUUUGGAUCAGUGGUAGUUAGUGACGCCUUCUCUAUCUUCAGUGAGGUUGUGACGUGAGUGGAGUCACUGUCGUCCUGUCAGACCUUUACUUGGAUUGACUACUCUUGAGAUACGGUGUAGCCUAGUUAGGCGGGAUGGGUGUAUUCACAGUCCCUAGAAAGUUUUCUCCACCGGCUACUCUUGGGGUGGUAUGCGGGUUCGUUUUGACAGGCGGGACCGGUGUGUUCACAGUCCCUAGUGAGAUUGGGUCAGAGAUUGCAUUUUCCUACAGAUAGUUAGUGUUGCAUCAUGAUAGUAUAGUGGCAUAUAGCUAUAUAUUGUUUUCAGUUCCUUUACUAUCAUUGAGCAUAUUUCUGUAGACUUAGUGGGUAAGCCGUUGAGGUCGAUAGCGGUAUCCACUAAGGACUACUUCAUUUUGCAGUAGUUCUCACACCCUGUUGGUGACCCCUUUUUGCAGAGUCUUCUUCUUCGGCUGCUGCUGUUGCGGAUACAAAUCGUGGAAAGGGAGUCGCGAGUUAGAUCCCUUGCAGUGUUACUGCUGAUCUAGAGAUAUACCCGCUACAGGUAGUGAUAGUUUUUGGGUUCUUAUACAUACUGAUGUUAGUACUUCGCUGGAGCGAGUAUUUUUGUAUCAGGAUACUAAGUAUGUAUGUUGAACCUAUGUUAUUUAUAUAUGUUUUCUGUUUAGCAGCUUUAUAUUACUUAUUGUAGUUUUGUAUGAUAACAGGUACAUGCACAGCUAUCGCUUCGUAUACAGGAAAAACUCCUUUGUAUACGGCGGAUUUGUCGGCGUGUCCGGGAAAAUGAUUAAUCCGGAGCGUGACACUCUGUCUUCAUUUGAAAUAAAAUUAAAUAUAAAAGGAACAAAUUACACUUUUGAUCCUAAAAGGGCUUUUUUUGCAAAUAGCCCUCUUACAAUUUUUUUUUUUAAAAUUGACCCUGUCAAAAAUUUAUUUGCAAAAAUGGCCCUGGCCCCGCCACGCGAGCGCCACGUCAGCGCCACGCGGGCGGGGCUGGGCCAGAUGGUUAAGUUGAACACGGUGAAUCAUUCACCAUGUUCAAUACAAAGUUUUUGUAUUGGACACGGUGAAUGAUUUACCGUGUCCAAUACAAAAUAGCUAAGAUCAAAAUAUUUGUAUUGGACACGGUGAACCAUUCACGAAUUGGAUACGGUGAAUGGUUCACCAUGUCUAAUACAAAUACCUUUAACUUAGCCAUAUUUGGGGUAUUUGUAUUGGACACGGUGAACCAUUCACCUUGUCCAAUACAAAAAUCUUGUAUUGAACAUGGUGAAUGGUUCACCGUAUUCAACUUAAACAUCUGGGCCCGCCCUGCCCGCAUGGCGCCGACGUGGCGCUGGUGUGGCAGGGGUAGGGCCAUUUUUGCAAAUAAUUUUUGGACGGAACUUUUUUUGCAAAUAAAAUUUGUCAGGGGGCUAUUUGCAAAAAAAGCCCAUCCUAAAAUUAUAAGAUGCAUGACAUUUUGGUUCUCGAAUUUAAUAGGUUAUAUUUUCUGGCUCAAAUUAUAAGGUAUGUGAUGCUUUUGACAUCAUACUUUAAUUAGUUAUAAUUUUUGGCUCGUAGUACGAGGCAUAUGACAUUUUAAUUCACAAUUUUUAUUGCUAUUAUAAAUAUAAUUUAUUAUUCUUAUAUUUUUUAUUCUUUUUAUAUUUUUAUUUUUUAUUAUAACAGCUAUUGUUUUUUUUAAUUUUAUUUAUUUCUAUAAAAUCGAUCCACCGCAGCUCGCGGUAUUUUCGUUAGUUCGCUCAAGAAGGGCUUAUUUUGGAGUAGAGGUGGCAAUCCAGCUUGAUGUUCGCGAGCCAAUUCAGCUUGAAAUGAGCUCGAGAUUGAAUCGUUUAUUUAGUAAACGAGCCGAACGCGAGCUGGGUUUUUCAACUCGUUUAAUAAAUGAGCCGAACACGAGCUGGGGUCAGCNUCGCUCUCUCUCUCUACUCUGCUCUCUCUCUCUCUCUAUUCUCUCUCUCUCCCCCUCUCUGUAUGCUCUCUCUCUCUCCUCUCUCUGUUCUCUCUCUCUCCCUUUCUCUCUCUCACGCGAGGCCCCCGCAAAACACGGGGAGAACGCCGUACAAACUCUCGAUUGUAUAUAUAUAUAGAUGCUUGUAAUGAUUCGUUUUUUAUUAAUAUUUUUUUAACUCUCAGAUUUUGUAUAUAGUUAAAGUAUUCUAAUGUUUACUGGAAAAUUCAAUCAAACUUUUAGUUUGAGAAGCUAUUCUAUUAAUAAAUUUUUUACUUAAAAAGGUAAAAUUGGAAGGCUUAUUUUAAAUUACCAAAAUAUAUGAUGUUGUUUUUAUCUUAUUAAGAUUGAUUGAAGAGAGAAGAAAUUAUUAUAUUCACCUAGUGUAUAUUAAUAUAUCAUACAUCAUAACUUAUAUUAAAGAAUUAAUUUUUAAUAUCAAGUCCUAGUUAACUAUAUUUAAAUUAUUAACUCUAAUAAUUUAAAUAUAUUUAUUGAAUUAAAUUUUAAAAUCUCUAUCAAAAGUUUUAAGUAUGUGGUGUAUGUUCUAAUAUACACCUGGUGUAGAGAUGCUCCUUAGAGUGCACUCAAUUCCAAGAAAAAAAAAAGGAAAUCUUUGGUUGCACUUAAUUGUACACUAAUAUUUUAUACACCGUAAAAGUAUAUUAGAUUAUUGAUAAAAUAUCAGAUAAUUAGUAUUGUAAAAUUAGAUACGAUAUAUUAUAUGUAAUAUAAAAUACAGUGCAAUAGGUGCCGUUCACAAUUCCUAUUAGAUAUGUGGUGAGCUCCCAUUGGUUGUUGCCUUUACUGGGACAUGAUUCUUUGAAAAACUAUCUAAUUCCAUAAAAAAAAGAAAUCUUCACUUGCACCCGGUGUAUACUAAUAUUUCGUACACCGCAAGGUAUAUUAGAUGACUGAUAGAAUAUCUGAUAAUUAAUAUUACAAAAUAAAAUAUAAUAUAGUAUAUGCUAAAGAAAUAUUUAAAUAUUUUGUUGUAUUAUAGAAAUUUAUCUUUGAUCCAUAUUUUAUAGUCGAUUUACAGUACAAUGGAUCAAAAUUGUUAUUGGACAUACGGAAAACUUUUAUUGGUCAUUGUCUCAUCAAGUGAAGAUGUGGCUCAUUAAAAAAGUAUUUUUUUUGAUGUGAUGGAACUGUCAAAUUAUAUACUUUAUAGACAACUAAGCAAAAAAAGAUUCAUGGGCCUAUUUCAACAUUUCCUAUAAUAGAGGCUCUUGCCAUCAUUUCAACCUAAGAAUAAAGAAAAUACUAAUUAAAAUAACAUGAAAAAGAGACAUCUACACUCCAUCAACUACCUACGAAGAUCGUGUAAUUAACGUAGGUAAGCACGAUGAGCAAGGGGAAAGAGCUGGCGGUGGCGAAGGCAGACGAGACGACGACUAUUGCGAAGGGACGGAGCAAAGGAAAGGAGUUGGCAGUGGGGAAGAUGGUGGAGACGAAGUCUUCUGUGAAGGCGGCAACGUCCUCGACCCUCAGUUUCUCUAAGAAGGUGGCGUCUCAUUGCCGCAUAGAAGCACGGAUAGAAACCACCAGUAAUCACCCCUCUAGUUUGGAUCCAGAGCUGGAGCAGAGGUUUCUGGAGCUCAAAUUCAUUGCUGACAACAGCAUUAAAAAGGCCACCUACCUCAGAAAAUUCGGCAUUGAUGGAAGCUUCUCUUCCAAGAAGGUGAUUUGGGCGUAUGCUGCGGGGCUCACUUUAACUCAAGUCGCCCGCUUUUCGCUGCGAUGAUCCCCCUUUGGGAACAUUUAUUUCCCCGACUUCUCGAAUCGAAAACAAGAUUCGGAUUGAGGACUUGCUUUGGACCGAAGUACACUACAGGAGUAAAAGUUCUUCUUAGUCACCCUAUAAAAAGACUUACAGGGAAGCCCUUCUCACUCCCACUCCAUCUCUUCCAACCCGCUCACCUCAGAGCCCCCCCUUUCCCUCACCAUCUCUUUGGACAAAAACUUCUUUCGGGGUAGGUGCUUUAAGUGCUUGGGAAAAAACCACUGGGCCUCCUAUUGUAGUAAAACUAUUCGGUGCGCUAGGUGCUUCAAAACAGGGCAUAAAGCUCGUUCCUGAAUCAACUUUCGAUGAACAUUUACCAUGCCAUGCGUGCCCGUCCGACUUACCUCAGCGCCUUCAUCCCCCUCUCCGAAGACUUCUUUGCCAGACAAAACCGAUGUCGCAAUGCGAUUCUCGUUGAAGUGAUUCCUCCGCCGAACCUCGGUCACUGGCCCUAGGAAGCCAUUGCUGGCAGGCUAACUAAUCGCUUCGGAGGCUACCCUACUGAUUUUCAUGUUGCUCAAUAUGGCAAAAGAGAUUACGUUGUCUUUCUUCCUGAAUGGGUCUAGAGCGAGCAUCUAAUCUGCAGGGAGAUCCUCUUUCUGGGUGACAUCUUUGAUGUUUCGCGUGGAAUCCCUAUUGCAGAGCUUGCCGUCCACCACUGACCUACAAAGCUUGGAUCCGGCUGGCUAAUCUCCCUUACGAGUGCUGGUCCUCUCACUUUGUAGCAGCUCUUGUCGGUGGUUUCGGCAGGUUCAUUAGGGCGAAUGAAUCCAGCACGAGCAUGAUCGAUCUUUCCGGUUAUCGGUGUUUGAUUGCCGUGAAUCAUCUUACCGACAUCCCCGAGAACCUAGAGAUCACCUUCGGCGACUUAUCAAUUUCGAUACUGAUCCAACUUGAAAGAUGGGCCCGUGGCAACGAAGAUGGACGUGGAAAUCCAUCCCAUCACAAUGAAGGUUUGGGUCAACAUAACUCGAGCGCGAGAUCCAGCGAGGUUAAUCGCCAUUUCACCGUCGAAGGCAAAGGGAGGUGUUUGACGGACGGUGAUGCUUCUACUCUCGACGAUUCCUGAAAUUCCUCUGAAAUUCGCGGCAUACGGCGCACUGAUUUUCCCACAAGUAGCCCGACUUGUCGCGGAUCGGAGCUUGUCACUGUCGCAUCUCCGGGCGGUGGAGCGUUGAUAGGCCGGCCUUUUUACUUUUCAAAUUCAAAUUUUCCCGAGCCUAGACUUGCCAUUUCAAUGAUUACUGAUCCUAAGAAAGGGCUAAGUACUAGCCCGCCAGGCCUCCUAAAAUGUGCUUAUCUUCUCCCCAAAACCUCAUGCUCAACUUUAAUACUUAAUGCCCCCUUGCUUAUACAAGAAGGCUGGCAGGCCAAGCCUCGGGAUUUGGAUCCAUCUAGUGGAUUCAAGUAUGAAAGCCGUGGGAAUUUACAUCUGGAUAAUAGCUGGAAUUUUACUUUUGGCAGCUAUUCUUCUUUCUUAUGUCCCUCGCCCCUUGCUUCGGACCGGAUAAAGGAGCAGUAUUUUUGGUUCCCAAUUUAAUUGGUCUACUGCAGUCCUUCUCCACACAUACUUUUGGUGCUGGUAGUCUCAGGCUUGGGCUUGAUCUUUUGUAUCCACCUAAACCUGACACCCUUAACCCAAUGAACCCUGAUUAGUUUGUCUGGGGCCUCAUCGCAGGCAUGGUCAAGGCCUUUUUGGUCCUGGAUCCUAUGCAUUCUUUAGAAUGCGUGGGCUCUAUUUGUCGUUUCUCCGCUGCUUCUGAAUAUUCUCCCACUUGCAUUUCGCUGCCCAUCGAACCCUCUGACGCUCCUAGGACAAGUCCUCAGUUCCUCACCCAGGCGAAAGACAAUGCACCGUGUAGGGCGAUGAGUAGGAAAGUGCGAAUCCGAGAGAGAGCGUCAACCAAACCUGGGUUAUCUACGCACAAAUUUUCUCGUAAAAAAAUCCAAGCGAAAAGCAUCUUAUAUGGCAUCAAUCUCUCCAACAAUGAUACAAAGGAGUUCCAAAAGUUCUUGUCCGUCGGGGCUUAGGCCUAGGAUGUUCCUUUUUUGUUGUCUGUGUGUCAUUGCCUGUUUUUGUUGAUGAAUAUCUUCAAUUAGAAUGUUCGUGGUCUCAAUGACCCUAGCAAGAGAUGUUUGGUCAAGUCUGUCGUGUCCUCUCUCUAUUGUACUGUUGUGUGUCUACAAGAAUUUAAAGUGGACUUCGUGUCUUGUUCGUUCCUUCGCUCUUGUUGCGACUCUAACCUUGACAAAUGUAAUUUUCUGCAAGCAGCCAGGGCGUUCGGCGGUCUAAUCGCCUGUUCGAGCUCCAAGUUUUUUUUCAUGCAACAAGGUUAUAGUGAGAAAACACUCGUACUCUUUUUAUGACUCACAUCACAAGUGGGAAGACUUUCUAUCUCACGAACGCCUAUGGCCCUCCAACCUGGGAUGGAAAAGACGAGUUCUGUUCGGAACUACUCUCUCUCAACGGUACCUGCACCAACAAAUGGGUUAUCUACGGGGACUUCAACCUUACCAAAAACCAACCCGAAAUAAAAGGAAAACCCUGGAGCAGAAAAAUUAUGGGCAUGUUCUCGGACCUCAUCAACUCCUUAGCUGUAAUUGAUCUACCUUUGUCGAAUCAAACAUUUAUCUGGUCGAACAUGCAGCUUAGACCCACCUUGGCUAAACUCGAUAGAUUUCUAGUUUCCACGGAAUGGGACCAAUCUUUCCCCUUUAGCAAGGUCAAAGCUCUUCUCAAGAUCACUUUUGAUCAUACCACGAUCCUCCUUUUUACGCUGCAUCGCCCCGUACCGCGGAGGUUUCGAUUCGAGAAGGUUUGGUUAACAAAGGAAGAUUUCCUCACAAUGGUUCCAAUUUGGUGGAAUGAAGUCAACUCUACAAACUCGACUAUCCUCACUAUUACUGCUAAACUCAAGCACUGCAGAACCAGAAUAGAGGAAUGCUGUAAGACGUUCUUCCACAGCAUAAUUAUCUCCAAGAGGAUUUUGCAGGAGGAAUUACAAAAAAUUGAUCUUUUAGAGGAACAACAGGAACUACCCUAAGUAAUCUUGGAUAAGAGAGAGAAUCUUAAACUGCAAUUGCAAUUAAUCUUAGAGGAGGAGGAAAUACUUUGAAAAACUAGGGCCAAACAGUGUUGGCUUAAGAAAGGUGACGGCAACACCAAAUUUUUCCACGCAGUGGCCAACGGACGAAAACACACCAACACAAUCAAAAUUAUAGAGGAUGACGCCGGAAGACAAAUUAAUAACGAAGAACAAAAGAGAUCUUACUUCUUCCAAAACUUCAAGUGGCGGAAUUUUUAGCCAACUAGCCUCAUCCAAACCUUUUAUUCUAAAAAUAGGCCUCUGAAACUUGUAUUUGUGAAAAUAUGCUCAAAACUACCACGUGGGCAGUGAGUUGGCAGGAGACAAUAAAAGAGGUGAACCAAUUACCACUUUCAUGUGAAAGCUGUAAAUGGUUUACUGCUUUCAUAAGGUUUUAAAAUCCCAUGAAGGCGGUGAACCAUUCACCGCCUUCAUGUAGUUCCAUCUGACUCGUGGUGCUUGGAUAAAACUCAUGAAGGCGGUGAAAAGUUCACCGCAUUUAACUAAUGCCACUUCCUAGUAGCAGUAACUUUGUAAAAUUCCCACAUUAUACAAAAUAGCAAGUUAACCCUUUAGAAUUUCUCUUAGGGUACUAGAAACUUGGUGAACAAUUUCGUCCGGAGGAACGAAAGCGUUCGGAUGUGAUCCGGUGGGUUUGACCUCACCGAAAUGGGUGAACUCCCCCUUAUGUCUCCUAUGAUGUUAUAGGGCUUAAUUGUUGCAUAAUCAUGAUAUUUAUGCCAUGAUAGAAUUUUAGGGUGCUUGAAAAAUACAUGUCAUUUAUAACUUUUUAUAUGCUCUAUGUAGUAUAGAACAGUUGAUGAAAUCAUGCAUGUUGUGCCCAUGAAUUUAUAGUACAAUGACUUGUUCCUUUUGGUGCAUUAUAGGAAUGCAUAAUAGAGAUGAAUUCUAGGUCAUUUAAGACUCUAAAGGGCUAAUGGAACUAGUGGUCCUUGCGACCAAUUUACUUGCUAGAUAAGAUGAGCAUGAUGUAUGACAUGUAAACCAUUUGAAGUAGAGCCAUGAAUAUUGUACUUAGUUUAAAUGAACAACUAAGUGAACCGGAUAACAUUAUGUUGACCUUGAGUUGAUUAAUGAGAAUUCCGUACUUUAGACACGAUGAUUGAUAUAGUUCGAAUACUUGACAUCCGUAUUAUAUGUAAGAUAGUUGACAUACUCCCUGUAGUAAAGCAUGUUGUAGUACAUGUUGCAUAAGUAAAAGUAAACUAUUCAUUUGCAUGAUAAUUUUAUACUCUAUGUAGAGGAAGCUCAUGUAGUGAGAUACAUAUAUACAUAUACUUGUAAACACUAUGGUUUACCUAUCCUAUGAGUUAAUAGAUGAAACCUUAUGCCAUAGGCAUGUAGGAGAUUCAUGCGUUGGAAUAUGCAAAUGACAUAUAAUUGACAAAGUACAUGCUUGAGUAACUCAUUGAAAAUUAAACAUUUGCAUGGCUAUGUAUGUGUAUAUAUACUCCAUGAAGUGGAGGCAUCAUGUAGAAAGGCAUAUGCAGGACAUAUACUAUGACUUGAUGAGAUACCCGUGGGGUUCAUUGGAUUUGACAUUAGAGGAUUACCCUUUUUGCAUAUGGCAUUAUCGUGGUAGUAGCACACAUUGGUAGGUUCAUGAAUGAGUCAUAGAACCAUCUUCAUUAGAAUAAUGAAAUGUGAACCUUAAUGUGCUUGGGACACAUGCUAAACAUAGAAAUGAUAUAGUGUCAUAAAGUGGCAUUGGACUUGGAACAUGUAUUUGCAUAGUAAACUAUAAUGUCAUAAAGUGGCAUUAGACUUAGUAAACGGUUGAACCUUUACAUUAUGACAUAGAACUAGACCUUUGGGUUGCUAGUGUAUAUACCAUGUUUGAAACAUGAUGACUGUGUACUUGAGACGAGGACUAUGCUUGCUUGCCAUUUGUGCUCAUUCGCACAUACUUGUGAGGGUCGCUCCCUACAAGCCGGCACUCCGGAGUUGGCCUAUGCGACAGAUGCUCGCCGUGCGGUAUUCGAUGCCUACUAGGUCGACGUGGGACGGGCACAUUCUUUGUCGGGGAAUGUUGGACUACCACGAGCCAUUAGGCAUGACGCAAGCCGGACUACACUUGUGUAGAUCCUGAUGAAUUGAACUAUAUUAAUCAAGAGCUAAUUAGACUUGAUAUUAUGUUAGACAUAUUGGUGAGUUGAUACCCUUUGUUACUAGUGGAUACAUACCUAUAGAUGGUCAUACUAGUGGUUGAUUACCCUAUUUUGAGAUUUGAUGCAUUCAUAGUAGUGGGAUAUUUUUGUGGGACAUUGUUGCAUUGACACCUUUAGUGGUAGUAACCUACACUUAUGAUGAUAAAUGUAGAAGAAUAGCUCAAUGAUGACUAUAACAAUUUGAUGUCAAUGACAAUGUGAAACUUGUACCAUAUUAGUUGUGCAUGGUUACAUAUGAUUUAGCAAUGUAUUGUUGCAUACAUAAUUACUUUUGCAUGUAAUUAUAGAAAUGAAAUUCAUUUACAUGUUAGAGACAUUUCAUAUAGAGGUAUGAUAUAGUUGAGAUUAUUCUACUAUCUAUUACAUUUAUAUUUUCAUACUUCCUAUAUCAUAUUUAUGCCUCAGUUGACCUAGUGGUGUAUUUCGCCACUCUCGACGGCUUACCCACUCGGAACUAUUGUUUAAUAGUUCUCACCCCCAUUGGUUGGUUGUUUUUAUUUCAGAGCCUUCCGCAGCCGGAAAGGCUAGGGAUUGUGGCAAGGGAGGCAACGACUAGCUAGAGCCUCACGAUGUGUGAUAGAUGAACCCACAAAUUUACUUAGUGGCUUAAUGUUGUGAUGUAUUUGUGCAUUAUGUGAGAUCCUAUGUAUUCUUAUUGUACCCUUAAUUAGAAUUAUUGUAAUCUUAAGGUUUUAGCUCUAAAACUUUAUAUCUAGCUGUUGUAUAUUCUCGCUCUGAAUACUAUGUUUAGGAUGGAUUUUUCUAUUGCUCUCUUUGACUGUUGUAGACGCCUUGUGCACAUUGUGGUUUUUGGUGUGUACGACGGGUCUGUGCACGCGCCCGGCGGGCUUUUGCUGCAGCCCGGGGCAUGAUAGGUACUCAGGAAGAGUUCCGCAAAACCUAAACGUUGGGUUUUCUUCUCAUGGAACAAAAUUUCAGUACUCCAAUUUAGUACCAUUACCCAAAUACAAAAUCUAUAGUUUUACCAAAUUUGACUUUGCAAAAUCUGUUUUCUCACCAAGUUUGUACCAAAACCACUCGAAUAGUUGUAAUGACCCUGAAGAAUAAAUGGUAAAAGUAGUAGUAGUAGUAGCAGUUAGCAUGGGAGAGUAGUAAAAAUGUCAACUUUACAAAGUAGAGCAGAGAAGUGACAGCAGGAGGUUGGUGAGGAGUGAGCUCGGCGGAGCGAUCCGGCGGGAAGGCGCUCGGGCGGAACUCCGGCAGGAAGGCGCCUUCGAAGGGGCUAAGGCGAGCUCGACAGUUCUAGGGCAUAGUCGGUGAUGAAGGGGAAAUGGGAGGAUCGAGGUCGGAGGAGGAAGCCUGACAGAACCGGGGUGUUUGGGGUGAAGAAGAGAGUUGGCGAAUCGGGCGAUCAGAUCACUGGAGCGGGCGUAAAAUGUGGACCCGAUAUCUGCCGGGUCGUGGAUGAUGCGGAGAAGGCCGGAACCGACGCCCACUUACCAUUAAGCAUAGAUCGAGCAAAGCGGGCUCGGAUCGGGGCGAAAUGGCGAACCCAAGACCCGCUGGGUUGCGGGUAGUAUGGAGAAGGACAGACCCGAGUCCGAAUACCCGACAAGCAGCAGAGGAGCUCAGGAAGCCCAGGAAGAGGGCCCAACUACCAUCGAAUUGGCGGCCCAACCAGCCAACUUCUUAUUUUGUCACUUUUGCUGUUUAGUCCUCAGAGAUUAAAUAAUUCUCUUUUCUGUAUGGAACUAAUUAGUAUAAGUAUCAGGAUGUAAUGUAAGCUAGGGCUUAGGAAUGGAAAUGAAUUAGCGUGUCUUCUUCCCCAAUUAUCCUCUUCUUCUCCACUCCUUUCUCUUCUCCUUCCCCAAAACCCUACUCUAAAUUCUUCUAAAACCCUAUUUUCUUCCUCCCAAUCUCUCUCCCUAUCUCUCUCUGUUUCUCUCCCUCUCCUUCUCUUUCACAAACUCACCUCCAAAUCGCCUCAAAUCAUCCGGUACAUAACAAUUGGUAUCAGAGCAGUUUUGAUCCCAGGGAGGGGAUGAAACUGAUACUUGCAUCAUGGUGGGAUGUCACAAGAAUGGAGCAGUAAUGGAUCUCGAGUAGCACCUGGAGCAAGAACUCAAGUGGUAGCAUCAGAUCUACAUUGGAAGGAUCACAGUAGUGAUUGGAGACAUUGCCACUACAAUAACAAGGUGGUAUCAGAUUGCAACUAGUAGAGAGGCGAUUUGAUUUUAUAAAGCUAUAACAUCAGGUAUUGUAGAAAUCUUUGCAUCCUUUUGAAUCAUUGAUUGCAUGUAUGCAAGAAUUGGUUAAUAAGGGAUCAAACCUGAUAAACAUCACAAGAAAUCUUUAUCACUGCUACUUGAAUCAAAUUGAUAGAGGGGUCAUAGAAGCAACAGGUUCUUGGUAGAGUAUCAUAGUUAAAAUUGGGCCAGUGAAGGGGAAUUUCAUCAAACACCUUGCAGGCACCAAGUAAUCAAGUUUUGUUCCCCAAUUUUAAUUCCAGAGUUGAGAUAUAAUUAGUUAAAUUGCUACAAAUGGAAAUAUAUUGAAGGAGUAGACAGCUGGUUAGUGUUCUCUUGAUUAGAACAGUCAUCAGAUCCCAAAGAGCAUCAUAGUCACCUCAAUAUUUCAUUGGAGCCAAUAGAAGAAAGCCAUUGGAAAUUCAGUCAAGUACCAUAGUGAAACACUUCAAGAAGAAGCAUAUGUGAAGUAAAAAUAGUUAAUGGAACAAAGUUGCAGCAACAAACCACUAGCUAUAAUCAAAGCUUUGAAGAAGCAUUACAAAGUGCUCGGGAUGUUAAUCAAAAGUUAGAUGCCUUAAUUGAAGCACUACAAAAGUUUAAGGAAGUGAAUUCUCGAAAUCCAAGGAUUGUACUUCAUCCAGGAUCGACUGACCGUCGAGAGAAUACCCUUUGUGAGAGUUAAGAAUGUCCAAAACACAAAAAGUGCUUUGGAGUUGAGUCCGCGAGAGCAAAUGGUGCAAACUGCAUUUUUGGGCUGAUGUUGCUCUCGGGGACCGGUCUCUGGAGGUGAGAGACCGGUUCCCUCGACUGGGUGUAGCGGGUUUGCUUGGUGCAACCGAUCCCUGGCAGGGAGGGACCGGUUCUCGAACGUGAUCCCAGCGAGAAAUGCCGAAAUUUCGCUAAGUCCUGAAAAUCGAGCUCUCGGGGACCGGUCUCUCAGGCGAGGACCGGUCUCUCGAGGACCGGUCUCCCGGGGAGAGACCGGUUCCCGAACGCGUGCGCCCGAAGGAAGCCCUCGGGGACCGGUCCCAAGUCGGGGAGACCGGCCCCUCCGCGCGAAAACUGCCCAGAAAGGGCUAUGCAAUGGCUGGAAAGUUGAGGGGUCUAAAUGCAAAAUGGCCUUUAUUAGAGUGGGCUGAGCCCUCUCUCUCCCUCACACUCAUCUCAUUUCACUCUCUCUCUCACUCUCUCUUUCUCUCUUGCUCCCUCUCUAGAAAAGAAAGGAGAAGAAGAAGAACAAGAAGGAGAGGAAGGAAAAGAAAGAGAAGGAAAGGAAGGAGAAGAAGAAGGAGAUCAAGGAGAAGGCUUUGGACACCUUCAUCACCCUCUCCUCUUCUCUUUGGUGUAGCACAAGAGGUAGGCUCUUGAGCCCUAGCUUCUAAACUUUGGAGUUUUGGAUUUUUAUGCUUUGGAAUGGGUCAAAUGAACCCUAAGCAUGCUUCUAAGUAGAUCAAUCCCAUGAAUCUAGGGAUUUAUUGGGUGGUUUGCUAUGGGUGCAAACCUAGGGCUCCAAAAUGGGGUUUUUGCGAAAGUAUGAGAUUGAUCUCAUUUGAAGCCUUGGAAACCCUAUUGUUAGGUCACAAAAUGUGGAGGCGCAGUCGAUUUUGGCAUUCGGCGACCCGGCGUGAAGUUCUCGGCAAAAUAGGGCCGGGUUAGCAUCGAUUCGGUCAAGGAAGGCUAAAGCCUUUUCGUAAAGCUCGCCGAGAAGGAUUUUCUAAGCCUCUACAUCGAUUAAUGGUGGGGGGUGCCAUCCUGAAGCUUUCGAACUCCUUUCUAUGUCUUAGAUUGCAUUUAAUCUCAUCUUUUCAUAUUGCAUUGUAGGAUUGCAUAGUAGCUCCAUUCCUUAUACUUUCUAAAUGAUAACCUAGUGUACUUGGAACGCUUGGUGACUUAGAUAGGUGAGGAUUGGGUCGGAACGUGGAUCCUAUGAUGCUAGAGAUAGAGAUGAACCCGAUAGGGGUGUUGAUGACAUAGAAAGCAGUGUUAUUGUCAAAGAAUAAACGAGUGGCAUCCAAAUGUUAAAUGAUAACGAGUGGCAUUAAUGUAGUGUAAUUAACACCAGAAGUCGAUUGACCUAGGGAUAGGCGGAUCCCUUAGAAAAUGCCUUGUGAACAAUGAAUUUAGAAAAGCUAAAUAGCAUUGCAUGAAUGUCGGGAACAAAUGAUCCCGCGAGAAAUAUUGACUCUAAUUGUAGAGCAUCCUCACUUGGAGAGGACUUGAUUGAGUUGUUGACCCUAGUUGUAGGGCAUCCUCACUUGGAGAUGAUAGAUCUAGCUCAUAGUCUGCGUUCGGGAUGGUAUAGCCAUUCAAUCCCCACAUGGAGGGGAUUAUCGUCGAGUACUCCGGAGUGUCGCGCGACUAGGACCACUUGGAGGUCCGGACCACAUGGAGGUCCGCAGACGGUCCCGGGCUUGGGUGCACUUGGAGCUCCCUCCCCACUUUGGGAUUGAAAGGUGAGUCAUAGGCGAGCCCUAGGGCCUCGCCACAGAUUGGGUAAAUGGAAAGAGUAAAGGUUUAAGAAUGUCAUUAAAUAUUGCUAUUCAAAUAUGGAUCGAAUUUGUUAGCAUGGUAGCAAACCUUUAUCAUAUGAUGCAUGCAUUCAUAUCCAUGAUUAUGGGCAUAGUAGCAUAAUUUUCCUACUAUUGCAUUUACAGUUUUCAGAUACAUAUCUAUCUAUCUAUCUAUCUGUUGUUACUUGUGCCCACUUGGACCUAGUGGGGAGAUCGGUAGAGUCGGCGGCCGAGCCCACUGGAAACUAUGGAAGAUAGUUCUCACUCCACUCUAUUUCCAGUGGUAGGUGCAGGGCUGCCGAGAGAGGACCGCGGCAAGGCCAUCGCUCCCGAUCAGUGAGACCGUGGUAAUAUAGUAGCUUUCCUUUUUGCAUUAGUACACCUAUGUAUUGAGAGAGAUUCAUUGUAGGUGAGGAUUUGGAGAGCUAUGUAUUUUGGAGAUGAAAAAUGUAUUCAUUUAAAGAAAAUGAUGUAAAUAAAAAUGUUGAAACUAUUGUAAUAGUUUAGUGAAGUACUCUCUUUAUUUCACAUGCUUUAUCUUGUGGAUCGCUUGCUCUUCGCGUUGUUGGCACCGUUUGUGCCCUUGUGAAUGUGUAUGUUUAGAAUUUAAUUUCCUGCGUAAAUUCUUGUACACAUUCCUAUUGUUGAGCCUGGGGCGGACAAGGGAGGUGCUGUCCGUUCGGCGGCCUGCCGCCGCGGCCGAACCGUGCCAAAUUGGUAGUGGUUUCGGGGCGGGGCGUGACCGCCUUUGUGGUAUCAGAGCCUAAGAGCAAGUAAAGAGAAAGUCUAGGAUAAUCUAGGAGACCCUAGGUCGGUAAGCCCUAAGGUUAUAGGUGCAUGAGCGGAACGUGAACUUAUAGCGAUGGCGGAAGUUGAUUCUAUUGGGUCGAAGUUGGUAAUAUGUCUCUAGUUGUGGUUAGAGACGGAUUCAAGUGGUAUAAGUUCUUGUCUUGAGAUGGUUGUGUCGGCGGCCGACGACAUGAUACUAAGAGCCUAGAACGAGUGCACUUGUGUGCUUCCGCCUGAUUUUGUUGUUGAGUCGUCAUGUGUCGUAAUUGCGACGAGAUAAUUGGUUAAGAUGACUGACCAAGUAAUUGCGUUUCAGGGACUAAUGUCUCCAAGACGCUACACACGUAGAACUGCCCCAGCACCGACUCCUGAGGUGCCCGAGCAGGAGGAACCGAGCGUGAUCGAUUGGUUGCAAGCACAGGUGACCGCGUUGACCAAUGUGGUGCAGCGCCAGGAGACCAGAUUCGAGCGGCUCCAGGAUCUAUUGGAGCGGCAGAUCGCGGCGACGGCUGCGACGGUAAAUGAAGGCAGUGGCCCGCCCAAACCCUCGACUCAUAUACCUGGAGCGGCAGAGGGUGAGGGCAUAGCGGCGGUUCCGAUGACGGCACGCCCACCGCGAACGAUCGUACCACAGGCGGCAUCGGGGUCGGCUACACCCGAUGUGUCGGUCGAAGACGUGGAGGGAGAGAGCGCAUUGGCGGCUCUUAUCAAGUUCAACAAGUUCCAUCCGCCAACUUUCGAGGGCGAGAAGGUGGAACCGGAGAUGGUCGAGUCUUGGAUCGACUCGAUGGAAACCCUCUUCGAUGACUUGCGUACCUUGGAGAGGGACAAGGUGUACCUCGCCACCCAUUGCUUGGAAAAGGCGGCGAAGGUUUGGUGAAGCGAGUCAAACGGGAUCGGCUUCCCGGCCUUCCACCAAUGUUGUGGGAGGAAUUCAAGCGGGAGAUGUUCGCCAACUAUUUUCCCGAUACAUUGAAGCGGAAGCUCAAGGAGAAGUUCCGCAAGCUCGAGCAAGGGGACCGCCCAGUGGCGGAGUAUGAACAAGAAUUCUCCCAUAUUAUCGAUUUCGUCCUGGAUGUUGUAAAGGAUGACCGGGACCGGGCCGAGUGGUUCUUGCGAGGGCUUCGGCCGGGAAUCUAUAAGGCCGUGCAAAUAUUCAAGCUCACGACUUUUGCGGAGGUCUUCGAUCGAGCCCUAUGGGUGGAGCACGGAGAUGCCCACGUUCGGGAGAAGCGUGAGGCUUUGGCCGAGUCUAAGGACAAGGGCAAGAAACGCCAAGGCGGCGGUAGUUCGGGGGGGACAAGCACGUUACAAGAAACCCCUGAAGUAUCCGCGCGCUCAACAAAAGGGCGGUGGAGCGCGGUGAUGCAUUGUGUGCGGCGGAGACCACCCAGUCUCGCGCUGUGAGCAAGGUCGAGGCAAGUACUACAAAUGUGGGCAACCGGGGCACUUCAUUUGAGACUGCCCGGGAGGAGGAGCCUCACCUACCCCAUAGAUUGCAUCGGCGUCGGCGAUCCCGGCUCACUAUGGAGGAGCUCCAACGACGGCCGCGUCGACUGGACGCGCGAUGAUGCCGCGUCAACCUGAAGUGAUGCGAUCGGCCCCGAGCAGACGGGUGUUCGCCGCUCAGGUCCAAACUGAGGAACCUGCGGAGGCGGAGGAGCAUCGCCUUGUGGCAGGUAUGGUUUUAAUUAACGGAGUUCGCUCCAGGGCUUUAUUUGAUACAGGAGCCACGCAUCCAUUCAUAAGUAGAUCAUUCGCACGCAUGCAUGACAUUCUCAUAGAGGCGAGUGACAAGUGGCGAGUGGAGGGCCCUGAGUCGACGUUUAACACUUACUCGGAGUGUGCGUCAUGUCCCGUGCAAAUAGGCGACUGGAUUAUGCCUAUCCGGACACUGGAACUCCAGAAGCUUGAGGCUUUUGAUAUCAUUCUGGGCAUGGACUGGCUCUCGAAGUAUCAUGCGACGAUCGACUGUAAGAGCAGGGUGAUCACUUUUCGUGAACCAGGACAGGAGGAGUUCACAUAUCGGGCUUGUCAGAGCUCGUGCUUUGUCGCGACGGUGUCGGCGACGAGAGCAAGAAAGUUAGUUAACAGCGGUUGCACGGCAUUCUUAGUGACUGUUGUGGAAGUGGAACGAGUAGCUCCAACGUUAGGGGAGCUAUCGGUGGUGCGGGAGUUCCCGGAUGUGCUUCUUGCGGAGUUGCCGGGGAUACCACCGGAUCGGGAGAUCGAGUUUGUCAUAGACUUGGUUCCCGGUACCGCGCCGAUCUCGAAGGCCCCGUACCGAAUAGCGCCGGCGGAAUUGAAAGAGUUGAGGAGUCAACUGCAAGACCUCCUCGACAAGCAAUUUAUCCGGCCAAGUGUAUCACCGUGGGGAGCCCCGGUGUUGUUUGUACGGAAGAAGGACGGAUCGUUUCGACUCUGCGUGGACUAUCGAGAAUUGAACAGAGUCACGAUCAAGAACAAGUACCCAUUACCCCGGAUCGAUGACUUGUUCGAUCAGUUGCAAGGGUCAUGCGUGUACUCGAAGAUAGAUUUGCAAUCCGGCUACCACCAACUGAAGAUCAAGCCGGAGGAUGUGCAGAAAACUGCGUUUUGUACGCGGUAUGGACACUAUGAAUUCACGGUUAUGCCAUUUAGACUCAUGAAUGCUCCAGCGGUGUUCAUGGAUUUAAUGAACUGUGUCUUCAAGAAGUAUUUGGAUCGAUUUGUCGUGGUCUUCAUAGACGACAUAUUGGUCUAUUCUCGUAGCAACGAAGAACAUGUCGAGCAUUUGAGGAUAGUUCUUCAAGUCCUUCGGGAGGAGAAGCUAUAUGCUAAGCUGAAGAAGUGUGACUUCUGGCUUUGCGAGGUCGCCUUCUUAGGGCAUGUGAUUUUCGCGGGUGGAGUUUCUGUAGACCCGAGGAAAGUGGAGGCAAUCAAGGAUUGGCCGCGCCCGACAAAUGUCAUGGAGGUUCGAAGCUUCGUGGGCUUGGCGGGCUAUUAUAGGCGGUUCGUGGAAGGUUUUUCCAAAAUAGUGAUUCCACUUACCCGCCUUACUCAGAAAGGCACCAAGUUCGUUUAGAGCGAAGAAUGUGACCAGAGUUUCAAAGAGUUGAAGCAAAGACUGACUUCGACUCCGGUGCUCGCUCUACCGGUGCAGGGCGAAGACUUCUUGGUCUACGGUGAUGCCUCCUAUCUUGGGUUGGGGUGUGUAUUGAUGCAAAACGGGAAGGUGAUCGCUUAUGCAUCCCGUCAACUGAAGAGCUAUGAGAGGAACUACCCCAUCCAUGAUUUGGAGCUAGCGGUGGUGAUUUUCGCCUUGAAGCUGUGGAGGCACUACUUAUAGGGUGCCCAUUGUGAGAUUUAUACCGACCACAAGAGCUUGAAGUACCUGUUUACACAGACGGAGCUCAACAUGCGUCAGCGGCGGUGGUUGGAGCUGUUAAAAGACUAUGAUGUUGAUAUCCUCUACCACCCCGGGAAGGCAAAUGUGGUCGCGGACGCACUUAGUAGGAAGUCGGCGAAGAACCUCGCUUUUGAUAUUACCCAGCAAACACCCCUGUGGCUGGAUAUGGAGCGAUUGGACCUUAAAGUGGUCACUCCCGAGGUCCCGACUCAGUUGAUGGCACUCGUUGUCCAACCGACCUUGUUGGAGAGGAUCAAAGAUCUGCAACCCGCAGACCCAGAACUCCAAAAGGUGCGGCGAAAUAUCGAGGAAGGGCAUGGCGGCGAUUUCAGGGUAGACGCCGAUGGUACGCUUCGGUUUCGAAACCGAUGGUGUGUGCCGAAAAAUGGAGAGCUUCGUGAAUUGAUUCUGCAAAAAGCACACCGAUCUCCAUAUGCCGAUCACCCAGGCGGCACCAAGAUGUAUCGUGGAUUAAAAAUGCACUAUUGGUGGCCGGGAAUGAAGAGUGACAUUGGACGCUUUGUGGCAAAGUGCCUGACAUGCCAACAAGUGAAGGCCGAGCGUCGAUUUCCAGCGGGAAAGCUUCAAAGCCUACCAAUCCCCGUUUGGAAAUGGGAGGAUAUAUCAAUGGACUUCGUGGUCGGCUUGCCUCGCUCAACGGGCGGCCAUGAUGCAAUUUGGGUAAUUGUGGACCGAUUGACAAAGUCGGCUCACUUCUUACCGAUCCACACCACGUGAUCGGGUGACAAGUUAGCGCAGGUAUAUCUUGACCAGAUAGUGAGACUGCAUCGGGUGCCAAAAUCGAUCGUGUCGGAUCAUGACCCCCGGUUCACUUCACACUUCUGGAAAAGCCUGCAGGAAGCCCUUGGCACACGGCUCGACUUCAGCACUGCAUUUCAUCCUCAGAUCGAUGGGCAAACAGAAAGAACUAUUCAAACACUGGAGGACAUGUUGCGAGCGUUUGUCAUCGACUAUAAGGGAAGUUGGUGUGACCACUUACCUAUGGCCGAGUUCGCCUACAACAACAGUUAUCAUGCUAGUAUGGAGAUGGCACCGUUCGAGGCUCUUUAUAGGCGGUCGCGUCGAUCUCCUAUACACUGGAGCGAUGUAGGUGAGCGUGCUGAGUUCAGCCCAGAUGUGUUGCGAGAAGCGAAAGAGAAAGUCCGCCUUGCUCGCAAGAGAUUGCUCACGGCGUAGUCGAGACAACAGAGUUAUGCAGAUAGACGCCGUCGAGAUAUAGAAUUCGCGGUAGGCGACCGCGUAUUCCUGAAAGUCUCACCGAUGCGGGGUGUGAAGCGGUUUGGAGUGCGGGGAAAACUAAGUCCCCGAUACAUUGGGCCAUCUGAGAUAUUGGAGCGAGUUGGCAUGGUGGCCUACCGACUUGCUUUGCCGCCGAAACUUGCGGAUGUACACAAUGUGUUCCAUGUCUCCAAUCUCCGCAAGUAUAUUCACGACCCCGAGCAUGUGAUGCUAUAUGAACCGCGGGAACUUCAAGGAGACUUGAGCUAUGAAGAGUUUCCGGUAGGGAUUAUCGCCCGAGAGGUGCGAAAGUUGAGGCAUCGAGAAAUUCCCUAUGUGAAGGACAGGUGGAGCAAUCACGAGGAUCGCGAAGCCACCUGGGAACUCGAGGAUCUGAUGAGAAAACACCAUCCUCAUCUAUUUGAGGAGUAAGGUAUGGGUUUAAGUCAAGAAUUGAGUUAGUUUGGAGGACGAAACUUCUUUUAAGGAGGGGAGGAUGUAAGGAAGUGAAUUCUCGAAAUGCGAGGAUUGUACUUCAUCCAGAAUCGACUGACCGUCGAGAGAAUACCCUUUGUGGGAGUUAAGAAUGUCCAAAACACAAAAAGUGCUUUGGAGUUGAGUCCGUGAGAGCAAAUGGUGCAAACUGUAUUUUUGGGCUGAUGUUGCUCUCGGGGACCGGUCUCUGGAGGUGAGAGACUGGUUCCCUCGGCUGGGUGUAGCGGGGUUGUUUGGUGCAACCGGUCCCUGGCAGGGAGGGACCGGUACCCGAACGUGGUCCCAGCAAGAAAUGCCGAAAUUUGGCUAAGUCCUGAAAAUCGAGCUCUAAGGGACCGGUCUCUCAUGCGAGGACUGGUCUCCCGAGGACCGGUCUCCCGGGGAGAGACCGGUUCCCGAACGCGUGCGCCCGAGGGAAGCCCUCGGGGAUCGGUCCCAAGUCGGGGAGACCGGUCCCUCCGUGCGAAAACUGCCCAGUAAGGGCUGUGCAAUGGAUGGAAAGCUGAGGGGUCUAAAUGCAAAAUGGCCUUUAUUAGAGUGGGCUGAGCUCUCUCUCUCCCUCACACUCAUCUCAUUUCACUCUCUCUCUCACUCUCUCUUUCUCUCUUGCUCCCUCUCUAGAAAAGAAAGGAGAAGAAGAAGAACAAGAAGGAGAGGAAGGAAAAGAAGGAGAAGGAAAGGAAGGAGAAGAAGAAGAAGGAGAUCAAGAAGACGGCUUUGGACACCUUCAUCAACCUCUCCUCUUCUCUUUGGUGUAGCACAAGAGGUAGGCUCUUGAGCCCUAGCUUCUAAACUUUGGAGUUUUGGGUUUUCAUGCUUUGGAAUGGGUCAAAUGAACCCUAAGCAUGCUUCUAAGUAGAUCAAUCCCAUGAAUCUAGGGAUUUAUUCGGUGGUUUGCUAUGGGUACAAACCUAGGGCUCCGAAAUGGGGUUUUUGCGAAAGUAUGAGAUUGAUCUCAUUUGAAGCCUUGGAAACCCUAUUGUUAGGUCACAAAACGUGGGGGCGAAGUCGAUUUUGGCAUUCGGCGACCCGGCGUGAAGUUCUCGGCAAAAUAGGGCCGGGUUAGCAUCGAUUCGGUCAAGGAAGGCUAAAGCCUUUUCGUAAAGCUCGCCGAGAAGGAUUUUCUAAGCCUCUACAGCGAUAAAAGGUGGGAGGUGCCAUCCCGAAGCUUUCGAACUCCUUUCUAUGUCUUAGAUUGCAUUUAAUCUCAUCUAUUUAUAUUGCAUUGUAGGAUUGCAUAGUAGCUCCAUUCCUUAUGCUUUCUAAAUGAUAACCUAGUGUACUUGGAACGCUUGGUGACUUAGAUAGGUGAGGAUUGGGUCGGAACGUGGAUCCUAUGAUGCUAGAGAUAGAGAUGAACCCGAUGGGGGUGUUGAUGACAUAGAAAGCAGUGUUAUUGUCAAAGAAUAAACGAGUGGCAUCCAAAUGUUAAAUGAUAACGAGUGGCAUUAAUGUAGUGUAAUUAACACCAGAAGUCGAUGGACCUAGGGAUAGGCGGAUCCCUUAGAAAAUGCCUUGUGAACAAUAAAUUUAGAAAAGCUAAAUAGCAUUGCAUGAAUGUCGCGAGAAAUGUUGACUCUAGUUGUAGAGCAUCCUCACUUGGAGAGGACUUGAUUGAGUUGUUGACCCUAGUUGUAGAACAUCCUCACUUGGAGAGGAUAGAUCUAGCUCACAGUCUGCGUUCGGGAUGGUAUAGCCAUCCAAUUCCCACAUGGAGGGGAUUGUCGUCGAGUACUCCAGAGUGUCGCGCGACUAGGACCACUUGGAGGUCCGGACCACAUGGAGGUCCGCAGACGGUCCCGGGCUUGGGUGCACUUGGAGCUCCUUCCCCACUUUGGGAUUGAAAGGUGAGUCAUAGGCGAGCCCUAGGGCCUCGCCACAGAUUGGGUAAAUGGAAAGAGUUAAGGUUUAAGAAUGUCAUUGAAUAUUGCUAUUCGAACAUGGAUCGAAUUUGUUAGCAUGGUAGCAAACCUUUAUCAUAUGAUGCAUGCAUUCAUAUCCAUGAUUAUGGGCAUAGUAGCAUAGUUUUCCUACUAUUGCAUUUAUAGUUUUCAGAUACAUAUCUAUCUAUCUAUCUAUCUAUUUGUUGUUACUUGUGCCCACUUGGACCUAGUGGGGAGAUCGGUAGAGUCGGCGGCCGAGCCCACUGGAAACUAUGGAAGAUAGUUCUCACUCCACUCUAUUUCCAGUGGUAGGUGCAGGGCUGCUGAGAGAGGACCGCGGCAAGGGCAUCGCGCCCGAUCAGUGAGACCGUGGUAGUAUAGUAGCUUUCCUUUUUGCAUUAGCACACCUAUGUAUUGAGAGAGAUUCAUUGUAGGUGAGGAUUUGGAGAGCUAUGUAUUUUGGAGAUGAAAAAUGUAUUCAUUUAAAGAAAAUGAUGUAAAUGAAAAUGUUGAAACUAUUGUAAUAGUUUAGUAAAGUACUCUCUUUAUUUCACAUGCUUUAUCUUGUGGAUCGCUUGCUCUUCGCGUUGUUGGCACCGUUUGUGCCCUUGUGAAUGUGUAUGUUUAGAAUUUAAUUUCCUGAGUAAAUUCUUGUACACAUUCCUGUUGUUGAGCCUUGGGCGGACAGGGGAGGUGCUGUCCGUUCGGCGGCCCGUCGCCGCGGCCGAACUGUGCCAAAUUAGUAGUGGUUUCGGGACGGGGCGUGACAAAAAGGAAGAGGCAAGGAGGCACGAAAUCAUGAUGCAGGAGAAUGCCCGCAAACAUGAACAACUCCUAGAGUUGAUUAGGAGCCGAUUUGUGCAUGAUAGAGAAAAAGAGAUAGCAGUGCAGGUUCCAAAAGAAGAGAAAGAGCUAAUACCCAUAACCAUUUCUCUAGAGAAAAGAGUUAGUUCACUAACUAAUUCCGUAAUCGACCAACCAGCUGCCGUGAAGGAAGUAGAGCAAAAGCACCUUGAAAUUCUACAGAUGGAGGACAGUAAUGGGCAUGAUGUAAAGCUGAGUGAUAGUACUAGCAAACCGGAGGGAUUGCUAAGGUUGCAUGCAACUCAACCAUAUCCGACCAAGCCAAUUCCAAUUGUCGAAACAUGCAACAUAGAGCAUUCAAGUUUAGAGAGAAGCAAACUUAGAGAUAACAUUGUUCCAUCACCUAUCAGAGCAAACAUGGGUGAAGGAACUCCACUAGGAACUCACAAGCUGCAAGAAAUGGAAGAAGAAGCAUUCCCACAAUGGCCUGAUAACAACCCACUACCUCAACAACCCUGGUUGGAUCGAAUUCAUCAUCAGCAUCAACAGCAUAAGCUCUGGAAGCGAUCUAUUCGGCGUGGAACCUAUCAUCAUUGUCGCCAUCCAGUUCUCAGAUCGAAGUCAUCAUUGAAGGUUGCGACUCAGCUCGGAACCAAAUCAGGCCUAGAUCGACCCUUGGUAGCACCUCAAUCAUCAUCACAGCCAACCAAAUCUCCGAAAUUACAAUGGGCGAUGGAUGCUACUCAGAUUGGGCCAUUACAAAUUGAAUGCUAUCACAAUCGGAUUGUUAUGAAGAUUGGGCUGUUACAAACUGGAAAGGCAAAAACAGAAAAACAAGAGAUCGUUAACUACAAGGACAAACCCCCUUGGAAGAAGUUUGUUGCAGAUAAGUGGAAGGGGAUUGACAUCAAGUGCCUAACUGAUGACAUUGAUGCAUUCUGCAGGCAAAUACACAACAAGACAGUGGAAAACUAUCAAGCCAGAUCGGAGAACUUAAGAGUUCAAAAGCCAAUCCAAAAUUCUAAUCUGGUAGAGGCUUGCCAGGUGUGGGGCUUUGUCAAUGAAUACAAGGAGCUAGGGACUGUGCUUAAGAGGCCUCACCCAUGCUCGCGAUUUCUGACCUAUGAACAAGAUAAGCUACAGGAAUCUGAUAGAAAUUUGGGUGUUACCUUGCACAUAAAAGGGGAAUGCAAAGCGCUUACCAUGAUUAUAUGCAAAUGGAUGCAAGCUGUGCAAAAUCGAAGUGAAGAAGACCAUCUGUUAACUGAAUUUCAUACUUCCAGGGCGUGGCAAGUUGAUAAGGGAAUUGAACAGUUCACUCGAUGGUCAGGAAUCGAAAGGGAUGUGCAUCAGUUAGUGCCAGAAUAUGAAGUUUGCUUAAGAGCUAAGGGAGAAAAUAGGCCCACACAUUGUUACAAGAAGCUGAAACCUGAAGAGUGGUGGUCCUACACCAGAUGCCGCUUCUCAACAGGAGAGAGAAUUUUACAAGGUAAAUAUACCUAUUACCCUCCAACUAAUGCCUUGAUUACUAUUGGAAAUAUUAUGGACUCAAAUUUGAGUUGGUUCAAGCGAAUGGGACAAGUACUAUACAUUUUUAAAGGGCAAUCAAAUAGAGCAUAGCAGAGAACACAUAUCAUGCUGAUAGGAAAAGGAGUAAAAGUCUCUCUAGGAGAAGACAUGUACACUGGGAGUCAAUAUUCCACGAGCAACAUGGCGGAGCUGACAGAAGGAGUCCAAAACUCUAGUUGCAUUUCUCUGAACCAACCCAGUUUUUUGACUAGGGGAGAUCCGGCAGCGCGCAGGUUGCGACAUCCUGAAGGGCCCAAGGGUGAGCCCCUGCCCCAACAGGGCCGCCAUCCAUGCUGCCAGCCGGAGGAGGUUUCCAAAGGUGGCUUAAAAGAAGCAACUUUGAAGAAGAAGAAUGUGCCGCAGGGGAAGCAAAUGGGAUCCCCCAAACCAGUCAACAAGUUCCAUCCUUGAGGACAAGGAUGAACUUAAGGGGAAGGGAUUGUAAUGACCCUGAAGAAUAAAUGGUAAAAGUAGUAGUAGUAGUAGCAGUUAGCAUGGGAGAGUAGUAAAAAUGUCAACUUUACAAAGUAGAGCAGAGAAGUGAUAGCAGGAGGUUGGUGAGCAGUGAGCUCGGCGGAGCGAUCCGGCGGGAAGGCGCUCGAGCGGAACUCCGGCAGGAAGGCGCCUUCGAAGGGGCUAAGGCGAGCUCGACAGUUCUAGGGCAUAGUCGGUGAUGAAGGGAAAAUGGGAGGAUCGAGGUCGGAGGAGGAAGCCCGACAGAACCGGGGUGUUUGGGGCGAAGAAGAGAGCUAGCGGAUCGGGCGGUCAAAUCAUCGGAGCGGGCGUAAAACGCGGACCCGAUAUCCGCCGGGUCGUGGAUGAUGCGGAGAAGGCCGGAACCGACGCCCACUUACCGUUAAGCAUGGAUCGGGCAAAGCGGGCUCGGAUCGGGGCGAAAUGGCGAACCCAAGACCCGCUGGGUUGCGGGUAGUGUGGAGAAGGACGGACCCGAGUCCGAAUACCCGACAAGCAGCAGAGGAGCUCAGGAAGCCCAGGAAGAGGGCCCAACUACCACCGAAUUGGCGGCCCAACCAACCCACUUCUUAUUUUGUCACUUUUGCUGUUUAGUCCUCAGAGAUUAAAUAAUUCUCUUUUCUAUACGGAACUAAUUAGUAUAAGUAUCAGGAUGUAAUGUAAGCUAGGGCUUAGGAAUGGAAAUGAAUUAGCGUGUCUUCUUCCCCAAUUAUCCUCUUCUUCUCCACUCCUUUCUCUUAUCCUUCCCCAAAACCCUACUCUAAAUUCUUCUAAAACCCUAUUUUCUUCCUCCCAAUCUCUCUCCCUAUCUCUCUCUAUUUCUCUACCUCUCCUUCUCUUUCACAAACUCACCUCCAAAUCACCUCAAAUUAUCCGGUACAUAACAAUAGUCUCCAAACCUCACUGAAAACUAUUCGAAUAGUCUUCUAAGCUAUUUUUCAUUGAAACUCCACAAAUUUGCACAAGUUUAAUGCAUUACAUAAUGAUUAUUAUGUAUAGAGCUUAUCUUUGUUGGACAUAUGACACACAGUAGGUUUGGUUAACAUGUAAUUGCUCUCUCGUGGAUUUUAACCUUAUUGGUUGGUUGUAGUUGAUUAUGAAAAUGAUAUAUGAUUGACCUAGUUAGUUGGCUAUACUCUAUAUGAGAUUGGACCUUUGUGAUCGGUAGAUUGCUCCUCAUGAGCCUUGUUGCUUUCCAUCACGGUUCAAUUACUUGAGCAUAUAGCGUGAUCCUAGAUUGCUCCUCAUGAGCCUUGCUACUUUCCAUCACGGUUCGAUUAUUUGAGCAUAUAGCACGAUCCGCUACAGCAUGAUGCACAUCCGCAUACACCAAUUCGAUUUGGUCACCAAUAGUGGAUGUUCUUUUUCGAAAAAGUGGUAAAAAAUGAGUCAUGAAUCAACUUCGUGCAUACAUAGAUCAUCAAUUCGAAAGCUCUAUUAUCGAAAUUAUUUAAAUUUAUGAGUACGAAGACAAUCGUACUCAUAAAAAUUAUAACCGGUCACACUCUCACUCAUCGAAAAUAAUUUAUGAAUAUGAAGACAAACCUAAAGCAUCCAAAAUUAACAAUCAAAACGGUAAAACUUGAUCUAAACUAUUCAAACUUUUUAGGUUUCAAAUUUUACAAUUUUUUAAUAUCAUUUGCCGACUAUUCAGAUGGUCUCAAAUUUACUAUUUUCAACAACUAAUAAAAGGUUAAUUUGAGACCACUUGAUGCCUAGGCAAAUGACCACAAAAUAUCACAAAAUCCGAAUCAUAAGAAAUUUAAAUAGCUUAAAUUGUGUUUAAGAAAUUUAAAUAGCUUAAAUUGUGUUUAACAAAAUCAAUCAUCAAAAUUCGCAUGACAUAUAGUCAAACAAUUCAUAAGCAAAUGACCCUGUUUACUCCCAGAAGUAUUAUAACUAUCAAUUAAUUUUCAAGAACUAGGAAAUAAGAAGAUAAUAUAAAGAUAUGUCUUAAUGACUACAAAACCAAACAUAAUUUGUAAAAUCACUAACAAAAGUGGCCCAACACUAUCACCCAUCAAUGAAUUGCACUAACGAUGAAAUGCUCAGCAACUAAAUAGACUUACAGAUAGCCAAAAAAGAUCACAACUUCGAGUAAAUAGACAGGCUUGAGGAUAGGCUAAAGAAUAAUUACACAGAGAAAGGCAGCCAACAUGGCUUUUGGGCUCCACAAUUUGUUAAUGUUGAGUAACUGUAGCUUGUUUCUAUCAUGUUAAGAAGCAUAUAAACUUACAAGAAUACCAAGCUACACAAGAUUAUAAUGCAAUACACAUCUGCAAGUUACACUUAAAUCGCAUUUAUUCCUCUGCUUGCCAUCACCGAGCACAUCACUGUAAUGAGAAUAGCACCGCUAAUACAAAAACAUAGCAGUAACCAGUGUAACUGUGAAAAUAAUCAACUUUAACAUAGGCAGAUAUAAUCCUAUAAAAGAACAUGUAAGGGUGGAAGAAAGUCCAAAAAUAAUACAAACAUAUAUGACAUAAAAAAGCAAUGUUUCGCUACACCUUUUACAGAUCUGAAUUUAGUUUUUAAGUUUCAGUAAGCACACGUAGAUGCCUGAAUGGAAUGAUAAAAGCAACAAAGCAGGAUCCAUACAAUUUACAAGCCUGUUGAGAUCGAAGCAUGGAGCAAGCGGCUAUAGUCCAAAUUGUUCCUUAUCACAAUUCAUUGAUCAGGCAGGUAGAGGCUCCUCCAAAACUGUUCAUUUUGAUCAGAAGCAAUUUCUUAGCAACCAAAUUUGUAGCAGGAAAUAGCUCAACCAAAGAUAUGCAAUUACAAAAUACAUACAGACAAAGAUAUAAAUCGAACAGAGUCAUAUAGACCGCGCACAUUUAUAGCCAUGUUCAUACAUGCUAUAUGCACAGAGAGAGAGAGAGAGAGAGAGAGAGAGAGAGAGAGAGAGACCGUCAGUUCUUUUGGCAGCACUAUCUUUAGCGGCCACAGGAACUUUCGUGGGUACAUCAGGAAGGUCGAGAGUCUCAUCUUCUUUUUCCUCUGCCUGAGAUUCUGCUUCAGGCUGCUUUUCAACAAACAGUUUAGCACCCUCUUCAGCUGGCACUGAUGAAGCAGGAAUUGUCGGCAAUGAUUGUAGUGUGAGCUGCAAUGAUUAAAAAAGCCAGAACACUUUACUAGGACGCCUAUAAACAUAGACAGUGAAAUCGGAACAAAGUUUAUUUUGGCACAAAAACUAGCUCAUGCAAGCUUGUAGUUGUCUUUCACUUUGUUAAUCUUAGGGAAUGUGCUUGUGGCAUAAAAGAGCCCUUGAGCAAUUUAGUAAACAAACCUCAGUUUCCAAGUUCUCGAAUUCUGCCAAAACGGCUUCCUCAUCUUCAGCUGAGAGCUGCUCCCCUAAUGCAGCAUUUAUUUCCUGCAACGACAGAAGAAAGCAUAAGACCAGUCUUCAAUUUAUUUGAAAUAGAUAAUCCUAAAGCACUAGUAAUUCAUGAUUGGAAGUCCUACAAUAAGUAAAUGAUGACAAAAUCAACUAUUAGCAUAAACAUAAGCAACAAGUCAGGCCCAAUCAUGCCUCAAGCCCUCAUAGAACUAAGCAGAUAAUUGCAAAAAUAGACAAUAAGUUACUAUGCCAGAAAAAAUUAAUCAAUAGCAAUAAUUUUAGCAGACAUGCAACAGAUCAUAAUUCUUUUCACCAAUUUGAAAAUCAUAAGAGUACAGUAAGCUUCUCAUCAUCCACACAAUUUUCUUUCCAAUUAGAAUAUUCUACAGUUGGACAUUGACUUGUCGCAAACAAGAAAGGUUUUAUAGGAAGAAGUUGCAUUUCAAUAGUAUAGAGGACACGAGGGUUGUGAGAAAAUGCAUCUCAAGAGGUUUCUAAUGAGGGAACUGGUUCGAUCAUUAUGAUUGUGACGCUAUUCUUCAAAGAAGUGAGGAUCAACCCCUUAUCUAUGGGAAGACAAAGAGGAGUAUCCUCUUUAAAAGAAUAAGUCAUUUCUCAUGAGAUAGAGAACUGGUCCAAGUAUAGGCCUCAAGGGUUAAAAUAUGAGCUAUAUUAUUAUAAGAAGCUAAAAUACUAUGCAUUAGUGCCUGAAAUCACAAUCCAAAAUGUACAACAAUUGUAUAGCAUAGAUGCUAAUUUUCAGCCUUGCUUGUCUACCAAGGCCAAGUUUGGUAAGGCGGUAGCUGUAAGCACAGCCUUUAUGCUCUGAAAGAUGCAAAAAUUCAAAGCACUUUCAAUCUUCCUCCAAUGCUAUACAAUUGUGAUGACAACCGCCACCGGAGAAGCACAUAACCACAUGCUUCUUUGGUAAUGGUUGCCACUACAAUUUUUUUAGCAUUGGAGGAGGGACGCUUGGAAGCGUUUUUGGGAUUUUUUUUUUUUUUUUUUGGUUUUUUGGACCUUACAAAGCAUAAAUGUGAUUCUUUUAGCCCCCGCAUUACCAAAGUAGGCCUAAAAUUUCCUGGUUGUAUAGCAUAAACCACUAAACCAAACAGAGGCAUAUAUUUGUGUCAAAGAUGACAUGAGCUCCAGCUGGUGCAUCUUUCCUUAACGCUAAUCCAGAAGUUCCCUUAGAGCUUCAGUUGCAAAGUUCAACAAUCGAGGUCUUUAGGACUUGCACACUUUUCCUAAUUUUGCUGCAUCGCUAAAACAUCAUUUUAACCACUUGCAAGUUUAAACAUCAGUGAAAUUGCCCUCUCCCAAACAUGAAUCAUAUUUGAUCCUUAACAAGCAACUGGCAAGCAAAGCUUCAUCAUGUUGCAGUUAGAAAACAACCAUCAAACAAGAAACUAAACUGAUAUUUAAAAACAAAACUAAGAUACAAAUAAGAAGAAAAACAUUUCCCUAGUGAUUACUGUUUAAGAUUAUAACAGUUGCAUGAUGGCUGGAGAAAAUAUAUAUCUAAGAUAGGCAGAGAAUCUACCACAGUUAAGGGCUUCCGAAAGAUUCAACUAGUUUCAAUAAUAAAUAGCAGAUGAAGGAAAGGUAAAAUACAACAGACUUACAUCUUGAUAGGCCUUUGCCUCAGCUGUAUCAUCCAUCAAUUUCUGAACAUCUUCCAACUUGAUCUCACUUUGUAUAGCUUUGAUGGCAUUGUUUCCUGUCUUCAAACUUUCAAAUACAGCCUUUUGCUUACUUGCUAGUUCAAUAUCUGCCAACUAAAGCAAGUAAUAAGAACCAAAAAAAAAAAAAAUAAAAUAAAAAUAAAAAACAUAUUAUCAUACAAUCCAUGGGGAAAAGAAAGCUUCACGAAGAUCAAGCUAAGGCUUGUUUACUUCAACUUUCAGGCAGCCACGCAGGAUUUAGAGCAAGUAACAAGCAUUAAAUACGUUUACAGGACAGCAAAAACCCCGUGUCACACCUGGUUCAAUGCCAGCAUGGUACACACAAUACUACAAUAAUACAUACUAAUACCACAUUCCCUAAAACCAUAGCUUAGGAUGCAUUCUCCAUAUACAUCCACGUAGACGCAUAGAACUGAGCAGAGCAAUAAGAGCUUUCAGAUUUCCUAUUUAAGCUCUAAGUAGGGGUGAAAAUGGAUUGGAUACGGACUCAAAUGUUAAUCCCUAUUCAUAUAUAUAAAUUUAAGGCUAAAUUAUAUAAAACCCUUUUGCCAAAAUCCGAUUUUUCACUUUUCCCCCCUGUCAUUUAAAAACCUACACUUUGCCCCCUUGUAAAAUGAAAAAUGUUCACUUCGUCCCCUGCCGUUAGUAAUCCGUUAGGGUUCCGUUCAUAAAUAUUAUUAUAUAUUUUUUAUGCCAAAAAUGCCCUUAGCCUUCUCUCCUGUGAACACAGUGAGAGGCAAAAUGGUGAGGGAUAAAAUAGUCAUUUUAUCAUCACAGUUCACGCCGUACUCCCUUAUGAACAUUUUUCAUUUUAUGAGGGGGCAAAGUGUAGGUUUUUAAAUGACAGGGGGUGAAAGUGAAAAAUCAGGUUUUGACAGGGAGAUUUUCUGUAAUUUAGCCUAAAUUUAAAUCACAUCAGGUCAAAGCAGAUAUUGGACAUUGGACAGAUAAUAAACAUCAAAUCCAUACUCAGAAAAAUAGUCUCGUUGACAUGUCAGAUAUUAAAUAGAAUGGCUUCGAAUUAAUAUUUAAUAAAAUAUAUAAGACUAUAGAAAAAAAAAUUUGCAAAGUAUAUAUGAUGUUUCCCGAAAACUGUCUACAAAACUACUAGAAAAAUAACAAAAUCUAUAUAUAUAUAUAUGUAUAAUAUAUAGAGAGAGAGAGAGAGAGAGAGAUAAGGAAGAAGAGGUCGGCUACUAUACUCUUAUGAGUAUAGAGCCCUUCGUACUCAUAAAAGUUGUUUCGAUGAUGGGGUUUCUAAAUCGACGAUCCACUCCGUUAAACAUAAUCUAGAGUAUUUGAAACUUCUAAAAAAUAAAUUUCGAAAUUUUUCAUCAUAAUAAAGUCCAUUCAAGCGGCAUAAAAUGAACGCGUCAACAAUCGAAUACAUCCUAAAAUGGAUGAUCAGAUCCUUCAAUUUAAGAUCAAAAGUUAUUGAUUUAUCUAAUUAGUGAAUAGAAUUUUCUAUCAAAAAUUCAACCUAUUCCAAUUCUUUACACUGGUUAAACUACCAAUAUCCACACCGCGCUGUUAAAAAUUGUCAAUUUUGUGACCUUUUGAUCGUAAGAUAAUGAGUCAAAAAAUUAUAAAUAUUUAUUUUUAGAAGUUUAAAUGCUUUACAUAAUGUUUAACGUAUGAUCAUUGAUGCGGAAGUUCUAUCAUUGAGAACGACUUAUGAGUACAAAGGCGAUCGUACUCAUAAAGAAUAGUAGUCAGACGCUAUAUAUAUAUAUAUAGAGAGAGAGAGAGAGAGCGAUGAGAACGACUUAUGAGUACAAGGUCGUACUCAUAAGAGUAUAAGUAGCGAAGCUAAUAUAUAUAUAGUAUAUUAUUAAUAUAUAUAUAUAAAGAGGAGACGGAGGAGAGAGAGAGAGAGUGUGGCUGGAAUACUAUCGAUAGUAUUUGGUCUAUUUUGCUAUCAAGUUUUUAACCUUGCAUAGAAAUGGUAGGUUAGGAUAAUAUUAGUCCCUUAGGGUAGAGGAUCCCCCUAAGGUUGAGUGGUCUCCACAGAAUUAUAAUAUUUAAUCCAAUGGUUUUAGAAAUGAUCAAAAUAAUUAAUCUAAAAGCUACAAAUCUUGAUAGCAAAGGGGCAAAAUACUAUUUAAUAGUUUCUAGGCCGCAACUAUUAAUAUUAUAGUAUAUAUUAUAUAUAUAAACGAAGAGAUAGGGGGGAGAGAGAGAGAGAGAGAGAAAGAGAGAAGAGAGAAGAGAGUAGUUCUACGACUCGGCUCUUCGCGAUCGAUGGAGUUUCCGUAUCGACGAUCGCUUUCUUAGACUUGUUUUACAUAUUAAACUAAUUAGAAACAUAAGUUUGCCGAUUUUCAAUAUAUUUACAUAGUGAUUGAAAGGUGUUCAAAUCAACGCUGAAAAUAAAAAUCUCACAAAAGUGGUGAUUACCAGCCAUAAAAUUUUUUAUUCAGAGAUAUUUGAUUCUUGUGUAAAUAGUGACAAGAAUUUUCUAUCAAAUUCAAUGCUAAUUUGAAUACUUCUACACUAUUACACUAUAAAGGAUAUUACAUCUAACUCGAUUAAAAAAUUAUUGAUUUUAAACCUUUCACUUGCUAGUGUAAAUGAGUAGUCGAAAACCGCAAAAGCUUAUUUCUAGGAUAUGUUCAAUACGCGUUGUCAAUCUAGAAGAGCGAUCAUUCAAUUCAGAGUCCCGAUCAUCGAAAGGCUUAGGAGCCGGAAGCCUCGUGGGCUCCUGAAUAGCAACACAAAACUACUCUACUAUCUCUCUCUCGAGUCUCUAUCUCUCUCUCUCUCUCUCUAUAUAUAUAUAUAUAUAUAUAAAAGUUACAUACUAAAAAUAUACUAAAAGAAAUUUUGGAUUCGGAUUAUCCGUAUCAAAUAAAUGUCUAAAAAAAUAUAGUAGACCCAAAAAUCUAAAAAAUUUAAUGUGUGUGUAUACAUAUAUCUAUAGAGCUAGGCUGGUAUACUAUUGGUAGCAUGGAGGUCUCCGUGCUACCAAGUUGUUUUUAAUGAUGCGGCUUCCAAAUUGACGAUCGGUUCCUUUAGACUUGAUCUACACUAUUAAAAGUAUUUGGAAACUAAAUUUCAUAAUUUUUCAACAUCAUGUACCUAUCAAACGAGUAGUCUAAAUAUGAAUGGCUAAAAAUAAAAAUCUCAUAAAAAAUAAUGAAAAAAGACUUGAAUUUAAGAUCAGAGGUACUGAUCUUACUCUAAAUAGUGAAAAUAAUUUUCUAUAAAAAUUUCAUCAGAUUUGAAUUAUUUUAUACCGUUAAAUUCACAAACGCAUCACAUCGACCAUUAAAAUUGUCAAUUUUGAGACCUUUUGAUCACUGGCCAAAUGAUGUUGAAAAAUUAUGAAAUUUAGUUUUCAAAUACUUUUAAUAGUGUAGAUCAAGUCUAAAGGAACCGAUCGUCAAUUUGGAAGCCGCAUCAUUAAAAACAACUUGGUAGCACGGAGACCUCCAUGCUACCAAUAGUAUACCAGCCUAGCUCUAUAGAUAUAUGUAUACACACACAUUAAAUUUUUUAGAUUUUUGGGUCUACUAUAUUUUUUUAGACAUUUAUUUGAUACGGAUAAUCCGAAUCCAAAAUUUCUUUUAGUAUAUUUUUAGUAUGUAACUUUUAUAUAUAUAUNUUCUAUAUAUUAAGUCAUAAAAGAUAGCAAAGAAUCUCAUUAAAGAGAAAAAUUAUUCUUUUAUAUAUAUAUAUAUAUAUAUAUAUAUAUAUAUAUAUAUAUAUAUAUAUAUAUAGUAUAUUGCUUUUAAUAUACUAAAAAUAUAUUAAAAGCAAUUUUGGAUUCGGAUUAUCCGUAUCAAAUAAAAUCUAAAAAAUAUAAUGGACCCAAUCAGGAAAAUUUUCUAAUCCCAAAUUCAAAUCCGAAUCCAAAGUGGAUAGUAAAAUCCCAAUCAAUAUCCCAUUAGUGUCGGUUUCAAACUUGAGUCGGAUAGAAUAAUAUCAUUUUCACCCCAAUCUCUAAGGGAUAGUUGGGAAUCCAUCCUUGAACAAUUUGAUGUUGGAGACCUAGUUUGCGAUUGCAUGCUUUAAGGCAAAAUACUUGCUCCUCAUGCGGCAAUUCCCACCAUAAUUCAGUAGCAUUAGAUGAAGGAAACUCCAAAGCGCUUUCAGAUUUUUCAAUCCCUCUAAAGCAUGAAAGCAAGUGUAUUUGGACACCACAAUCUUAUAACAGGCCUUAGAAUUCCCAAAAAGUAGGAAAGAAUGUAAGAGAUCAGUUCCUCUAAUGCUGCAAAAUUGUGGUGGGAACCUCCAUUAAAAAAGCAUCCAUUAAGAUACUUCUCCAUGGAAGUUCUCACACCGUUUUGCAAUAGGGAUUGGCCAAGCUAAUGAUAUUCCUGGCUUUCUUGGAGCUCUAAAGCAUGAAAGUGAUUGGAGAACACAUUCCCAAGCUAGGCCUACAACAUAAAAGUGGUUGUGUUUUGGGAACACAUUCCCAAACUAGGCUUAAAUAACGCCAAAAGGCACUCUUGUGACUUCGAAAGCUGGACAUGGCCACAAUGACACCUCAAUAAUCCCACAUCGGAUAAUGUGAGAGAGUGUGACAGGCUUAUAUGUGACGGGCAUGCUAGAGAUAAUAGCUACGCCUAAGCAAGGCUAAUGUUUUGAGUCCAACGAAUAAUUAGUGCUAGUAGGUCAAGUCAUUACAGUUGGUCUCAGAGCCAAUGCACUAGCCGAAAGUGUAAGGAAGGUCUCACAUCGCUUGAUGAUCUUGAGCUAUGUGUGUGAUUGAGUUAACAUAGACAUUAGGGCCCAAAACGGGAGAAAUAUGUGACACCUCAAUAGUCCCACAUCUGAUAAUGUGGGAGAGUGUAGCGGGUUUAUAUGUGACGGGCAUACAGCAUACUAGAACUAAUAACUGGGCUUAAGCAUGUCGGAUCAAUGGUUUGGGCUCAACAAGUUUUUUAGUGCUAGUAGACCGGAUCGUUACAGCCACCAUGUAGAGUGGCACGACAAUCCUUAGCAGCAGACGCCUCUAGUGAAGUGGUUAGCAAAACAAAAGAAUCUAAUGCUUUGGCUAGGGAGGAAAGGUGAAAUGAGCCUUCGAUCCCUAAAACCAGAAGCUUCGAUUUGGAACUUCUGCUUCUACUACAAAAUGGAGCUAUUAGGGAGAUCUUACUAAAAAUGUUGUUAAUGUUUUUUCAAACAAGUCUACUCAAACAACACUUCUGCAUAAGUUCCAUAAGUGCCGAACAUAAGUGUAAAUGAUAUGUGACUGAAAUUUGUAUGUUUACAAGUUGUUUAUUAGGUAGAAAAGUACAGCAAUUGAUCUAUACAUCCUCAUAUUAGAUAAUCAGCUAUCAUAACUAAAAUAUAAUUCAAAAUUUACAAAUGACACAAUUUUUAAAUUUGAAUAUAAAUAUAUAGCACAAAUAACAUGUAAAUAGGUAGAGUUAGUUGAAUAUAAGUUUGUUAACCUUAUCUUAGUAAUCAAAAAUAAUGUUCACUUUCAAGUUUCCAAAGGUUGAGAAAUAAAAACUAGAGAACUUGUGAAAACAAAGGAUAAUUGUAUUUNAAUGACACAAUUUUUAAAUUUGAAUAUAAAUAUAUAGCACAAAUAACAUGUAAAUAGGUAGAGUUAGUUGAAUAUAAGUUUGUUAACCUUAUCUUAGUAAUCAAAAAUAAUGUUCACUUUCAAGUUUCCAAAGGUUGAGAAAUAAAAACUAGAGAACUUGUGAAAACAAAGGAUAAUUGUAUUUCAAUAUGCUAUUACUUUAUUAUAAUACUUGCCUUAAAAGGGUUUAGAAUUAGAUUAUUGGCAAGUAAUAUAACUUUUACGAGUAAAGAAAUUCCAUAAAUUAUAAUAAUCUACUUUGUAGUGAAACAUGUUUAUCAUAAAAAAUUUAUAGUUUUCCUUAUUAUCUAGAUAUCAAAAGCCACUUUCUAAUGCAAUAUACAAGCACGUAAAAGAAUAUCUAGAAGCUUCCUUUUGUAACUCUUUCAGACGGAAAGAAACUUUUCACUAAUAGUACUCCAAGAAAAAGUUUCGCGGUCAAAAGUUGUUCUCAACAAAGUUAUAAUUUCCAAAGUGAACCAAACAAGCCCAGCUAAAAUGGAAAAUUAUGCUUUGGCACAUAAUUUUGCUCUAUUUCAUUUAUAAGAAAAAAUUAAUGUUCUACAUAUAUAACCACUUACUUGUUGCUCAACAUUAAUUAGCCAUGUAUCAACUUGUUUAAGGAGCUCUUCCUGAGCUUUCUUCUUCUUCAAGGCCAGCAAGGCCCUGUCUUUCCUCUUUUCCCUAAUCAGAUCCUUUGCAGCUUGUUUUUCAGCCUCAAUCACUGUCUCAAGCUGGUAAAACAGAAAGAACAUAAUAAUUAAUACCAAUGGACACAACAAUUCUUACAUAACUUCAAAAAAAAUAAGGGCUGAAUAUGAUAUUCCAAAACCAAUUGUAUCUCACAGAUGGUCUCAAGCAUGAAAAUCUCAGAACCGAAUCAUCUUUCUACUUGGUAGAACAAAUAAAUAUGUUGAGUCUACUUCAGUAAUCUUAGUGGAAUUAGAAAAUCAAAGAACACACCAUAGUUACUAACUAGAACCUUAAACAUUAGUCCCAUAGGAUUAGGUCAGGAAGGGACUCAAUACACUUCAUGCAUAUAAAGGAGGACAAUGGCCAGGACCACUACAUGCAUAAUCUUCAGAAAGCUCAACUUUCUAACCAACUAGCAGCCGAGCAGGGCGAAGAGUUAUUUGAACUCGAAAUGUUAAAACACUACUUGUAAUUAUCUUAACUUCGUAGCAAUGAUAGAGACCAUCAUACCAACAGACUUCUGAAUUAGUUGGCAGACUGCUUCGUGGCACAUCACCGAAGCAACAAGUAGCAGUUCCAUAGAUGAAAAAAAACCCAUGGGCUUUGCUCUCAGAACCUUUCAAAAGCAAGGCAUCUUGAGAGACUGGUUAUGCCCAACAUUUUACAUAGGCAGUAGAACUUCUACAAGACGUGGAAAAUAAUAAAGUACUACACAUUACAUUGAAUGGAUUAGGAAAGUUGACAGCCUUCAGAUAUGUACUUCUUUCCAAAAGUGAGUAAUUCUCUCACAUUUACUGAUAUCACGAAAAUACUAAAAAGAAAAAGCAAGCAGAUUUUUCUUGUCUAAAUUACCUAAAGUUGAACUUUUGAUACUCGAGAAACAAUAGAAGAUAUAGUGUGAUGUACUAGUCAAUUAGAUAAAUUGAUAUAGAGCCUAAUGGCAAAGAAAUAAGACCCAGCAAUGGCUGGAUAUGCCCACAUAUAGACAAGUGAAUGAACUCACAGCAACUAGAUAUUUGCAUUCUCAUAACAUUUUUCAUAGAAUCUCACUUUUAUCUAAUAAUAUGAUAUUAGCAUUUGAUGUAAAGUUUUUAAAUAUGCAUCCACAUUUCGUACAAUUCCACUAGUUAGACAUAUUUGCAUGGAUGUGCAUCUACAUAAUUGACAUAACCAUAUAUCUAGGAAAAGCUUUUUGUGCAGUCCAAUAAAGGAAACAUCCUCUUUGUAUAGCUGUUGCAUGACAAUGCCACAGAUACGUGUAUUUUCCCUUCAGAGGCACUAUGUGGGGUAUAACUUAGCAUAAGAUGUAUGAAAAUGCUAAAUGGGAAAGGCAACAGAGAACACGCUUAUAAUUCAUUUGAAAGAUCUACAGGUCGAUUACCCUUUUAAUAAGAGAAAAUGAAAUUCUUUUAAAUCUUGUGUCUACCUAUAAAUGAGGUAAUUGCCAGAAAAAUGAUCAGGAGGUAACUUGCCAUCUAAAUGAUCAGUACCUGGAGUCAAAAAAUGAUUUAGUUGCCUUUCAUAGAAUCUACAGAUAGCCAGUUCGGCUUUUAUGUUUAAUUCUAUUUGCAUGUAUUACAGCAUAUUAUUAGCUUCCAAGACCAGAUAUUCAAUACUACAUCGAUGGAAAGAGUUGUGUAGAGAUAAUACAAACAACAACAAAGUUUUUUUUUUACUCGACUGCAGUUUAUACUUUAUAGCGAACAUCAAGCAAGCGAAAGUAGAAUCCUAUGCAUUAGCGGGAAUUUCUGUUUGACUGCAGCAUCGAUGACCAGCAAGUGAGUCACAUAAUAACUAGAAAAAUUCUGAGAAGAACUCGAGUUUAUAAACUUGAAGCUCUGAUUUCUUGAUACCAUGAGCUUGCAGAGCAGCGUGUCUAGAAACAUUACUUGCAGUAGGCUAUACUCAACUAUGGAUAUGAAGUAGUCUACACUUUAAAUCAUCUCUAGGUUAAUGAAGUAGCCUUUGGCUUCAUCAGAGCUGAAACCUUCAUUGAAGGCAAUGUUAAAAGCAGAAGAAUUUUCCUAGGCCAAUUCUACUUCAGGCGACAUCUUAGAUUUGCAAUAAAUAGUGCCGCUCUCAUUGUGAGAACCAAAAAAGGAAAAAAAAAAAAAAAAGAAAAAAAAGAAAAAGGAAAAGGCACUACUCUAUGAAAUCAGACCCCCCUCAGCCUAAAAGCAGAAUGCUCAGAUAACAGGAGUUUCACGCCACUCUAACUAAUUAGUAUGCCCCAAAAUGAUAGGUGAUUUUCAAUGCAAAGAUGCAACAAUCUUUGUCCUUAUCCAACAAAGGAAAAACAGCAAAAGACCGAGAAAAAUUCCUAGUUCUCUCUUAAAAUUAAGGGCCAAAGCUAAGCUUCAGAUCUUUCCCCCCAUCGAUUUAUGUAUGUCUACUCUCAUCUUCCCCUCAAAUCACAGAAACUCGGCGAAUCUCUCACAAGACCAAUCAAUACCUUAUGGACAUUCAAAAAUUUGAUAACAAAGAUGAUCUAAAAUAAUUAGGGCAAUCCAAAUUCUAAAAACAUAAAGAAAUAAAUAAAUAAAUAAGAUAAUUAGUAAGAAGAAGAAAUCGACAAAAAGCGGGAGGGAGAGAAAGAGAAAGAGAAAGAGAUCUGGCCUGCUGCUGGUACUGCGCGAGUUUUCGACGCUGCGUUUUGAGGGAGAGAAUCGCGCGGUCGACUUCCGUGAUCUUAGGCUUCUUCGUGAAUAUAUUCCCCAUCUCCCCUCCUACCCCUCUCUAACCUCUAUACGAUUUUGUUGAAUCCUAAUCCCCAGUUCUUAUGGAGAGAGAGAGAGACAGAGAAAGAGAGAGAAAGAGAGGAGGUGAUGGUCGUCGCGGCCGUCGGCAGCCCAAGAAAAUCACAGGAACGGCCGGCCGGAGGGAAGAAGUUGGGGUGCCAACGGAAUCGAGUUGGACGGAGGUUGAAGACGAGCGAGAAAGGGAAAAAGCGGGGUCUGGCAGCAGGCUGUCCCGCCGUGAGCUGUCAGUCCUAUCGGCUCGGGUCGGGUUGUUGUCGGAACGGCUGCCAUUUGGUCAUUGGACCCGUAUCCAGUCCAACUCUCUCUCUCUCUCUCUCCCCUUCCCUCUCUCUCUUCUUUCUUUUUUUUUUCUAUUUUAUUAAGGAAAAAAAAAAAAAGCCCUCCCACAGGCCACAGCUAGGGGUGGAAACGAGCCGAGCCCGAGCGAGCUUGCCUCAGCUCAAAUUCGACUUGAAAUUAAUUUCGAGCCUAAAUUUAAGGUCAAGCUCGGCUUGAAAUUAAUUCGAGCCGAGCUCAAGCGAGCAUGAUUUCGAGUCGAGCAAGCUCAAGCCCUAAGAGAGCCGCUUGAAAUUCUCAACAUCGUACGAUUAAUAGUUUAAUUUGUAUAUAACAUUAUUUACAAUUUGAUACAAAAAAUAUCUAAUAGUUCAAGAUACAAAAUAAUUAUAUGAAAUACGGUAUUAUAAUAUGAAGAAAAAUAAUUUACGAGUUGAAUAUCUAAUCUUUUCAGCUUCGCAUGUCUUCUCUUCCGCAUUCAAUUUUCAUAUUAUUCUUUUUCAUCUAUGUGGUCAAAAAAUGAAUAAAUUAUAUAGACAAAUAUUAGAUUAAACUAUCUAAUUAUAUAUAACUAAAAUCAAAAUUUAAUAUAAAUAAUAAUUUUUUACCUUAAAAAUAUUCUGUAUAUUUUCUCAAGAACCAACUUAAUGGAGGUUAUUGGGCUGGGGCGCGUGCUGUUCUUGAUGAUUGGCGGGGCUUCUGGUCUUGGCCGUUGAGGGGGAUGAGAGAGAGAGUAGAGAGAGAGAGUGGAUUAGAUUUAGGUUUUGUAAAUCAAGAAAAGGGGAAGGUGUAUUUGUAAAUUUUCUUUUUUGGCUAUAUUGGGUUGAUUCUAUGGCGGCAUAUUUGCUCAAUUUACUACUUGGUUACUCAUUGCUAUAUUAUGGGCUGGAAAUGGCGGCUCGCUGUUCGACUCGAUCUAUUUGGCUGCGCUGAUGAGCUCGACGCGAACUUAAGUGAGCCGAAUUUGACAAAAAGAAGGUCUCGAAACUUUAUUUCAAAAGCGAGGUUGAAUGUAUUACUCGCUCAGUUGAUUAGGUUCAGUCGAAAAGCUUAUUAUAUAUAUAUAUAUUCUAAUACUAUAAUAUGAUAUUAUAUGAUAUUAUAUAGUUAUAUAAUAUUAUAUAUAUCUAUAUAUAUAUAUAUAUUUUAUGCUUUAUAUAUAGGAUAGUACCAAGCUUGUAUUGAGUUUGCGUUGGAUGAAAGGAUGUGCGUUAGGAUUUGUCGUGGUCCCUAGGGUUGGUGUGUUGGUUAAGUAAUUUAAGCGAUAGAAUUGUAAAGGGUAAUCUAACGGUGACUAUAGUACAAGUAAACACAGACUAUAAUAGUAUUAGUAGCGACUCUCUCUCUACUCCUUCUUUCUCGUCUCCUUUCUUCUCUCUAUCUCUCUCUUUUCAUAUUAUAUAUUAUAUUGGUAUAUAGCGUACUAUGCUAUUAAUAGCCAGGGCUUUGGGGCGGGUACCAAUGUUUUUGCCUUGGUUAAGGGAUGUGCGGUUGGGGAUGAGUGGGCCUCUUUAGAGUUGGUGGGGUGAUUGGUUGAUGUUGAUUACGGGUGAAAUGAUAAAUGGUAUGGACUAAGCGGAAACUUCGGUAGACAAGGCUUCGUUGCUUUAAUAGUAUGUACCGGAUAUAUAUAUAUAUUAAUAUAUAAUUAGUAACUAGUUAUAUUUAUAUAGAAUAGGCGACUAUAUAUUCUAUGUCCGAGCUCCAAGGUCUAUAGUGUUUAGUUUUCAUCUUGAUGGGUUCAAGCUCGAUCCACACGUGAAUUGACUAGUAGGUAUAUGAAGUUGGCUUAGGAAUAAUUUUAGUUUUUUUUCGAUAUCGUUUUACUGAGAAUAAUAUUAUAUCAAUGGAGGUGGGAAAUGAUUAAUUCUUUAUUGGUAUAAUUUUAAUUCCAGAUCAGAAUGUUAACUUAAAUACUUUAGUUUAAAGUGAUUUUUAUCACAAUUAAAGAAUUUGUUUUCUACCCGUUAAAUCUCACUUUUAAUAGCAUUGAAUUGCAUUUGAUGUUUGGUAUUUAGUAAAACUAUGUCGAAAAAUAUGAAAAUUUUUCUUUCUAGUAACUUUAUACCCUGAUCGUUUUGAGGUGAGAUUGGAUCGUUGAUUUGACGCCUAUAUUCGAACCAAAUUAGGACGGAGCUGCGGUACUUAGAUGUAUAGUGCUAGUCUAACUAUAUUUAUAUAUAUAUAGAGAGAGAAGGAGAGGGAGAGACGAGAUGGUGAGAGAGGAGGAGGUGUGGAGAUACUAUUAUUGGAAGCGACGGAGCUCGUGCUUCAGUUGUUUUCCGAUGUUGCGAUUCGAAUCGUCGAUCGGCCUCGUUAACUUGUCUAGAGAGUUUGGAGGUACUAGAGAAAAUUUUAUUAUUUUUUCGAUUAUCUUUCCUAUGUGAUCGAUGUGCUAAAUCACAAAUUUCAUAUGGCGUGUGUAUGCCGUAUGCAGGUUUACGGAAUGUAGAAUAUUCAUCAUGUGAAAUUUUGAUAGAAAAUUCUUUAUACUAUAUAAAACAAGAUCAAUAUCUUUGAUUUAAAAUUUUAAUGUCAUAUUAUUACAUUUUGUAAGAUUUUUAUUUUCAGCCGUUGAUUUUGAGCCUCUUCGUUCACUAGGCAAAUGAUAUCGAAAAAUAAUAAAAUUUAUUUUCUAGGUACUCCAAAUACUCUAGAUCAAGUUUAACGGAGCCGAUCGACGAUUCGAAAGUCGCAACAUCGAAAACGAGCUAGAAGCACGGAAGGCUCCGUGCUUCCGAUAACAUAGUAGCCUCACUAUAUAUAUAUAUUGUCACGCCCCGGAUUACACUUUCCCCGGGCGCGCCGACAAAUCCGCCGUAUACAAAGGAAUUUUUCCUGUAUACGAAGCGAUAGCUGUACCAGAAAAUCAGACACUACCACGAACAGUAGUAGAGAGCUGCUGGAGAGAACAGAAGCUAAACAAACUGAGUUUCAUAUACAUAGUCCAGAUCCAAAAUACAAAGCUACUCGCACUGGCGAGUUAAGUCCACUAUGUACAUAAACUCGAAACAAAACAUCUACCUGCAGUAGGAGCACCUCUAGCUCAGCACGUCGGGUAGGGCUCUAACUCGCAACGCCCUUGCCUCGAUCCUGAUCCGCGGACGGUGCAGCAGCCGGAACCUGUGGCUCUGCAAAAACAUAGGUAACAACUGGGCGUGAGAACUACUGUAAAAACAAGUAGUCCUCAGUGGGUACCGCCCAAAACAACAUCGGUCUACCCACUAAGUCUACAGAAGGGAGCAAGAAUAGUAGUGAAAUGCAGGAAUAAAGUCUACCGCUAUCAAAUACUACACUAUCAUGCUCUACACUAACCAACUGUAGGAAAUGUCCAACCUGACCCAAUCCAAUCGGGACUGUAAGCAUACCCGUCCCCGGGACUGUGAAUACACCCGUCCCUGCCCCGUUGUGACUGUCAAGCUCUAUCCACACUAACUGGUCCGUGGAGAGCAAGUCCAACUGGCAUGAGCGACACCAACGCGAAAGCACAAAGCCUGACUCCGGAGUGGCACUCGUGGGCGCUACCCAACCGAGUAUGCAGCGUAUCUCUGUCGAGCUCAAACAGGCUCCAACUAGCCAAAGUCAAGUAAACAGGGUCAAAACAGGUCUACAAACCAAACUCACGUGCCCUCGGCACAAUCUGUGACCAAAACAAGAAUCUGGGUCCACCGCUAACCCGAACGGCACCCAACGACCCGAAACAGCCUAAACUCUGCUGAAAAAUAAGCUCGGCAUCUCAGCACGAGCGUAAAUGCCUUCUAAACUACCUGGGGUACUCACAACCCGAAUACAAUAACUGUAUAAAAAUACAACGGCCCCUAAGGCUAAAUCAGAUAGUUAACAUAUGCCGAUCGUUAUCGCGUUUUCUCCUAAGUCAAAUCCAAGUCCAACAUGUAUGUUCAUAUUUAUUAAUCAUGUUCUCAAAUCGUAUUUAUCCAAGAUAUAAUCAAUGAGAUAGAGCUACGGUGCGUGUACAUCUUCACCUCAAGAUUGAAAUGCCUUUUUGCGACAAAAAAAAGGGAAAAAAACUUGCAAAUACCACCAUGUAGUAGAUUUUACACCUUUUUAUUUUAGUCUGUCGGUUUAACAGUGUGAUAAAUUUGAUGCUCUCUGCGUCAUUUUUUGAUCCUUUAUUAUCAAUUAUUAUCUUUUUGUUAAGCAUCUUAGUGCAAAGUUAAGCUAACGUAGUAUACAGUGAAAUAUUUAGUUAAAACUGGGUGGGUCAGUGCCGAGAGUCUUUUGUACUAUAAUUUCAAUAAAAUAUUAAUGAAGAAACUGGACGAAAAUUAAAAAUAAAACCACGGAGAUACUAACGUUUGGCAUCAAAUUUAGACAUGGCGUACUAAAGUGAGAAGAAAAUUGAGCGAAAACAGUUAAAAAAAAAAAAACAGAAAAGGCGGGGGUUGAAGAGCAGAACGAAAGAGAGUGGGGCCAACACCUCACGGCAACAAUUUUCAAAUAGAAAGCGCGGAUGUCCAAAUACGGUGGCUUUAAUGAUUUGCGAGCCCACUCGGAACUGGAUCAUAACUGAGACACGUCCGUUGCUGGCAUUUCGCAUGAUCCGACACGUGUCCUUUCCGAGGUACGGUGCGUGGGGGCAAUUAUUGGAUGUCCAUACGAGGGUGAACAUCUAGUCCAAAUAGGGGAUGCCUUUGGGAUCCGCCAUUGCACGUGGUACAUUGCCUGUUUGACGGCCCAGUGCUGUCUUUCGUUUAUUUAAAAACUUCAACAUUGUAAUUGUAAAAGCGCUCAAGAAAUACUGUCUGGCUUCUGGCCCGGCUUGUGUAAUUACUUUUUGUUUUUUUUUCUCAUUAAGAUGGAAAAUAACAGCGGAGUGAAUGUUCAGCGUAUCGAUGUUAUUCGUAAUUUAUGGCAAUUUCUCAUAUUUUCAUUUUUCUCAAAAAUAAUAAUAAAUGGUGUAUACUUUAGGCGUACAGAUCUCCUAGAUUAGUAAAGAUAUGCUACUUUGUUUCGUUAAAAGGUUUCCGAGAUACUAUUUUCCCUUUGAGGGACUUAUAGAAAGGUUGCAAACAAAUUAUAUAAAAACUAUACGGGGACGAUAAGCAAUCUUUGUUAGUUAUUAUCUCCGUUCAGAGGAAAUUCAAAGGUGGUAUAUGCCUUUGUCGAGUUGCAGGAGAAAAGCAUGAAUUCAUACGGAGUCGAGGGUUAUUGCUACAGCUUUCUCGAUACGAGAAGAGUGAUAUAUAGUUAUUGAAUUUAGGGCCAAGGUUUAAAAGUACGAUUCUGGGUGUUACGGAGAACAAAAAAUGGUACGGGAGUUGCUUUCUGUGCCGCGGCCCAUCGUCGUGAAUUGUUGAGUGAUCACUUAUUCAAUGUGAAUGUGUGGGCAAUCAAUGUUAGAUAUAGGUUAAUAUUAAUAAAUAAAAAAAAAAAAAAGUAAAAUCUCGAUUCGUCUGAAAGCCGAGUCGGUGUUGGUUUGUUUAGGUGGACGAAAGCAAUUUGAGGGCGGAUCUCGGUAGAGAAUUUGGCCUUAGCGACGACGAAGUGGCGUCGUGACGGAGUGAUUGAUGGUCGGAGUCCGUGGAUCAAUUUUUUGGCUAGACGGAUUCGACCCAGUCCGGUCAUUAUGGGCUGGGUCGAGCAUGAAUAGUUUUGCUAUGUCUUGGACGACUGAGGACCGGUCGGUCCAGGCCGUUUUUUCGUGGCUUGGCGCCGCGACUGGAAUUUGCUUAGUCUCGAUUCCAUAUUUUUACAAAAAAUGAAUUAUGAUUUUUUUCCUAAUUCAUUUCCCAUUCUAAUUGAGGGAGUAAUGUAAUAUCACUGAAACACAUUUGCUACUUCAGUAAAAAAAAGAACAAGAAAAUAAGAAGGACAAUAUUCAACCACAUGGCCCGACUAGUGAAUGAGACACAAGCGUUUUUUUUUUUUCUCCCUUUUUGUCUUUUCAGAUAUGAAGCAGUGUUUAGAUUUUUGUCGCCAAGUCCUAACUUCUCAAAAUCACUUCUUAACCUAUGUAUUAGUGGUAUUUCCACUGUGCUAUGUAUACAUCACUACAGGUCGAAAAGUCUAUAGUAAUACCAACAAUUAGGGAACACCGAAAAUCUUUCACUGUUAAUUUCGUAGCGAUAAUUUGCUUGUAGGUUUUACGAACACUACUCGGUUUAUUUAUAUUUUAUCAGUACAGCUUGAGCCUGUUGUACAGUAUGUGGCGGCGCGCGACAGGCACAAUCUUAAGGAUCUUCUUUUUUAAGAGAAUGAUCACUCGUGUUAUCCUUAGCCUUUGCACCCAGAAAAGUUGAGAAACCCCUUUUUGGUAACUUGGCCAUGACAGCGUGCUGAUUUUGUUUGAUCGAGAGCCCGUUGUAACAUUUUACAUCUAUUCCUUUCUUUUUUUUUUGUUUCUUCUUUCCUAAAGCCGGUUAGUUAAACCAAAGGUCAAAGAUUUCUUUAGCCAUAUUAGCUGCUGGACACCUUUUGCGCGCGUACUCCAUGUAGUUCGAAGUCAUGUCGUUUACUGUUUCCUUGUAGUCUAAAAGAGUGGAUUCAGCGCAAGGCAGAUAAGAACAAGAAAAAGGAAAAAGAAAAAAAGGGUAAGACAUGCGUAGAGAAUGUAUUUUUAAAGAAAGUUGAGAGAUAGUUUGCGAUGUUAGGCGGACUUACAGAGAUGUAAUCCCAAAGGCACCCAUACGAGAUGGACUUGCGAGAAGCAUAUUCUCCGACUGGUUUCGAGCAGGUCUCGAAGUUCGGCGGUGGUAUCGGCUCCUACCUGUUUCGAGAGGGAUCCAAUAUUUUCUCUUUAAGAGAGAGUAAAAUGGAGGGAUUUAAGCAUGAAUUAGCAAAUUUUUUAUCGAAGCUGGCGGAAAGGUGGUGGCAUAUCUGUUUUUUGUUGUUGAGCGUGUAAAAAAAGGCACUGAUCGCAGGAAAUUCAGAUUGGAACUACGUGUGACAAGGAUUGAGGUUCAUGAUUAUGAUCAUGGAUCGAUGAGAAACUGACGAAUGAACGUUACUGCUUCUCCUCACUUUUUAGUUCAGCCUCUUCACUUAGUGUAAAUAUUUGAUGGGCUGAAUAAGCCCUUUUAGUCCCGGUAAAUCUCUCAGGGCCUACUGUUCAAGUGCUAUGCAUUCGCACCAGUUAAGAUACUAUGGUAUGCGUGCUGAUGCUAUAGCUGAUGUUUAGAUAUACGUGAUGAUUGACUUCUCGAGUGUACGUCGUAUGUUUAUCUAAAUUGGGGAAGAUUACCCUACGCAUGGACCUGGAGUUGCGCGGGGUUGUGCUUGAAGCUCUGGCGGCAUUACUUGUACGGCACACUGCCAGAUUUUACUGAUCUAGAAAUCUCAAGUAUCUGUAUCACAAAAGGAGUUGAAUUUGAUCCAGCGUCGGUGGUUGAGUUCUGAAACUAAUUUGAAUCAUUCCAGUAUAUCCGGCAAGCAGCGAAUGUUGCGUCUGCAGAUGCGUCUAACGCUGGAAAGACAGCAUGCAGACGGCGAUGAUUCACUUUUCUUGAAGCUAGGAUUUGGUGAUAUAUCGUCGGUGAUUUUCUACUCAGUGAGCUCUAUAUUCUAACAUAAUUGAUUAUCGAGUGAUUAGCGAUAAGUAAGCUGAGACGGUGGACUCGAGAUAGUUUCCCUGGAUUUAUGCCUGAGAUUGAGCGAUUAUGAUCUUACAGACCCAUCUGUGUUGGACAGUUAAUUCGAGAGAACAGAGUGGAGAUCCACAGCUUGUCGAGGAUUCAGAGCGCUUGAGAUGCGGACAGGCUGAGGUUUUUUGCUGUGGGACGUGUCGGUGAGUACUAGCUCGCCCGGUACAGGAGGAGUUCGACUUGUGCUGUACCUAUGAUUUUAGAGAUCCGGACGUAUGAUACUUGCCAUCUGACAUGACUAUUUAACGAGGAAAAAGAAUUUCUCAAAUAAAAAGAAUAACACUUGCACAGUGAAAAGACAACAGGGGCACACACUACUGAUUAUUGAUAUUAUGUUCAGGAGGCUCACUGACUUGAUUAACGAACCUAUUAAAUUGUGAAAUUACUUCGCUAUUAUUCUCUUUUUGGUGAUGAGAAAAGAAAAUGCAAUAUCACUUAGUAUUACCAGGAUUUAGAAUUAAGUCAUGUUAAGUCAGGACCCGGUGUCUUUUCUAAAUCUCUUGAGGCUUUCGUCGAACCUGUCAAGUGGUAGGAAUGUCAUAGUAAGAAUUAUGUUAAUCGAAGGGAUGAUUAGUGCAGAUUGGAGAUUUUGAGAAAGAAAUUGGAGCUCUAAGUGUUCGAACAACAACCAUCGUUAAAAAGUUCAAGACAGAGAAUAUGGAGAAGUUGGUACUGUGUUACUUGGCUGUAGUCUUAAUAUGUGAGGCUUUUCCCGAAAUUGGGUAGAGUUAGGCUCAUCACCAUCUGCUGCAUGGUGCCACUGUCGCCACACUCAGUCCUAGCUACUGCAACUGCGCAUUGAAACUUGCAUACUCGUUAAUUCUCAAUUCGAAGGAAAGGAUAACUUAGGAAAUAAAUCAACGGCUAAAUCCACAUUUUUACUCUCCGCCCAUGCAUGCUCUAACAGAUGGUCACAAAUUGUGGGAGCACUGAGUUUCAAAGCAAUUGCCUGAGAGACGACACAGGAGUAGUUUUGAUGCGAUUGUAGGUUUGUGUGAUGGUGGGCAGACUGACCAGUGCACCUUUUACAGUGCAAGACCACUUGUUCCGAGAAAAAACAGCCAUAAUUCGACCAUGUUACUUGGAUGGGGAUAGUGAGGUUGCAAGUCAGGUAGUAUAGAGUAGUAGACUCUAACGCUUUUCAUAGAAUAGAAAGAGACGACAUAGCUUUUAUUUUGUUUCAACAAUAAACGUCAAUCCCAUGCUAUAAUGCGCCUUGCGCCACGCGAUCGGUAAACAGAUUAAUCCAAUCUACUUUCUUUGCGAGCUCCCUCUGAAAAUAAAAACGUAGUUGGGCAAAUUGCUCAAAUAGUUUUUUGGCUUACUGAAUAGAGGAAUGAAACAAAUAUUGAGCUUACUCGCAUUAGCGUAGGUGUAGGGUGUUUACUGUAAGUCAUGCAAGAACAAUAGGAAUUAGCUCUAAUUGGAGAACUAGAUUCAAGAACGAGAAAGAAACUUACAUUCCAUGGUCAGUCAACGGAAUCAGACUCUAUGAGGACAUAGUUGAGCGGUGUGUCCUGGACGGUUGGAGCGAGCGGUGUAGGCAUUGAGACUGGUUUGAGUUUGCGGAUUACAACAAGCAGCUAUCAGGCGAGAUUUCCAGAUGGCUCCGUUUUUGAAGUUAUGGGUCACUAAGCUAGUUCUCUUCAUCAAUCAUGGAUGUUGCAUACUGAGUUCAUUUGACAAAACCUAUCCUUGAUUCUUGCGCCAGAAAAAAUCGUGUUCUCUAAUCAGUAAUCUCCUCCUCCAUGGAUAUCCAACAAUAUUCGUUUUCGGGCUUCCUCAGGGGGCACAAGCCUCCUUCUGCCCUAAAAGCCAAUCCUUAUAAAAAGGGCAGAUUGUAAAGUAUUGAUGUCCAUUUGUUUUUAACAAAUUAUUGCACUAUACAAUAUUGAUAUAUGCAAUUAAAAGGUAGCCUUCAAUCUGUCCAAGACCUGAAUGGUUUUGGACCAGGAUGUCAGAUCAUGAAAUUUCCCUUAGUUUUGCUGCACGGAGCAAGAAAAUUUUUUCGUCACAGCAGGUCAACAGCUGAAAGGCGUUGUAGUGCCAUAAAAACCAAAUCAGAAUCUUCUUAUAGUUGAAGGACACUUUAUAAGUCAUUGUAUCUUAUAUGUUGAAUGACAGUUCUGUAUAAUCGUCUUAUUGCUUUAAUCACCAAAAAUACAUCCCUUAGGCCUUCAUAUACUUUCUGUAUUUCGUGUUGUUAGUCACACCUCUUAGUCUUUUCUUUUCCAAAGGAGAAGUUGAAGAAAAGUGCAUGAUAGACUGGUUUAAAGCUAUUCAAAGAUCUAGUAUUGGUUACGCAAAAUCAAAGGAGCUAACUUAUUUAACAAACUAUUUCUCUGGUUAUCAUAAUCCCAUAUCUAAUUCGAUCCAUUAUUAACAUAAAGGAUAAGAAACAGAUUCAUCUAAAAGAAUCUAAAGGGGAAAAGAAACACCUGUAGAAAAGUCACGGCAUAUCAUAGUUCAAAACAGGAAAUAAUAUUAUACUCUUAUUUGCAAAUUAGGCCAUAAGCACGCUUUUGAACCAAGGGCAAGUUUGUAUAGACGCAGAUGUCAGUUCACUUUGUUUUGGUGAUUUGAUUGGAGUGUCAACUUGGAGAGUAUUCCAGAAGAGUAACGCUUUUUGGUCCCUCUGUACUGUUACUCAUAUUUGUAGCCUGACUUGAAAUACACUCACUAAGGUUCUUCUUAUAAAGAGGAGGCAUUGCGCCAUCGCGUAAUUGUUAGUCAAGAGAUGGGAAUUCCAUGUGACAUUAGUAUCUAGCGAGUCGAGAACGACCCUAAUUGUUAUACUUCACCUACGGAGCGUAAGAUCAUUUAGAGUUUAAGCGUGUAGUGGAUUGUAUGAGUGCACUGUUAGUCUCUAUUUACCCGGGUCUCGGACCAUAAGAGAAGAAACAAUUCCACAGGGAAAUUUCCCGAUUGGCAGUGAGUGGAAAAAAGUUUUUCCAAAAAAAAACAAAAUUUACUCGAACGAUAAGUCCGUUGUAGGCCUUUUUUGAAGGGUAUUGGGAGGAGUCGGACUGCAGGUUACCUUACAGGAAUUGAAUAUACCCUCCUUAAUCCACCUUAAUGGAUACUGGUCAUUCGCUGAAUCUAUCUGUCCUAUCACAAACGUAUCUCAAUCAGGGACUAUGAGCGAAUAUUAGUUUUUCUCACCAUCCUUUAUCACUUUGUUGAGUCAAUAUAUCAUUUCAUCUCAUGAGAAAUAUUAACAUAGGCGGAAAGAAAUCUACUGGAUCAGAAGGAACAAAGGGGUCACGAGAUGCUGUGAGAUCUCUUGGCUGUUGAGGAACGUACAAGAACAUCUUACGCAACGUGGAUCUGUCAGAUCAUCUUACGAUGCGACCCGUUCGGACCGGGUGCAGCGAGAGGAGCAAUCCGAGGGGGCGCGCGGGACGGCGACGUCUUUCGGGUCUCAGAGGCGUGGGCAUGGAGAGAGAGUCCACUCGAAUCGUGCCACUCCUUCGGUGUGCGCUACUGACGUCUUGUAUGAUUAUUACUUUCGGUGCCGCCGUCGCACUAAGAAUCUCUGUUAGUGGGGGAGAGGUCAGACUAUCCUUGCUUUUUAUUUCUUCUCUAUUUAUUAUCUAUUUACCUUCCUCUUGUACGCGCCCUUCCUUCUCCCGACGCCCCGUUCCUCUCCUCCGCCACACGCACCUGGUAUAACUCGUUCCGUCAUGCACCGUUGAUAGGCACCACCUUCGAGCGCCACGCUCCCUCCUCCGUCGCUGCCGGCGCGUCCGGUCACAAUGCAUCGGGCUGAGUGGCUUGGGCUCCUCCACGGCGACACCAGUCCCGAGCCCAUGCUGCUCGUUAUUUGUAGCUAUAUGGCUUGAGAUGAGAGAAGAUUCGUCGUGUUACACUUAUCUUCUCCCUCUGCGCUUGAAAGGCGAGAAAUCAGUGGAGGUAUGUGGAGCUUGGAGUGACUAAUUGCCGGCGAGCGUUGGAGCGGCAGUGCGUCGUGGUAGUGCAUUGGGGAGGCAUGCUACUGCGAAUUUUUUCUGUCGAUUCUCCUACUUUGAAUUAGCUUUCGAGGUGGUUUACAUCGGUUUAUUUCCUAAGUAUGCAUUAGUCGACAUGUAUGAUGGUAGUUGUAUAAUAUGUANNNNNNNNNNNNNNNNNNNNNNNNNNNNNNNNNNNNNNNNNNNNNNNNNNNNNNNNNNNNNNNNNNNNNNNNNNNNNNNNNNNNNNNNNNNNNNNNNNNNAUGAUUUUGAAACAUAAGGUCAUUUUUUUAUUUCCAAAUUUUGAUGUUUCGAUGUAUUUUGAAAUCUUAUAAUAUUUUAUCUUCAUCAUAAUGGUUUUUGGAGUACAAGUUUUAAUAUUUAUGAAAUUAAUUUGAUUUUGAAGGAUUAAAAAAAAAAAUUCAAAAUUUUCGAAAUCCAGCAAAGUGUAUUGGUAGCCGCGGUUUUAAUACCGGUUACAGGUUUUCGUUUUUUCUCCAAACUUUAUCAAAACUUCUCCUUUCUCUUAAAACCUGUUACAGGGCACGUUUUUUCUCGACAAUAAAAAUGGAAAUUAAAAAAGAAAAUAAAAUAAAAGGGUUAAUGGCUUCUGUAAGGAGCAACAACAAUCCGAAGAGGCCACAGUUCUUCAAAGUGCUUCUUUCUGGUUCUUUCGAAAGUUGUGGAUUGUAUGUAGUCUAUGUGAAUUUAUCCUAUUCAUGCACUAACAUUAUUGGUACUCUCUCUGUUUUUGGUACUUUCUUUUGGCAAUUUUUGACAAAAAAAGGGAGAGAGAUUUAAGAUUUUCAUUGCCAAAGGGGGAGAUUGAGAGAUUUAAGAUUUUCAUGAACAAAUGGGGAGAGAUUUUCAUUGUUUUUAGAGAAGUUCAUUUUUUUUUUACCUAACUUUGUUCGAGGAGAAAGUAUUCUUUCUGCAGAUUCUCGAAGACUACAAGACUCCUUGUGUUUAAGUCAUAGAGUUUGUUUAGGAGUUGCAAAAUUGUAAUUUUGUAUUUUCUUUGGAUUUUUCACGCGAGAAGUUCAUUGUUUUGGUGAUGGCAAUGAAUUUUAUUUUUUUUGUUAGGAGAAUUGAGCAUUGUGAGUAUUUUGAUGUAUUUUUGAGUUUUGCCAGAAAUUGCCAAAGGGGGAGAUUGUUACGGAUUUUAUGUUGGCAUAUUUCGUGAAGUUAGUCGGAGUCUUGAAUGUUUGAAGAAGAAGAGAUGAAGAUCGAAGACUCGAAGACUCAAAACAUGAAUGCAUAAUGCUUGGUAAGUUUAAAUAUCAUUGGUGAUGAUUUAUAAAUAUUUAAAAGUGUUUGGAAGACUUAGGAUGGUUUUUAAAAUAUGAAUCUGGACACACUGAGUUUUUCAAUGUUCUGGGACCGGUCCCCGAGGGUCCUCACUGCGUGGGAUGUUGAGGCAACCAGUCUUUGGAAAGGGAGGCCGGUUCCCGAACAUGGGAUUUUCUAUCACGCAGCGAGGGACCGAUCUCUGGCAUGAGAGACCGGUUCCCAAAGCCUGUGUUUUCAGGCACGCAACGAGGGACCGGUCUCCCACUCGAGGGACCGGUCUCCUAAAGACCGGUCUCCUCGAGAAGACCGGUCUCUGAGGACGACAUAAGUUUUUAAAAUUGGGUUUUUGCAAUCCUAGUUGGUUUCUAGGUCUUCUAAACCUAUAAAUAAGAUGUAGGGAUGUUUCUAAAAUAUAACAAAAUAUAGAAUAUCUUUUUGAAACCCUAGAAAUUUGUUGGGUGCAUUCUUUCUUCUCUCGAACAACAAGUUUCUAUUGGAUCAAUUCUUGAAACCCUAAUUUCUUGUUCUUUAUGGAGAAUUGAUCCGGCUAUUGCUUAGAAACAUCUUCUAUGGUUCUUUAAUGAUUGUCUAAGCAAUAAAUCAUCAUCAAUCUUGGUAUUCUUGCUCCGGACGGAGUGUGCUCGUGGAUUCGAGUGGGCGUCAUGGAUUCGGCGUGAUCAAGGCUUCGUGGAUUCGAAGUGUGGACGUUUCGUGGAUUCGGGACGUGGCAUUCAUGGAUUCGGACGUGGGGCGUGGACAACCCGUUCGGGAAUCGGUCUCCCUUUCCAGAGACCGGUUGCCUCAACAUCCCACGCAGUGAGGACCCUCGGGGACCGGUCCCAGAACAUUGAAAAACUCAGUUUGUCCAGAUUCAUAUUUUAAAAACCAUCCUAAGUCUUCCAAACACUUUUAAACUUUUAUAAAUCAUCAUCAAUGAUAUUUAAACUUACCGAGCAUUAUGCAUUCAUGUUUUGAAUCUUCGAGUCUUCGAUCUUCAUUUCUUCUUCUUCAAACAUUCAAGACUCCGACUAACUUCACGAAAUAUGCCAACAUAAAAUCCGUAACAUGAACGAGGCGAAAUGAAAUCAUAGGUUUGUUUUCUCUGUCGUGCUGAUCGCACUGGUGCGAUCCGUUCGCAAAUCUGACCGACGGAUCUGCAGAUAUCGCACGUUGAUCGAGGAGGGGUCUUAGAUGGCAAAAUGGUAUUUUUCUGAAAAGCGCAAGAUUUUAUGUAUCGUUUUGCGUGAAAUCGAAGGCAGAGGUGUAUUCACGCAUUUUACUCGCGCUGUGAAGGACUCAGUUUAAAAUUCUGAGUUUAGCUUGACUUAUUUGCAAAAUUACACCAUGGUAUAUUUGGUCUUCUAGGGUUUCUUCAUGCUAACCCUAACCCUAGCGACCAAGCUAACCCCCAGCCACCUCCUUGCUUCCCCCUGUCCUAGCCGCACGCCUCCCGGUCGCCGCCGACCGAGCCCCGGCCGGCCAGCAGCAGCUGCAGCCUCCCUCUUCAUUUUUUUCAUCUCCUCCACCACCUUUCUCUUUGCCUCUUUGGCCGAGGUUGGUACUGAGCACCCCCUCCCUUGGUCCCCUCUCCGGCGUCACCCCCGGAGUCCCGGUGACCCUCGCUGCCAACCGCCGUCGCCUCUACGUGCCGCCGCUGCCACCCUUGCAGCCUACAGCCAUCCAGCCCGAGCUCGGGCCGAGGUCUGUGUGCGGCUUCUUCCCCGCGCCGCCGCCGCUUUAGUCUACCUCCGCGGCUUCCCUCCGGCCUCCUACCGUCCACCGCCGUUGUCCCUGAGCUCCCAAGCCACCGCCGUGGCCGCCAUUGCCUCUGGCCCCAAGCAGUAGCUUGUGCGGGCUUGGCUCGCUCCGCCGACAUCGCCGCCGCUCCUCGCCGCCGGCCAAGGUGAGCACCGUGGUCCUUCCCUCCCCCGCACCCACCUCUAGCCUUUUCGGCGGUGUCGCCCCUUUAGGGCCUUUUUGGUUGCUGUUUCUGGUUUGCGCAGGCUUUUUCGGUGAUCUGAGGCUGUCCCGAUGCCUCCGGAGGUGAGCACGGUGGUCGUUGGUCAGUGUCGAUCACAGUGCUCACCUCACUUUGGAUCAACGACUUCCGGAAUUGCAUUUUUGGCGUGGUUUUCCCCGAGUGCGCGCUAUUCACAGAACUUUCGGGUCACUCCUGCGCCUUGCACAGUGAGCCGUUGGGCUCCGGAUCGUGAGCACGACCUCCGGUAUGUCGAGACCAAUCAGUACACGUCUCGACGGACCUUGGAAGUCCUUGGUUUGUGAAAACGAGCCACAUAAUCACUCGAUUUACAUAAAAUGUCAGGAUUUUAUGUAAAUGUAGGGACUUUUAUGCAAUUGUGCACCUUGUGGCUACUGUGGGCAGUGUGUAUGUGUGUGUAGUGAUCUCUGGACUGAUUGUCCAAGGUCCGUGAGCCUUUGCGGAAAUUAAAAGUCGAUUUCGGUGCGUUUUUAAGCGAAAUUCACCGGCGGAACGCGGUUUCGGUUCGGAUUUCAUCCGACGGUGUUUGUUUGCUUCGUGAGUUGUUGCUGAGCCUUGUCGGUUGGUCACCAUCAUCAUAUCAUAGGUUCGAAGAUGACAGGUGAGCGACGGUGGGUUCCGGUGUCGAAAUUGACACUUUCGGGAACCCGUAUACGUACAAUUAUCCGGCGAUAAUUGUGUAGUUGUGUAAACUUGUGUUUGCUGUCAAGACGUCCAAAUCGGGAUGUUUUGUGGCAGCGGGUGACUCGUGAUGCGAGUCGGUGAGUUUCGGGACAUUUAGUGGGUCCCGACGGUAUCCCGGUGUGAUUUUCAGGACUUCUGGCGAGUUACGAUGAUCGAUUUUGGAAAACCAAUUUUGGGGAAUUGUGUGGGGUUUGUGAGUCAUGUAUUCUAGAUUUUUGGGUUAGUUACUAACUCGGUGGACCUUCGUAGGUCCGAUUGUCGAUCGUAUACAGUUUGGAGACCGGCGCGACUUUAGAACAGGUGGGUGCUUCGAGCUAGUAGUCGGUGAGAUCAUUUCACCUUCCUCUAUUUUUCUAUUCCAGCAUUGUACUCUUUACAUGUCGUUGCUUUGUUUAUCAUUCGUAUAUCUUACUUUAUUAGUUGCAUAUUGUUAGUUGUUGAUAAACAUGUAGAGCAGGCUUGCAUAUAGAUAUUGUAUCUUUGUGGACCUUGGGUCCAGGCAACACAUCGACUCCUUUGUCAUAUGUUUUGAUCUGGUUGAUCGUGGUUUGGCGUUGUACGCCCUUAUUUCUGGCUUCGGCCUAGGCACCAGCUUCAGCCGGCUUUCGCAUUUGAGCAUAUCAGCAUGACUUAGUCACAGCACUUGGGGGUAUUCAUGACACCAGGUCGGUUUGGCCACCGACUGGAGGUGUACUUAUCCGGAUAGGUCAUCCAGUGGGCAGAUGAAUCAGGUCGGUGCAAAUUUGUGACAGGCAACGCUUGAGGCCUACGGACCAAUAUAGCAGGCACUCGAUUGGGUACAGUUUCAGUUUGGUUACCUUGAGGCAUGUUUAGUAUUGUUUUCCAUACAAUAGCAGUCUUUAUUGCUUGCUUCUUAUCUAUCUGUUAUAGCUACUGUAGUUCUCUUCAUAUCACAGUAUCUGUAUUUUGUUUACCUUACUUCCUUUAGUUUUCGGUGAUUACGACUUGCCUUCGUGGCUCUAUCAUACCUACUGGGAAACCUUGAUUGCGGUUUCUCACCCCUCAUUUCCCCAGGUGAUUCGGGCAGGGAAUUGGCAUUGGGCACGAAAAGAGGACGAUCUAGCUAGCCUGCCGUAGCGACUGUCACCUGGAUUACUUUUAUUUUCGCAUUUAGUAGUUUAAUAAAUAAAUGGUUCAGUUAGAUGAUCUCUAUGAUUGUUUGAAUGUUCGUGAAUUGGUUUUAGUGGAUCUGUGGAUGUUUUUAGUAUACAUGCGAUUGGAUAAUUGGUUUUGGUUUUAUGUAUUCAUACUUGGUGGUUUUCUACCCAUCGAGGUAGUCGGUUUUCAAAAUGAUGUUUCCGAGUGGGAAACACUUGUUAAAAAGGUUUUCGAAUGAUUUUUGUAAAUGAUUGAAUUAGAGUUUAAAAAACAAAGCUUCCGGUUGGGGAGCACUUUUAAGUAGGAUGCUUGUUGUACUGUGCAUUGCAUCAUCCAGCGCUUAAGGAGUGUUUAGAAGCAUGCAUCAUUUCGAAGGAUCGCUAGCUGUAUGAAAAUGCAUGGCAUGAAUUGAUUGUUGAUUGAUAAAUGUAGGUUGUGGUUAAGAUCCUGAUGUAUCGUUGGUACAUCGUGCAAAUACAAAGGAGACUCUGUUUGAGUGGACAAAGAAACUUUGUAUUUGUGGCGGGUCUGUACGUCACGUGGGCCAGGUUAAAAAAAAAAAGACACGUUUUCUGCAACUCUGAUUUCAAAUAUUGUAUUCAUUUUAAAAAGGCCUUUAAAAUCGGCCUCGGGGCGUGACAUACAUAAUCU
Molecule: long non-coding RNA, 141855 nt
Filed under: Ananas comosus (pineapple)
Lineage: Eukaryota; Viridiplantae; Streptophyta; Magnoliopsida; Poales; Bromeliaceae
Description: long non-coding RNA (ACOM_LNC030590)
Source: RNAcentral